This 93633-nucleotide long non-coding RNA is filed under the name Ananas comosus (pineapple). RNAcentral describes it as "long non-coding RNA (ACOM_LNC022801)". The stretch from base 8671 to 8760 matches the Rfam family "Small nucleolar RNA U54". The record is from RNAcentral. Lineage: Eukaryota; Viridiplantae; Streptophyta; Magnoliopsida; Poales; Bromeliaceae.
AAAUUUUAAAAAGUGGUAAAUCUUAAAUACUAUUGAAUAAGGAGUAGCAGGAAUUAUGAUUAUUAUUAUUUUUUAAUUAUAGACUUAGUAUUUCUCGUGUGGCUAUGAUGCAUCAUUAGACUGAUGGCCCACCUCCACAAGGGGAUCUUUUGAAGUGGAGACAUGAUCACAUUUGGCCUCCUCUUUUAGACAGAAGCUCCCAAGGAGCCAUCCUUCUCUUUCUCUCUCUCCUCUCCUUUCCUCUUCUCUUCUCUCUCUCUCUCUCUCUCUCUCUCUCUCUCUCUCUCUCCUCCAAAAAGCCACACACACACACCUUUCUCCUCCUCUUAAUUUCCUCCUCCUCAUCCCACAACCUCAACCAAAGAGAAAUCACUUUAGCCUUUUCCUUCUCAUCACACACCAAUCCAUCUUUUGAUUCAGCAAAGACGAAGAUUCAGAAGCAACCUCAGAAGAACUUCAGAAAGAGAGAAAAAAAAAAAGCACAAAAGAAAGAGAAAGUGAGCUCCGAAUAAACUCUCUCUCUCUCUCUCUCUCUCUCUCUCUCUCUCUCCUACCUUUCAUUUCCUCUUUAUAUACUACGUACACAUGGGCACAUGGCCCUUUCACCAUCUUGAUCAUAUCAUCUACUAUUAUGGGUUCUACACAACACCCUCUUGAUCUAGUAAAAACACCACCAAGGUCGAUUCGAUCUCCUUUUUCCUAUUUCCUUUUUUUUUUUUUUUUUCUUGUUUCAAACUUCAUCUUUUUGUUUGUGAUCGUCCACGUACGUAAACGGACUCUGAAUCAUCCUAUGUUUUACAGUCAGAAAGUUUAAAUAUACACAACAAUCAUGGAUUCUACUACAAGUGGUAGCGUGCAAUCGUCGAGUGGCGGCGGCGGAGGCGGCGGCAGCAGAGGCGGCGGUGGCGGCGACGAAGAGUACACCUCGCAACCCGACUUCCUCUCUUCUUUCUUAACCCUCCCACCACCACCACCACCAUCCUCCUCCACAUCACACCUCCUCCACCACCACCACCACCACCACCACCCUUCUCCCUCCUUCGACUCCUUCUCCACCUUCCUCGACCCCCUCCCACACUCUCUCCCUCAAAACCCUAGCCCACCAUCCACCAAUCCCUUCCCCCAUUCCCCCUCACUGUUGCCCAACCCGAGUUGCACCACCACCGCGGCCUCCUCGGGCCAACACCCCGACCAACCGGACCGGCCGGCCGCCCCCGGCCCGGCCCGAGCUUCCAAGAAGCGGCCGAGAGCGUCGCGUCGGCCGCCCACCACCGUGCUCACCACCGACACGUCCAACUUCCGCGCCAUGGUGCAAGAAUUCACCGGCUUCCCCGCGCCGCCUUUCUCCUCCUCCUUCGCCCGCCCGCGUCUCGACCUCUUCCAGUCGCCGUAUCUUCUCCGGCCCUUUGCCCAAAAAAAUCACGCUUCCACAUUUGCUCCCAUUAAUAGCAGCAGCAGCGGCAGCACUGCUUCCACUAUGGUCGACGCUAUUGCUUCUAUUGCGAGGAACAGUUUGGUUAAUUUGAACACACUUUUAGCUUCAACCAGUGCAACUUCCGCGAGCGUGCCUAUCGAUCUCCAACACCCAAAUCUCCCGUCGUUCGCUUUACAGUCUCAACCGACCAUUCCCAAAGAGUUCGCGGUCGGAGAUCUCGGAAGCUUCGUCGGAUCGGAGAGUCUCAUCAAACCGGCCCAUCGGACGUCGAACAGUUUGUCAAUCUGGGCUGAUGGUUUAGGAUUAGACGGUGGCGAUCGUGAUCCAUUGAUCGGAUCAGAAUCGGCAGCUGCAAAGAGAUCAAACGACGUCGACAAAGGGCGACGGUAACGCCGCAGCGCAGAUUUUUCUUCGCAGUAUCAAGAGAUAAGUAUGUUGAUAGUAACAGGUGGUGAAAUGAAAGAAAGGGAAAGGGUUUAGUGGGUGGAGGAGAAUUUGAUCUUUGCUUCUACAACACAACCACCACGAAUAGUCCGUAUAAAAAUACAUGGCUUUAAUUUGCUCCUCUUUUUGUGUAUGCUAAGUAUAUCGUUUCUUUUACUGGAUGAGAAGUUCAUCUUAAAAUGCAUCUUCUUAGUAAAAGGACACGCUUUUCCAUUCAAAAAAAAGGACAGCUUUUGACAAUUUUGUUUGAUUAUUACACGUCUUUAUCAAACUAUACUAAUCCAUUUUCUCUUUUUAUUUCCUGUGAGAGGCCUAACUAAUGUAUGUUACAUUGUAAUAAUCACAGUGUACUUUACGUAUCUAUAUUUCAAUUUGAGACCUCUCUUCAUCUUUCAUUUUCCAUUACAGUUCUUAUGUAUAAUUAAUUCAAGUUAACUAGUCGCGUUUAUUCUAAUUAAUUGAUGCUUUUUUGUUUUUGUUUUCUUUUGCAUUACUUGGAUAUUUUUUUAAUUUUUUUUUAGACCGAUUGCUAUUAGGGGAUUGGAUCAAUUGAUGAACAGUCACCUAUAUAUGAACUAUUUUUGAAGCUAAGCGUCUAGGAUGAGCCCAAGUCCUUUGAAUUAAUGUUUCGCUAGCUCUAGAUAACUGAUCUAUACUAGGUUAUUUUACCAUGAUGUACCUUAUUUUACUACAAUUUUUUUUUAAGAAAAAGUGUAAUCAAUUAGUUAUUUUUAUCCAAAAUAGUACAAUCAGUUUACGCUUUAGUCAUAAGAAAUGCACCUGUAAUUAGCAGAAUAUUUAGCUAUAUAUGUUCUAAUGUGUAGUAUUCAUUUUUUGUUGCAGUACAAAGUCUUUCUAGCAGGAAAAGUAUUAAUGUAUUGAAUUCUUUGCUGUAGUUUCUUAUCUCUGUAGUGGAAUCAUGAGCUCAAAAUCUCAUUCUUGUUUACAGCUACAGUAGGAUCAACAAAACCUUUCGUUCACCGAAUGCUCUAACAGAGAUGACCGUGAUAGUAGUUGGAAGCAUAAAUUAAGCCAAACGAAUAUUUGAAGUUUUGUGUAGAGAUAUUUUUGCUUCUGCUUUAAGCAACAGUAGUGUUCAAUAAAAUAUUUGUUAAAGAAAAGAAAAAUGUGAAGCUUCCACUAUCGCAAAAUGUAUCAGAUUUCAAAGUUUCAAAUGGAAGUUCUAAUGUUGUGCUUCUAUUAAUUUUACUGUCAAAAGAAAUUCUUUUGUUUCUAUACCGUCAAGGGGUUUCAAACCUAACCCAACUUAAUUUACAUGGCUCUUCUCUAACAAAUAUCCUUGAAGCCUUUUAUGAAUCAUUCAACUUUGCCUAACUCGCACCUAACUUAUCCAAAAUCCCUUGGCCUAGUUCUUCUAAGUACACUUAAGAUGUCACAUUACCAUAACUCUUCUUGUACGAGCCCGUCUUGUUCAUAAAAGUCAUCAAAUUGGUUGAAGCAUACUGGUUAGAUAAAUUAAUUAAAAAGGAAAAAUUUUCCACUCAAGGCUAAAUUAAGCCUAUAAACUUCAAUCUAAUAGUAUAUAUCAGCUUUACUCUUAUCAAUCAUUUUGUAUGAAACUAUUUAUACAUGAAUUUGUAACAAAUAUUUUGUUAAGUAGGUAAAACAUGCGCUUGUUGGAUUGUUGGCGCUAAUCAUUAAUUCUAAAAACUCGAGCCGUUAGAAAUAUAGAACCAACUCACUUGAAGCUUACAGACACAACGACCACAGAUCUCGAUUAUGAUCCAACUCAACCAGCCUCAUGCUACUUCGAACAUAAUUUGACUCAAAUCUCACACAAUUUCGAACGUGACUCGACACAAAUUGGCCUUUCGCUACAAGACAGGAUGCUGGAACGGCAAUUAAUGGAUCCUUUACAACUAACAUAAAAGGACAGAGACUAGCUUAGGAGAGUAAUUCAUUAAUGACAUUGUGAAUCUUGUGUGAGCUUGGGCUUGUAUUGGAUCCAUUACUAGUUUGAAGAUUUUGCAUGUUAAUGCAAAAACUACUUUAAUGAUCUGCUAUUUAUGCUGAAGUUCAUGAGUCUAAAGGGUUUUUAUUUUUCUAAAUAGAGAAGGUAGAAAAUAAAAAAUAAUUCACCGCGAUCAUGUUAAGUAGCUAGAAGAGAAAUAGAACCCCAGUGAUUUCGACACCAAACACUUCAAUAGAACUUUGAAACCAAAGUAGAUAGAAAAGGUCCACCCAACAUAUGAAAAAGCAAGAUGCCUUUCCACAAAGAGUUAAACAAACUAAGGACAAGUGGCCAAACAAAAAUAAUCUCGAAAACUAUUAAUUUUAGAGCAACACUAUCUGUACAUCGAAAAAAUAUUUAAAUUUUACAGUCUAUCAUUCCAUAACCUUCUUUUUUUUGUCCCUUCUUUUAUAAUUUUAAAAAUUUUUUAAAAACUUUUUCAUUUUAGAGUGAAGCUCUAAAGGAAAUGAAAGGAAAAAAAGAAAAAAAUAAGUUACAAAUAACUACGAUUUACAUAUAUAUUUUUUAAAAAUAUACAAAUAAUAUAUAUUUUUUAAUAUCUAUUGCAAAAAAGGUACUCCAUGCUUUUCCUCAUGAUAACCUCUUCUGAAACCCACUAUCUCUCUUCCAUAGGGCUAUGAUGGCUAUUUUCCUGACAACAAUGCCAACAAAAUUUGUGCAAUCAUAGUAGGAGCUACUCAUUGGUCCCAAUAUGUGAUAGUACGAACCUAGCACAUUUUUACAAUCAUAUCUGGAAAUAUAAAAUAUAAAUAUUUCAUGAACAUCCUCUAAGACAACUUAAUUAAGGGUCUAAUAAUUUGGUAUUCACCGCUAAUUAUCGCUAUUAAUUAGGCAAAAAAGGGUGGAAACAAAAAAUAUAUAGUGACAAUUCUCCAUUUUGUAGUAAAAUUAUAAAUUAAUAUUAUAUCUUAAUCAAAUCAUUAUAAUUUACGGAAUGUGUUAUUCCUAAGAAAUAUAAUAUAAAUUUUUGCACUCUUUUAUCGUACUUAAAUGUAUUUUUGCUGUGAUCCACAGGAGAGGCUGCGAACAACAAUGGAGCUGAUUUUUAAUGGAUAAAUGAUCAAUUAUAUCCACUUUAAGGACACCUUUUCCAAUCAUGAAACAGGCAAAAAUAAAAUGUUUGCAGGUGUUCGGAGUGAGUUUGAAAUAAGUGAGAACGUAAACUUUUAAAAAGAAUCUAGCUCACCUAACUUUGCCCAAAAGCCAGAGCUUUAAGUAGACCUUGAAGAAACGAACAAGGAAGCGAAAUGGUUGCAAAAUCUGGAUCAGUUUGGCUGCGGUUGGACUCGCAUCGCACCGCAUUAUGGCGACAGAAAAAUCUAAUCUUGUGUUACCGCAAGCUAUGAGUUUGCUUUAGUAUAUGCGUGCGAUAUUGUUAAUAAACUGUAAAAAUUAUUGGACAACAAAUGAAGUCACAACUACGAUACUUUAAAUUUGCAAUGACUGCGAGAUACAAAAUGUGUAACUGCUUCUGAAUUGUGAGUUACGACUAACCAACUCUCGAGGGAAAUAGACCCAACCCAACUAAGUUAAUCAGGGAGAGAGAAUCCAAUUCAAAGCGGGUCGAAUCGGAUCUGGUCUUCAAAUUUGGUGGGAAAUUCUCACCUAAGAUGAUGUCGACUGUGCUGAACUAAAAUACACACAUUCAUCGGCGCCAUGCGAACCAUGUUUGUCCGGACCAUACUUGACAAGGUCCGGCCCAAUACUGAAUGGAUCGCAUCUGUGUUCUAUCCACACCGGUUUGACCCGAGGUGCCAUGUCGGUUUUGGGCUAUCCAGUGUUUUAUUUUUUUUAGCUUAUAUUUUUUUUUAUAUUUUUUAGAAUUAAUUUUAUAAAAUUGUAUAUAAUUAUUAUGUGCACACGGUAUAAGUUUUAGAUAGUAUUUUAAAAAAAUUAUUCAAAAAAAUUGAAUAAAUAAUAAAGUGAAAGAAUUAUAAGGCCCACGGGCUUCAGGCCGGUCACCGUGUGGCCCAGUUUUAGGGCCCGCAGCAUGGAUGAUGUGGCCCAGUAACCCAAGAUCCCACCCUUUUUAUAUGAGGACGCAAACCGCCUCCGCUCGCGCACCUUCGUUAUUAGGGUUAGGGUUUUUGGAUCUUCGUUCCCCGCGAGAGGAAGAGGAAGAGGAAGAAGAGGGGGGAGAGGCGGGAGAGAUGAGGCCGAUACUGAUGAAGGGGCAUGAGCGGCCCCUGACGUUUCUGAGGUACAACAGGGAGGGGGAUCUCCUCUUCUCCUGCGCCAAAGACCACACGCCCACCGUGUGGUUCGCCGAUAAUGGCGAGCGACUCGGCACCUACCGCGGCCACAAUGGCGCCGUUUGGUGCUGCGACGUCUCCCGUAAGAUCUCUUCUUCCUCCUCUUCUUCUUUUCGGUGUUUCUCUCUUCUCCUCUUCGAUGCAUUAGUUUUGGCUUACCUUUCCUUUUGAUUCUUCAUAUUCGCUUCUCCGUGGGCGUUGGGCCGAUCUAUGUAUCCUAAAGAGGAAGAUGCCAUUUUUCCGUUUCUCGAUUUGUUGCUUUUUACGCAAUUUACGCUGCUUUAAAGUGAUCGUAAUAUGUUUUGCUCGAUUUAUGUAGUGGGUUCAGAGUGUUAUCUGUUAUUUCCUUUUGUUGUAUUUAGUAGUACAGUAAAGUAGUCUAACUCGAAGUAUAAUUAUUUUAAGCUUAGUAAUAUCUUACAUGUAAACUCUAUUUAACAUAUCCGGAGGCUGGGGUUUUCAGUAAAGAUAACAAUGAUUGUUUUUUUUUUUUUGCUUUUUGCAUCUUAAAAAUUCCGUUUUUAGUGUUUGAUAUAUCCUAAAUCAUCAAAAACUAUUUUUUUGUUAUGUGUAGGCGAUUCAACUCGCCUAAUUACGGGCAGUGCUGAUCAGACAGUAAAGCUGUGGGAUGUUCAGACCGGAGCCCAACUGUAUUCGUUUAAUUUUGAUUCCCCGGCCAGGGCUGUGGAAUUUUCUGUCGGCGAUAAGCUUGCCGUUAUCACCACAGAUCCGUUCAUGGGGAAUCCGUCCACCAUCCAAGUCAAACAAAUUGCCAAAGAUUCUAGUCAACGUAUGCAGUUAUCAUUUUGUUCAUAUACUAAACUAGUGCAAAUUAUUGAUCUCCCCUCUGAUCAUGUACUGAUUGUAGUAAAGCAAUAUACUUGUAAUUUUUUUGCAGAGACUAGUGAAUCUGUUCUUACAAUUAAGGGACCUCAGGGAAGAAUCAAUAGAGCUGUUUGGGGGCCGCUCAAUAAGACCAUAAUAAGCGGUGGUGAAGAUGCAGUGUUACGUAUUUGGGACUCUGAGGUGUGUAGAUUCGUUCCUUCAUUAGUUGUGUCUUUUCGUAUUUUCGAUUUCAGUUGCGUACCGCAUUUGUGGACGUCAUAGAGCUAUCCUUAUUAGUAGCUGUUUUCUCCACAAUUUUCUGUCAAUUGCCUUUUCACUCUUAUCUCGUUCUGACGUGCAGACCGGAAAGCUUUUGAAGGAAGCAGAUCAGGAGUCCGGCCAUCAGAAAACAAUAACUUCACUAUCAAAAUCUGCAGAUGGUUCUCAUUUCCUCACAGGCUCCCUGGAUAAAACCGCUAAGGUGAUAAACUUUUUUUUUUUUUUUUUUUUUUUUUUUUUUUUUUUUUUUGAGUAGCUGUCUUUGGAGUGUCUUACCACCAACUUAAAGUCUCUUUUGUUUGAUUCUUAUUUGUUUCUUAUUUAUUCUGGUUAGCUGUGGGAUGCAAGGACGCUGACUCUUCUGAAGACGUAUGCGAGUGAACGCCCUGUCAAUGCUGUAGCAAUAUCUCCCCUCCUUGAUCAUGUACGCACCUAAACAUUUUAAUCUUGAUUGUCACUUCAAGCUUCUGUAAGAUCAUUGUCGACAAUUUAAGAAUUACAUGAGAAUCAAACCGAAUGAAAAUGAAAAAAAAAAUCUGUUCUGUUUAACCAAUUGGUUGAAGCAUUCACUCGGAGAUAGGCUUCAUCAGUAUUCAGUAAAUGAAUCAUAAAAAUUCAUUCGUCUGGUUAAAGAAGGUUACGAUUUAUCUUGAUAACAUAGCCUAUUGACUGUGUGGAGUGAACUCUUGCAUCUAUAUUCUGAUUUAUUUGGUUGCUUUCCGGAGCAAACAAAAGAUGAAAAACUUGUGGCUCUGUUGGGAGACCACGUGGCAAUUUUCAAAUGUCAUUCAAUUCUGCAUGUUGCAAAUGUACUCCUUUAUGGCCAUGCAAGCCUGCUGUAUUACAGUUUUAAAUCUGCUUAUUGCUCAUGUGCACUGCAAACUAGUAUGUCAUUUUGUUCAGCUGACUUCUGUUGUACGCAUUGUUACUACUUUUUCAUGUGAACCAAGUUCUCUAUUAUUUAGCUUGGCUUCUUUUAUAAUUUUCUCCUAGGUUGUGAUUGGUGGUGGUCAAGAAGCCUCACAUGUCACGACGACUGAUCGUCGUGCAGGUAAAUUUGAGGCCAAGUUUUUUCACAAGGUGAGCCUUUUCUUUCUUUUUCUCUUUUUUCAUUCUGUAGGAUUUCCUUCAAUCUUCAUGGUAUUGAGUGUCAAGUUUCCUGCAUUUGAGAAAACAUUGGAAAAUAACAAUUUUUUUUAAUACACAAACAGAUUCUGCAAGAAGAAAUUGGGGGUGUGAAGGGCCAUUUUGGACCAAUAAAUUCUUUGGCGUUCAAUCCUGAUGGAAGAAGGUUCUUUCUCUCAUUCUUUUCUUUGCUUAUAUUAGAUAAACUAUAAAUUUCUUCAUCAACCAAAAGAAAUAAUUUUUUCAAUGCAUUAUAACAAUGUAUUUUUUUGUGUCAAUCUCUUUUGGGUACCAAUGGAUUAUGGUUUUGCAUUAGUGGCUCAAUGAUUAUAGCCAAUUAUAUUGGCAAUAUACGCUAUUCUGAGAAAGUUGAAAUACUUAUGCGGACAAUUGAGAAUAUGAGAGCUACUUGUCAACUUUUUUGUCGAAAUUUCUUGUUUUGAGAUGAUUUAUUGGCGUUGUUACAUUGUUCAGUUUUAGUGAUCUUCCAAGGCGUCAUUGAUGUGGAUUUUGGAGAUAUUUUAAAUUGGAUCUUCCUCGCUUCUAUAUGUAUUGUCGUGCAGCUGUGCCUUUUGACUGUUUUACUACAGUGGGCUUCUUGUAACAAUUUGAUAUUAUCAUUCUGCGAACUUUUUAGCUAUCAUUUCUUGUGAAACUUAAGCUAACCAGUUUUAUUACCAAUUUUGCUAUUCUGAGAAAGUAUCCUAAACUGGAUUUUGAUAGCACUGAUAUUUUGUUUACUUGCCUUGUAAUGCUAUAUAUAUAUAUAUAUAUAUAUAUAUAUAUAUAUAUAUAUAUAAUGUUUCUCUUUUUCUUAUUUUCUGCACCACAAAGUUUUGUUGUUUAGAGCUUGUUUUAAUCUUAUCUUUAUGGCAUCUUUUUCUGUCUCUAACAUUUCAAUUCCUUUCAAUAGCUUUUCGAGCGGCGGUGAAGAUGGUUAUGUUAGGCUGCAUCAUUUUGACCCUGACUAUUUCAACAUAAAGAUGUAAGUCUUGCCUGGCAUUUUCAGGAGUGUACCUUUGUUUCCUUUCGACUUUCUAUUAAAGCAUUUAAUCAAAUAUGUUUCUCUCGAUAUUGAAUUGUUCCCUUUCUUUCAGGUGAGUGAGUGAGUGAAAAUGCAAAUUACAUUCUUGAUAGCGAACAGACAAGUGAAGAACCGUCAUUUGCCGUGUGGUAGUUUGAAGUAUCGAACUUUUUGUCUUUAUACUUAUGUAAUAAGCCCUGUUCUUUGGACUUUGUUGAAUUUUGUACAUGUAAAGAAUUUCUAGUGAGCUUCUACUUCAUGUUUUGGUCAUGUUGCUUCUUGAAAUUCUUCAGAAUAUUACCUGCUGCGAGUUUGCACCGUUAAAGAAAUUCCACUUAUUGGAACAUGCAGCAUGGGUAGGUUUAUUUUAACUUAAUUAGUCUUUAGAUGAUCUAUAAUCUUUGCUGACCGUUUGAAGUAAUUUGCCCCCAGGAGAUGUGGAUGCUUCUUUAUAUAAACUUACUGGUUUUUCUAUUUCUUUUGUCGUUUGCUGCCUCUGCUUGCGUGCCGCUUGAACGCUCUGCGGAAGUAUCUUGCAGAAAAUCAAUUUCGCGAAUGGAUUCAAUGGAAAACGGAUUAUGUUGUAUGGUAUUUUGGUGCUGUGUACUAGCGUAAAAGCUCUCGAGAUGACCCCUUUUUUUAUAUAAAAAGAAAAAAGGAAAAGAGUCCUUGAUAUUUGAUUACCAUAUUCUCAUUUUUCUUUGUGUGAUUCCACAAGCGAGAAGAACACUCUUUCACGUACCACCAUUUCCUUAGAUUUAAACUGUGUAUAACAUUUAAAAAUUUUGUAUAAAAGAAAAGAUGUUAUGGUCCACAUCACAAGCAGCGCCGCGGCACCGGUGCCGAAUGAAUUCAAAAAUUCAAACUCCCUAAAAAUGUACGUUAACAACCUCUCCCAGUCUCCCCUUUACCUGCCCUCAUUAGUGCUAGCUGUUCCCCGUGUGAUACGCCCACCACCUAAACCUCACCGCCCGCUCAUUUUCACAAAUCCGCAGCAAAAAAAAUUAUUUUUAGUAGAAAUCAUGGAUCAUGGAUCCUCUUACCGCUCACCUACGGUGAACAGAUCCGGAGAGAGAAAAGAUGGAAUAGUAACCCUCCCCGUAAAUCGAGCGCUCACACUUCGCCUAGUUUUCCCCUACUUUAGAGAGAGAAACAUAGAGGGGAGGGAGCCACACUCCGCCAUUUUCCCACUCAAGCUAAGCUCACAUAGAGAGAGAGAGAGAGAGAGAGAGAGAGAGAGAGGGCGAGGAAGAUGGAGAGGAGCGCUCCGGUGCGGAACCCACACACCUCGACGGCGGAUCUGCUGACGUGGAAGGAGGCGCCGCCCGAGUCGGAGGCGGCGGCGGCGGGGGGGUCGCAGCGGCCGCAUCAGGUGAGCUUCGUGAUCCCCGUCAAUGUCGAUUCUCGACCUCUUUCCUCUCUUCUCUAAUCGCUAAUGGCGGCUUUCGUGUUCCUUUCAUGUGGAUUCUGAAGCCCUCGGAGGCGAUAAGGAAGGUGGUGUUCGGGGGCCAGGUGAGCGAGGAGGAGGCCGAGAGCUUGAACAAGAGGUGAGAGAUUUGGUGCUCGAUAUUCUAGGGUUUGCUGUUCUGACUCCGCCCUAUGCCUAAUUUUACUCAUGGAAUGUGAUCGCCCCUUCUUUUUCAUAACAAUUCAUGCACUUAUAACCUGAUUCAUGGCAUUGACGUUUGUGAUGCGAAAUUUGUGCUAUUCUAACCUGUUAUGGUUGUUUAUGUUGGACUAUACAGUAUACUGAACAUGGGCUGCUUAAGCACCCUUCAUAGUGUGUCGAUAGUGUGUCGAGUAGCUAUAUGAAGAAAAUAUAGUUUUGGUGAAGCUUAAACAAAGAGGUGAGGUGAGAUAUCGAGUCGAGCUUGAGUGUUGGUUCUAGGGUUAGUGUUACAUCUUUUGUCGGAUGAAUCGUCUUGUUUUGUCAAAUUUUACACCUUUUUAGUUGUUUGAUAAUUUGUGCUGAUACUUCCAAUGGCAUCUUGUCGAUGGGUCGGAUUACCUAUUCUUUUCGUAACAAUGCAUGCACUUGAUAAGAUCAUGAAAUUGCAAGUUUAUGAUGCUUCAUUUGUGCCCUUCUAACUGCUACAAUUGUAUUAUCUGCUAGUAUGAAUGUUUUACUCUCAAUACUGGAGAAUACGGGACAUUGACUGCUUAUGUACUGUUUUAAGUUUACUGAAGAUAAAUGUCGGCUUAGGGCAUCAAAAAAAUCUUACUCGUUAAUUAUGAAGCACGGACUUUAAUAAAUGAUCUAAGAGCGCUGUUACAAUUCUUCUGUUUUGUGCAGGAAACCUUGUUCAGGUCACAAGUGGAAAGAAAUGACUGGUAGCGGCAUAUUUGCAGCAGGGAGUGCGGAUGGUACAGCAGAUUCUGAAAGUGCUUUCUCAACUCCUAAUAGCAGGAUGAGUUCACCAACUUAUCAGGUGCGGCUUUCAAAUCAACUAGAACAGUAGGUUUUGUUGUAUAUCUGUUAUUUAAUGCAGCGGAGGAGAAAUUUCAUUUGAGAAAAGGUAAAAUAGGAAAUGCAUGUGUUAAUGAUAAUUAGGCAUGACAGCUUUUGAAGACGAGAUACAAGAAAAUUGGUUAUGAUGAUUUGAAGGUUUCUAACAGUUGCCAUCUAUAUGCUGGUAGGAGAGUAAAAGUGCUGAAGGCCAAAGAGUGAACUGUUCUGUAAGCUGGUCAUUUUGUUAUGUACAAAUUCACCAUUUUUUUUUUUUUAAUAACCUUCUUGAUGGAUUUGGAACUUUACAACUUAGCAACAGUUACUACAGCCGAUUUCUUUUUAACUUUUUUUUUCUAAAAAAAAAUUGCAUCACCUUUGCCAUUUUGUUUAGUGCAUCUAAGCUCCUUAUGUUCGCUCACAAUUUUCCUUGCACUGAUGACGGAAAUCUCCAAUCUAACUACAAAUGCAUCCGUUCAUUUAACACAGCAAACAAUUAGUGGUAUCAGCCAAAUCUCGUUCAGCACCGACGGGAGCAUUACCCCGAAGAAGCCAACCUCGGUGGCAGAGAUGGCAAAGCAGCGGGAACUAAGUGGAACUCUGCAAGUCGAGUCUGAGAGCUCGAUGAAAAGACAAAUAUCUGAUGCAAAGUGCAAGGAACUUGGUGGGCACGGCAUAUUUGGGCCCCCUACUGAAGAUUCUCCCCGGCAAUCAGCAGCAAGGGAUUUCAAGACGAAGGACGAGGGCGUUAGAGAACCUGCUCCUCGCAGUUUGCAUACAUCCGUGAAAGUUUCUAACGUGAGUAAGAUAAUGCCAAUUCGUUUGUACUAGUAUGUAUAAUAUAGGAACCGUUAUCAUCGUUCUAUAAUCAUGCAUCCUUUUCCUCUUUUAAAGCAAAAAGGAUGGUCUGUUUUGCCUCUGAAGCAUACUGAUUAUAAUCAUGCAUCCGAUCGCCACAGAGGCAGGUCAUGAUAGGUGGUGCCUUGUUUUUUAUCUUGGUUUUUAUUCACUUAUUUAUCUUGGAUUUUAUUCACUCUGCAGCCGGCAGGAGGCCCGAGCAACUUCUUGAUUGGUGAGACCGAGGAGCCUGUGAUUAACAAAACCGCCAAGAAGAUCUACACUCAGAAGUUUUCGGAUCUCACCGGAAACAAUGUCUUCAAGGGAGACGCACCUCCCGGAUCAACGGAAAAGCCGCUGAGCGUGGCGAAGCUGAAGGAAAUGAGCGGCAGCGACAUCUUUGGUGAUGAAAAGUCUGCUUCCCGGGACUAUUUUGGCGGUGUACGGAAGCCUCCCGGUGGCGAAAGCAGCAUCACGCUAGUUUGAAUUGACAUUCUAAUUUCUGUGGCAGAGAUAUAACGUGAGGACCAUGAUCGGUGGUUUCAUCUUAUGUGAACUUUUUCUACACGAGUGAUUGGUCAUAUAUCUAGUUUUACAGCUGAAUGGAGUGUUAGUUAUCUACUCUGUUAUCAAACUUGAUUUGUUUUUCUUGGCUAUAGAUUGACAUUGCCACUCUCAACUCUCUCUCUCUCUCUCUGGCUUUAUUCUUUUUGUUUCUGAUAAAUUGAUAUAAAAAUUAUUUAAACUAUCUUGUCUUUGAAAAUUAAUUUUACUAUUUAAUUUUUUAAUUUGUUUGAUUUUAGUCUGUUAACAGUAUUUAGAUUUUAAAAUUUAAAUUAAUUAUUUAUUUUAAUAAAUUUAUAGUUAUAAAAAUUACAUUUGGAAAGAUAAACGAUAUAUUUAAAUUUAAAAAUUAAAAUAUCAUUGAUCGAUUCAAAUUAAAAAAAUAAAAUAGUACAACUAAAGGUUUAGUAACUGAUUCUAAAUAGUCCGCGUUGAAUCAUAGUCCACAUUAGGUCAGUUCUAUAUGUUUUUAUUUUAUUCUACAAUUGAGAAAGAAGCUUAUAUUCUGCUACUUGCUAGUAAACGGUCUCUUGAUCUUUGUUUUUAACUCUUCAUUUCUACUCGUUAAGAAGCAUAAAAUUUGUUUACACAGUUAUACCAUGGAAAAUUGGUCUGGUACACUGAUCCCUUUCUCCCUAGGAAAAGAAGCGAUCAUGAAAGCACCCAUCAACACGGAUCAGAAAAGAUCAUCUAAGCACAUCAACUGCCGUUUCUCUUACCAACAGGUUUAUUUUUUAUGCACAUUAUAUUCAAACCCACUUACGUGAGACUCUUUCGUGGUCAACCCGCCCAUCAAAAGGGUGUGUGUUGGUUUCUUUUUUUUUUUUAAUCAUCAUCUAAUUUUCACAGCUAUUCUGCAAAAGAGAGAGAAAGGAAAGAGAAGCGAAGGAGAUUACGACGAGAAAUGGACGGUCGUGAAUCGUGGCCGAAUCCGGUGGGGAUCAUCUCAACGGCUGUGAACGAAGACGACCUCGCGGGUGACGCCGCACCCGCAGCUAACGCUCACUCGCACCGCCGCUCCCGUUGCGGCGCCAUCCACUUGCUCCUGCGAACCACAGGACAUGUAGCGAAAUGACCGAAUUACCCUUUUUAUCCUAUAGACGAUAUACAGUGGCAAAUUGGUGAUAAAGAGCAGAUAGCGUGGCAAUUGCUUUUCCAUGUUACCGAAUCAAGAAUUUUAUUACUAAAGGAAUAGAAGAAAGAGAGGGGAAAAAAAAACAGGAUAUACCAUCUGAUGGGGGUCGGAUGGAGGAUCGGGAAUGAUCAGUUGAUUAAAUUUCGAGUGAAAUUAAAAAGGAAAAGAUGUUUGAAGAUUAGGAGAAACGUGCCUUCUUAUUCUUCUCCGCGGAGGAGAUCACCGCGUGAUCCGCCGCGCACGAGGCCGAGCGAUGGAGCGGAGUGGCUGGUGCUGCGGCGGGGGGCGAUAUCGGAGGGAUCGGAGUGCAGCACGGGUGGUGAGGCGUUGCGUUCGGAUCCGGCGAGAUCGCGGCGGCGGCGGGGUUGGCGAUGGGGGGAUCGACGACGCAGGACGACGUGCUCGGAGACGCCGCGGGGGGGAAGGACUUGGAUCGGAGGUAGGGGGAGCCAGGGCACGGGCGAAGAGGGCUCAGCGAGGGGCUUAGCCCUGCGUCGGCGGCGGAGGUGGCGGAGGAGGAGGGUGAGGGGGGUGAUUCGAGGACGAGGAGCUUCUUGCGGGCGGUGGUGGCGGGGUGAAGGCAUCGGCGUUUGCGGCUGCCGCAGUAGGAGCAGGGCUCGGAGAAGGCCACGGCGGAGGGGGAGCUCUCGAUGCGGAGCUCCGCCAUGUACGGGGGAGGGGUGGAGAAGCGGGGGUCGGAGGAGGGGGAAGGUUUCUUGAGGAACUCCAUCUCUCUCUCUCUCUCUCUCUCUCUCUCUCUGGAUUGGUGUUUUGAAAUGUUUGAGGGUGGAGGGAAAAAGAGUGGGAAGGGGGAGAUAUAUAGAGAGGAUGGAUUGUGCGGAGCAAUCGAACGGAUCAGAUUUAUCGUGAGAGGUCGUGAUCCAACGGUGCUGGCUGGGGUUUAUUGCUCUAAUUGGUAGCUGUGUUGAGGCGAUUCAACCGCUGAGAUUGCUCGAAUCAGCGUAUGCGUAACUCCUUUCGAGACUUGAGUCAAAUCCGACUAUUAAACAAAGUAAAAAAGUUAUUGAUUAGUACUUGGUUUCCAUUUCGAGAACAGAGGUAGGAGGGUUGGAGCAAUCUCUAAUAAGGCCCUGUUUGGCUUCCGGUGAAAUCGCUCCGAAAAAAAAUUUCAGUGAAAAAGUAUAAUUCCGAAUGCUUGUUUGUCCGUAAAAAAAUUUUUCGUGAAAAUUUUUUUUACGAAUCUGAGAAAACGAAAUUUUUUUUUAAUUUUCCGCUCAAAACGAGCUAUUCGAGCAAAAACGAAAAUCAUUUUUCGCGGCCUUGGGAGGGGCGGGUUUAUCGGGCGCGCGGUCAACAAGACGCACCCCACCUCGUGGACCGCGAGAGAGAGGUCGUGCGGUGGACCUCUCUCCCCCAUUUUUUUUUUAUAUAUAAUAAUAAUAAUAAUAAUAUAUAAAUAUAUAUAUAUAUAUAUAUUUGUAUAUAUAUUUUAAAAACAAUAUUUUAUUUAUAAAUAUAUUUAUUAUAUAAUAUUUUAUAUCUAGUAAUUUAUUUUAUAAUAUUAAAUAUAUACUAUUAUAUAUUAUAUUAUAUAUUUAAUUAUUGCAUAAUAUAUUUUAAAUAUAUUUUAUUUAUAAAUAUAAACUAUAAUACUAAUAUAUGUAAUAUGAUAAUAAUUAUAUAUUAAUAAUAUAAAAUAUGUAAAAUAAAAAAAAAAAUAUAUAAUAAUUUUUAUUUAUAAAUUUUUUUUUUCUUUCAACUAAAGAAUUGUAAACUACUUUUCUUUUCCUACAAAUCAAAUAUAAAUGACGUAAAAUAUUUUUUCCACCGAAAAUUUUUUUUCACCGAAAUUUUUUCCCACAUAUUUACGUGGAACCAAAUACAUCCUAAGCAAAAAAGAAUUAAUGAACAUUCUAGUAGGCAACCUGAAUCAAUGAAUUAAAUGGAAUACCAAAUAAUCUAUCAAUCUGCACAAGCAUAUAAACCAAAAAGCAGUUCAUAUCCCCUACUCCAAAAGAAAAUAUAAAUACAGUAAAAACCGAUACAGAAAUAUAAUACUGUAUCCAAAAAGAAAAAAGAUCAGUUUUUAGGAAAGGAGCAACAAAAAUUGGCAUGAAUGAAGACCUUCACUACACGGACAAAACACUGAAAAAAGAGAACAAAGGCUUUGGUUCCAAACCAAAAAAGAAUAGGAGAUUGAUUAGGAUCCUAUAGUAUAAAUUUAGAUAUUUAAUGUGAGGUAGUAUGAUAUUGCUAUGUUGAAUCUUAUAAUAGCAUAUGCAUAACUCCUUUUGGGACAACAAAACCGUUUUUUUUUUUUUUUUGUCUUUCUAUGUAUGACAUUAUAAUCCGAGCUUGAUGAGUCUAGCAUGCACAUCCCCCUGACUGCUGCACAGUUUGCGAUGAACUGACUGUGGGCUUCAAGUUCACGUCCACCAUGUCUUCCUGCUUGGCUGAUGAGAGAGUCUCCAUCCCAGGCAAGGCUGCAGCAAUUUUGCGGAACAGUGGCUGCAAAGGUUUUAAUUGUAAUCACUUGAUAAGAACUUGGUUAAGAAUUUAGUUAACAUUACAAAACAAUGAUAAUAGCAUGUAUUAACCUUGAUGUUCAAUCCUGCUUUUGCACUGGUUUCAAUAAACAUGACACCGAAUUCUCGGGCCUUGGCUUCUCCUUCUUCAGUUGAAACUUGCCUUUUAACAUGAAGCAAUGAGGAAAAUCCAUUAAUCUUGUGAAGGAUUAAGUUCAAAAUUUAUAAUAAUCCAAAUGGACACAUGCAGGCACAGGACAGCACAAAUAUAAAACAAAGCCAUGUAGAAUGCUUCUUUAAAUCAAUGAAGGGUUAAUUGCACCAGAGUGUUAAUCACUUUGCUAAAUCGCUACAUAAAGAGAACUUUAACAAGCCAAAAGACCUUUUAUUUUAAUUGCUAAGAUGCUAUUUAGGGCUUGUUUGGUUCAAAGGUGGAAUUGGAAUGGAUAAUGAAAUGGGAAUGAAUUGGAAUGGUAAUUGGAAUGGCCCACUCCCCCAAGACGUUUGGUUUAUUUGUAGAUUGGGAAUUGGAAUGAGUUAUUCACAUUUCAUUGUUUGGUUCGUAUAAACUAAAAAAAUUAUAGGAUACUAUAAUACUAAUUUUACUCUCAAAUUUAAAUUUAUAUUAUUUAAAAUUUAUGAAAAAUAUAAUACUAUUCUCUAAUAAGUUUUCCAAAAAAANAAAAUAUAAUACUAUUCUCUAAUAAGUUUUCCAAAAAAAUAUCAAAUUUAUUUUUAAAAACUUUUAUUGAUGUGGGUUAGGGAUAGGGUUUUGAGAGAGGAUAGGUUUUUUUUUUUUUUGAUGAGAAAGGGGUGAAGAAAAGGAGGGUGGGAUGAUCACAUGGGCUUCGAGAACUUAGUGGGCUUUCGGAAUGAAAUCUCAAUCCGGGCUAGAAAAUUGGAAUCAAGUUGAAGGCUAAUGGGUCAUUCCCAUUCCAGUCCGGAAUAGGAAUCCCAAACCGAUUCAUGCGAACCAAACAAAAUUAACCGGAUUUGAUAAAACCGAUUUCCAUUCCAUACCCAAAAUGGAUGAACCAAACAAGCCCUUAGUGUAAUCACCUUUUAUCAACAAGAUCUGUCUUGUUUCCAACUAGGACUAUGAUAACAUCACCACCCCGUUCUGUGCGAACUUCCUCGAUCCAGUUUGUGGUGUUCAGAAAUGAUUGCCUAUCUGCAGGGAAAAGGCACAUGAGAACAAGUAUUAAGACACGAAGUAUACAAAUUGAGAUAAAACAAAACUCAGGGAAAAGGGCAGCAAUGAAAAAUGAGGCCUAAGAAUUUCACUAAGAAAACCUCAAGAAAGGAAAAAAGAAGACCUACUAGAUACAUCAUAGACAAUUACUGCAACAGAAGAAUCUCUGAUGUAGCUUGGAAUGAGGCUCCUAAAUCUCUCUUGUCCGGCAGUGUCCCUGUAGAAUAUGAAAUCCAAAUGCUAAGCACUACCAACAUGUAUCUUCCAUUUAGUCCUAUGUGAAGAUAUCGCUAGUCAUUUUUCCUGCUAAUAAAUACUCUGAAACUGCUAGAAGUAAAAAAUUUUGUUCUUCUCUCUCUCUCGGAGAAGAAAAAAAAACAGACAGCUGACAAGAGAAAGCAACAGCAACAGUACCAGAGCUGCAGGCGAACUGUUCGAUCUUCGAGAUACAUUGUCUUCGAGAGAAAAUCAAUGCCAAUAGUAGCCUGAAAAUUAAUAGAGCCAUAAAUUGAUUAGUAAAUUAAAAAGUAAAGAAAAGAGGGCAAGUGUGUAAUGCUUUCACAGUUUCUUCAACAGUUACCUCAUUUUGUUCUAAUUACAGGUGCUUGACUCUAAUGUCAGGCCCCAAAUUCCUCUAAUUAAACACAUCCUAACUAGGAAAGAAAAGAGGAGGAGACAGAGAGAGAAGAAACUGUUCACAACAGAAAUUCUAAUAUAAAAUUUUCUGAGGCUUGUACAGGGGCAGCUGUAGGUGGUCAACUUAGUUAGCAUUCAAUGGAGCAAAGGUCCCCACAUCAACAAUUACAUUAUGGUUCUAAAGUUAUUUUGAUGCAAAGAACAUUGUAUCUAUGAGGGCCUCUGCGUUAGUCGAAGCGAAGUUUAUCAAAAUAAGGAACUCAUCUUUGAAUUUCAUGACUAUAUCAUUGUGGUUCUAAGGUAGAAAAGGUUCCGGGUUUUGCCGUCUUCUUAUGACUUAAACUGCAAUAGAUAUUGACUCCAUAUAAAAUUUGAGUUUCCAAAGCCUGUUCUUUACCUGGUUCUCAGUGCAUUUUCUAAUAUCUGGAUAAUCAGCAUCACAAUAUCAUGUAUGAAGCACCCAAUUUGCACAACAUGAAAUCUAGUACGGGCAUGUUAGAUUUCUUACGAAAAGUUACCAGAUGCACAAGGAAUUGUUCUAAAAAUGGCUACCGGAGGACACUGGUCAUUGAAUUCUUCUUGUACCAAAUUUCAAUAAUUUUUUGAGAUCAUGGAAUAAUUGACAUUCGGCACAGCUGUUAAGCCGGAAACAAACAGAUAUAGUUUACUCUCUAAAAGUAAUACGGCGAACAUCAUUAUCAUGAUCUCCUUGUGUAUCAUAAUUUGCAUUUAUAAAAGGCCAUUUGUCAACCAAGAGAUCAUACGAAAAGUUUCUUACAAUAAUUCUUGUGACUUUCAGCAAUGUGAUACAUAACUAUAAAUACAACAUUUCACAGCUAAAUUUCCAUCUAGGUCGUAGCAUGGAACAGGUCAAUAUCAUAGAACAUGAAAUCAGAAUCGCCGCUCCACCGCCAUGAUCUACGUGAAUCAACCCAACAAAUGCGCACAUUAGUAUGAGAUACCAACAGAUCAGUAGAUCCAUGUCGCUUGAACGCACAAAUCUCGAACAAUCCUAGAUCUAUCCCACAAUACCCAAUCCCGCCCUAAAAGCACACGAUUCUCGCUAAAUUAACAUAGAAAUUAAUACAGCAACCGCAAACUCGCGUCACAAUUGGCAUACCGAACAUGAAAUCGAAAUCAAAUGCAAGGGAGAAGGGGACGAAUCACCUGAUAUGUGGUGUCGAAUUUGUCGUACAUGAAUCGGGUGAUGAUGCUGGUUUUCCCCACCGAUUGAUCCCCGAGGAACACCAACUUAUACUUCGCUAGGGCCGAUACGACCGCCAUUAGGGUUCGGGUUUCGCUCUUUCUCUCCUCUCCUCUCCUCUUCUCUCUGUCGAUCUAAAAUGGCGAGGAAGAAGAGGAAGAAGAAAAAGAGAUCGAUCACGUCGUGGUUAAGCGUCAAAAGAGAGAGAAAUUUUGGUGGGUUUUGGGUAUUUAUAGGAAAGGGGAGGAGGAAGAAGCCCGUGGACAAACGAGUGCCCGCCAAGAGCGGAGGUGCAUUUGCUAUUAAUAAAAAACACCAAUGAAGAGAUUAAACCAAUAAAAUACUGCCACGUCAUCUAACGACCGAUUUUUAUAUGACGUCUCUCGUUAUUAUUGGAAAUGUUUCAUGUUUGGGUGAAGCCGUGAAGGGGCGUGAUAACGUCAUCGCUAUGCUGAGGUGGCAUACGUGGUCAAGCAAAACGCGUGCGUUAGCUGGGUUGAAAUUCUUAAUGGAUCGGUUUAAGGCCCAAUGGGUAUGUAAUCCGGCCCUAUUUUUGGUGGGUCAAGUUCAAUUCGGUUCACAAAUGCGUAUGUUGGCCCAACUACACAUUUCCCAUAUGGUUGUGUUUAAAAAAAAAAAAAAAUCCUUUUUAUAGGCCAUUCAUUAGAAAAUGAUUGUACUAUUAGUCCCUAGCCUUUAUAUGGUUUUCUAUUUUGGUUCUAAUUUUUUUCUUUUUUGCAAUUAAAUUUUUAACCUUUAUUAUCUAUUUUAAUUAGAUUUAACUAGCACAUUAAUUAAUAAAAACUAGCGCAUUAUACUAGUAUUUUAACACGAGGAGAAUUAUAUAGUAGGCUCAUUAUACUAGUAAUAAUAUAUAUAAUACAAUUCAGUAUGGAAGUAUACCCCAUAUUCCUAAAUCAUAAUUAGACUCACUAGUCACGCCAUUAUUUCCACGAACAAAGUUUUUAUAGAUUUUAUAUACAUGAAGAAAAUUAUGAAUAAAUAUGUAAAAUGGUCGCCGACUGCAAACAAAAUUGAAGAGAAUCUUGACACAGCUUCGCGAUCGAACAACCCUAUAUAGACUUCUAUGCCUCUUGAAAGAAUGUAAGAGAGGUAAAAGGUAGGCUCAAGCUCAACUUAGUCAUCUUGGUUCGUUUGGCUAGAGUUUUUGUAGAUUCAACCAUGUUGGGCCAGACUAAAAAAAUAAAUGCAUGAGAAAUUUCCUGUCAAGAUCAAAUAUUUAAUUUCUUCUCCUACAGCAGCCUGCCUCGAAUUUUUCUUUUUUUUUUUUCUUUUUUUUCGAAAAAUGUCUCAUUAAAGAUCGCUGAUGUUUUAAUAGUUACAUAUAGUAAACGUUAAUUUAAUUAUUUUAACUGUGCGUCGCAAUGUGCCAUCAGCGUAUCAAAUAGUUUUGCGGGAGCAACGUGCACGAGUUGCCCGAAGCUAGCUUGAAAGUAAGAUUAUUGUAUUCCACCACUCCUAGCAAUGAAGAAAAGCCACUGUAUAUACAAUGGAUAUUCUACAGAAUAUGUCUUAUCCCACCAGUUUUAUUGAGCCAUGUGGAAUUGUAGAUUUCUAAUUAAGAAUAAUAAUAUGAUAAUUUUUAAUUUAAAAAUGUUAAUUAAGGAAAAAUUGUUCACAUGCUUUGCAGCAUUACGAUGAUUUUGUUUAGGUUAAAUUUGACUUUCAGAUAGUUUAAAUGAUUUAAAUUGUGCUUAACAGUGCCGAUCGUUAAUUUGAAAGUUCUAUCAUUGAAAACAAAUCGGUAGUAAACUAAGCCGUUUACUACUGAUAAUAUUCUAGUAAACCUCUAUAAAAUAUCUAUUAUAUAGAAAAUUUUUCUUAAUAAUAUAAAUAAGAGGUGGUUCAUAAUGUAAGUGGUAAAAGGUUUAAUAUAUUUUUUUUUUUUGAGAGAUAGGUAGCACGCUACCCGUUUCGUUUAUUUUAUUUAGAAAUAAACUUAGCUAGAAAUGUGAAUCAACUAGGAUUCGAACUUGGGUCUCGGGUACCAACCACCAAAGUUUAAUAAUUAAUACUGAGGUUUCAAGUUCAGAAUCUAGCUAGUUAUUUCAUAUUAUCAGCUAAUAAUUUAUUUCAAAAAAGAAAAACUUUUCUCUUAAAAAAAACAGUAUAAUUAAACAAGAGGGCAAAACCAAGGACUCUUCAUCAAUAACUGAAAACGCCAUAAAUGUCUCGACGGAUCUAGUUGAAGUUACCAACUGUCGAUAUAAUCAUACAAACUUGUGCAUAUUGACAUCCAACUUCCAACAUUAAUUCCUCUAAGUACACCAAAGAGAAGCAACUCAAACAAAAAAAAGAAAAAGAAAAAAAAAGCAAAUCUUUAUAAAAUUCAAAAGUAAGUUCCCUACUAUAUAUUUUCGGAAAAAAAUUAGAGUAAAAUCCAACUCUUAUAGUUUUAAAAGAAAAUAUAUAUACUAAUAUACCAUGAAAAAUCCACAUCCUCAUUUCUUACCAAUUUAAUUAAUUUCUUAAAUGUGCAUGGUUAAUUUCUUUGGACGAAGAAUACGAGCGCCUUAUUUACAUUUUGUAGUAACUUGGGCACCUUGUGUGGAUCAUUAACCUAUAACCUAACGUGACUCGACCUUACUGGAAUUGCACAAUUAAAUUAGAUUGUUGGUGGGUCCUUUUCUAGUCACUAGAGUAGCUUAGAGAAUUUAUUCUAAAGUGUCGUGCAAUGCCUAAUGUUUUCUAAAAGGCAAGAGAGAGAGAGGCCCGAAUACUUCUGGAAUUAAUUGAAGCUGUUUAUUUUUACAUUAUUUUCGCCGAUAGAACAUCAGGAUCAAUAAUCAGCUUUGUUAAAUAUAAUCUAGACUAUUUAAUUUUUUUAAAAAAAAUUAAAUUUCAUAAAUUUAUUAUAUCAUUGACCAAGUGGUGAAGCAGUAUCAAAUUCAUCUUAUAAUACUAGUCAUUAAAAAUCGUCAAUUUUUCAACCCAUUUAAAGACUUAAGCAGAUUAUAGAAAAAAUAAAAUAAAAUUUAGAACUUAAAAAUUUAAAUAUCUUAGAUCAUGUUCAACUGUUGUUGUUCGUCGAUUUUGAUAUCUGAUCGUCAUGUUUACUUUUAGAAUCAUUCGAGCCUAAUUCUCUGUAUAUAGAUAUGGGUUAGGUUUAACAUAAAAAGAGGGGAUGACGAGGAGUGAUGGCAUUUUGGUGGGGAAAGGAGAGCCUAUCUUUUGGAGCUGAGCAUUUAAAGUGGGAUUCAAGAGGAGUUAAUGGUGGCAGGUGGAGUUGAACCAAAUGACCUAUGACCUCCUCCUUCAUGCUUUAAAUAAAUGUUGAGCCUCUCUCUCUCUCUCUCUCUCUCUCUCUCUCUCUCACACACACACACACACACACAUAUAUUAGGAUAAAACUUCCCUACUGGCUCCAAAGGUGUUCAAUUCCAAGAAUGCCCCUCCUUUUGAAGGAGACUAAAUUUGCGACUAAACUAUUUGGCUCGACAUCGUCUACCACGUCAGUUAUGGACUGCAUAAUGAUCUCAGUAGUACAUAGUGAUUUGUCACUAAACUGUUGGAGCAUCUCGUUGACAUUCGUUGUGAGAAUCCAAACGGUCCCAAGGUUCGAAUUUGAAAUCAUCAUGCUUUUUAAAUUUAGGAUUAUCAAGGGCUUUUCCGUAGGUCUGAUACUUAUAUAUAUUGAAAAACAUGCUUUGUUCUUAUUCUACUAUUAUGCACAUCAUCUAAUAAAUUAUAGUCCUUUUUUGCCGUUUAAUUCUUAAAAUCUAGUGAAAAUUCAAAUUGAAGUUGUAAUAAUAGAUGGCUGAUUGACAUAUGGUUCGUGACAACUAUGGUGGAAACUAAAAUACUGUGUCCUAAUUCUAUUUUUAUAUUCACCAUAAGAUAAAUUGCAAAUGCACCUAAAAUUAGAACUAAAGAUGAUAUGGAUGGCUGAUCAACGGAUGGUUCAUGACUGAUGUGGUGAACUAGGUCCAAGCAAAUAUAUCUCCAAAAUAGUAAUAUUUGGAUUAAAGUCUCAUUUGCUCAAAUAAGCACUCCUAUGCCAUCAUCUUUGACACCACCACAGCUUUACCAACCUCCCAUGCUCCUAUCUAAAGGUGCUAAAGGAUUCUUCCUACUUAAAUGCACCUACUACUUCUAGUUAGUUUGAAACACUAUCUUGGUCAUGUUAUGGAGUUUGUAUUGAGUUUCCCAUUGAGCUUUUUGACAACUCCAUUUAGCUUAACCUAACACCCAUGCUCUCAUUUAGAGAUGCUUGGGGGUCCUCCCAACUUUUGUGCACCAUCUAAUUCUAGUUAGGAGAGUUUCUAACUUGGUAGUGUUUGAGUUUAUCUUGAGUUUGUCAUUGAAGUACCAAAGAGGAGAAUGAAGGAUCUAUUCUAUUUGUUCAUGAAUCUAUCGUUUACUAGAUAUGGAGCUUAUGAUCUACCUCAUCUGUAGGAUUAUGAUUUGUAACCUUCUUUUAUUUAGAAUAUACACAAUAACUUAGUGGACUAUUUGUGCAAUUCAAUAGUGUUAUUAAAAUUAGAUUACCAGAACAUACUAUCAUUAAAGAGACCUUACAUCAUGACUUGCCCUUUUUUCUUUUUUUUUCUUUACCAUCAUUAAAUGAUGGCCCGUUCAUUUGCUAGGUUUUUGAGCAAGUCAAAGUACUAUAACCAAACGUGCGUGGUUGAGUUUAGUUGUUUAGGUCAUCAGUGCAAAGUACCAGUUUGAAAUACAUAAACCGAGAUUUGCGACGACAAUUAAGUUGUCUGAAUUAGGUAUUACUGAACCGCGAACCGCGACUUUUCCUACAGCGGAAGAAUUUUAUUUGGUAAUGUGUGAAUCCAAAUUACAUGGCUGAGCUUGUUGAAGUCGAUGCUUAAUUAAUGUGAUUUACUAAACCAUGGUCCAUCAAACUUCACCACAAAUUUUUGUUUGCUUGCACUUUGUUUGGAUAUUUGGCGUUAUAAAGCAAAUUGAAUUUUCACGAUUGUUAGCACAGUCGAUAAGAAUAUAUAUUUCUUUUAUUUUGUUGUAUAAAAAAAAAUUUGUGAAACAAAAACUAGGUAGAGGUUUAUAGCCAACACUUUUGCUUUCCUUGGGCGAUCUAAUGAUCAUGUUAUACUUGGACAUGCAAAUUAAGUGGUCAAACAACAUGGUUUUAAACUUAUCAAAUUGAAAAUUUCGAACAACCGACAACUCAUUGAAUAAGUAGAAACUGGACAACGCUUUGGCAUCGGAACACCCUUUUUGCGCUUAUAAUUUGUUUACGAAAAUCCUAUUUCAGUCAAAUUUGUUCCGUUGCUCACGAAUCAAAUAAUCGAUGGGACCAACGUAUAUAGCAAUACAAGUGCAAACUAAACAUAAGGCUAUGUAUACAAAGUAGAAAUGUAAGUGGGUUUGACUUGUCUAAUUAGGGUUGGUUUUAAUUAGCAACAAGAAAAUGUUUCACAUGAGAAUCCAUAAAUUGUUGAAGAUUCUUGUUAAUAAAGAAUGCGAAACAAUCGUUUCCUCCAAAAGUUUAAGCUAUCAGAAAAAUGCGAAUUUGAAUAUAAAUGGACGAAGAUAAUAUAAUGCUAGGAGCUUGAUGACACUCGAAUUCAGAAUCUCUUUCUCUGAUAUUAUGUUAAGAAACACAAAAUAAUUGUUUUUCUUUAAAAGUUUAAACUGCCAAAAUAUGUUGUUCUUAAUUUGGGAAUUAAUAUUUUCAAUACUAAAUUCGAUAUUGCCAGAAACAGGUAAAUUGUAUCUAGUUAUGAUUUAGACCUUUUUUGCUCUGUCAAUAUUGAAAUUAGCUCUGAAAAUAUCAAAAUUUCUUUUAAUUUGUUUAUAUUUAACAAAUCUGACCUCCUCUUAAUCAUCCAUAACUAAAUUACCAAGUGUGGUGAUUAAUCAAGGGCAUGGCAAUGAAUGGCAUGUGCAUUAAUUUCAAGAGAAAUAAAUGGGUAAUUUGGAGAUCUGACACCAAGAAUUCAAUAAGGGGUUAUUGAGAAGAGAGAGAGGGGAGGGGGGUGUGGUGUGCAUAUUUAUUUCAUGAGGUGUUUUUGCUUUAAAUUAGGGUUUAAAGUGGGUGUUGGAGUGCUUUAAUUUGCAGCUCUUUGGGCGACCCAAAAGUGGAAGUUGGAGUUAUGAAAGAAGCUAAGGCAUUCAAUCCAUCCUCAACUGUAUACACUUCCCCUUUGGUUACUCUCACCUCCCUUAUCCUGCACCCCUCUCUCUCACCCUCUCUUAUGCUCAAAUCACCACCAAAACUGACCCGUAAACCAUCCGAUCGCAUCGACGCAUCCGAAGUAAAAUAAACGGUCGAUCGGACGGUCGGAUUCCGACCGGUCAAUGUCUAAUAAGAAGCUUGGGAUGGAUAUAUAGCUUUCAUUUAUCUGUUUUAGCUAGUUUCUAAUUUGUGCAGUGUGAUAUGAUGGGAAACUGCAAAGCCCACAAGACACUGAGAAACAUGUGAGGGAAAGGGAUUGGUAGGGAGGUGACCUGAUCCCAAUUGGUGAGAAUUCUAAUGCAUGUCAAAGAGCGUGGGGAUGUGUGUGUGUGUGUGUGUGUGUGUGUGUGUGUGUGGACACCUCCCAAUGUACCCUUUAAAGGCUCUUCAAUUAGAUCCUUCCUUGUAGUUCUCUACUCUUAAAUGGGCCUCCUAAUCCAGCCCUAUAAAAGCAACCCAAAAUCCGCUACUCUUAUGCACAGCAAAUAGAGAUAGAGAGAAGGGAGAGAGAGAGAGAUAAGGAGAGCAAAACUUAAUUUAAGGCACACACAUAGAGGGGUUCUUUGUUUGAUCGCAAUCCAUGGUGUCGUUGCAAACAACCCUCUCCUCGGAGGAGAAGAGAUCGUGUUGCAGCUUCGACAAGCCGGUGCCGAAGAAAAGGAAGUGGGAGGACGAGGAGGAGAGCGAUAGCGACUUCUUCGCGAAUGAGUUCGCGAAUGAGCCCAGGAUCAAGCAAGCGAAAGCCGAGGAGACCACGAAAGUUGAUAUCGAGCUGCACCUCGACUCUCCCUUACCGUUGGAGUGGCAGCGAUGUCUCGAUAUCAAGGUACAUAUACAUAUACACAUGUAGUUUCAGUUCUCGCAAUUAUAUUACGUGAUCCAAUUUUAUGCGCGUCUUGGAGUCUGUUUAGCUCAGCUUUCGAUUGAAAGUAGUUUAAUAAUAAGAAAAAGAGCUUGGAUACGCAGAAUUAAGCUCUUUAUUAAUUGCAUGUGCAAAUUCUAUUACGAUUAUUUGAUUAUAAAUUAGAAUUGUAAUGACUAAGAGAUCAUUCAUUAAUUUUCUUAAUCGCAGUCGGGCCGGAUGUACUUCUACAACACUAGAACCCACAAGAGGACCUCAAAGGACCCCAGAGAGAGCCCGGAGGAGGCCGCACCGUCGGGCCCGAGCUUGGACCUCGAGCUCAAUCUCGCCUGCGAGCCCGCGAAACCGACCCGAACCGACAAAAACCCGAAGGCGGCGCAAAACCAACCCAAAUUGCUGGCUCCGCCGCCGCCGUGGGCCGACGGAGACCACCGCGAGAUGGUGGCCGCGGUGUGCAUGCGCUGCCACAUGCUGGUUAUGAUGUGCAAGUCCACUCUCUCCUGUCCAAAUUGCAAGUUUGUGCACCCACCUAGCCAUAAUUCCCAGGGCUCACUUAACAAGCCCGGGUUUAAACUUUUAUGUUUGUGAGGAUAUUAAGAGCUAAUUUAUUUUGGUAUUAUGAAUUCGGUAGAGGUUAAUUAAUUAUAUAGGACUACAAAAAGUAAAAUUGGAAGUGAGAAAGAUAGAAAGAAUGAGAGACAUGUUGUGAUGUAAAUAUAUAUAAAAAAGGUAUAGGUCUUAAGUCCAUCUGGGAUGUUCGUAGGUUACAUAUCAGUGUGUAAUAGAUUCACCAUCUUCUAUUAAUAAGACUUAUAGUUGGUGAUUGUGGAAAAGCAAAAAAAAAAAUUUAAUUUGUUACUUUUGUAUUUAUCCUAUUUGCACAAAUGGAAAUAUCGCAAAGUUUAUAGUUGAGAGAUCUAGUAAUUAGUAAUCAAGUAAAUUACACUGUUGGUCACGAAGAACACUGCAAAGUUGAUCUUUGAUUGUACAAGUAACUUUAAUUUAUUGUAAUUAAGUCGCAUUAAUUCAUAUUUUGACUAGGUUAUCUUAGCAAACUCUAAACUCCAUUUGAUUUUUCUAAUUAAGGGACGGUGCAAUUGCAGUGUCAACUACAUCCAAUCGAUGGUACGACGAAUAAAGUGGUAGCUAAUUUAGCUGUUAAAUCAUCUUCAUACUAUCUACCGCAUCAUCCAUUAAAGAUUACCGUAAUUAAAUUAGCAAUCACAUCAUUGCUAAUUAUAGAAAUUGAAAAGUUUUAAUGGCUGGCCAAACAAAAAUAUAAAGUAAAAUUCAAUAACUUAUUUAAAAUAAACAAAUAUAUAUCAUCUAAAUAAUUUUUAUGAAAGUUUGACAUGCAAGUGAGUGACAUAACUAUUCAAUUAUUAAUGUUUCUCAUAUCAAAAUUCACUUGAUGAUGUAUAUAUUUUUUUUGAAAGGAUGGCGGCGUGCUACCAUUUCUUUGUUUUUAGAAAAAUGAAUUUAGCUGAAAAAAUAAAAAACUAGGUUUCGAACUUAUAAUCUCAAAUACCAAUUAUUAAAUCCUUUGACACUUGUGCUAGGGACGAUCGAUACUUGAUGAUACAGUCGAAUGGACAAAAUACGUACAUUCAAGUCCCCAGAAUAUUUCUUUUAUACCACCUGAUUUUAUUUAAUUCUUUUUCUUGAGAAAACGGGAGAACUCUCUAAUUUCUAUAAAAGCCAAUGGGAUAAAAUAUAAAAAAAGCCACACAGAAUGAAGAGGUUGGGGGGGUGAUUUCACGUUCAUUUAUUAAAGCCUCUACAGUGGCAUGCAGGGCACUUCAUUGUAAUUAAAAUCCACCAAAUUAAAAGAUAUAAGAAACAAGAUAUGAUACUUGAUUGUUUAAUCUCAAAUUUCAGCUAAAAUUAAUAAUAGCUAGUUAAACAAAAAAAGAGAAAAGAGAUCAAAUUGAAAUUAAUGCUGUACCAUAUGCACGAAGCAUCAAAACUAACAUAUAUAAAAUUAAGAGUUAAUUUAACUUUAAAUGGUUAUUGCAGAUCAUGUACGCAUGAGAAACAAGUUGCAUAUAUUAAUUUAUGGGGUGUAGUGAUCAAUUUAUACACACAGUUUAAACGUACUGUUAGUAGUUUUUUAAUUAAAAAUCAGAUUAAUAUAUAGUCAGUUGAAUUUUAUUGUCGAGUAAUGAGUCGUCUCUUUUUAGGUGGAGUAGAACGUACAUUUAAUGCAUGCUAAUUAAUUUCGAUAGUAGCAGGAGCGUAUUAAUUCUGAUGUCUUUAAAUCUAUAUAUCAUAGUUCAUGCAUGUGCCGGUAAUAUUUCGUCUAGUAGAGUUAUACAUCAUUUAAUUAGUCAACAUCAUAUUAAAGCACCUUUUACCCGCAAUAGUGAACUGAAAAUUGCUAUGUAAGUUGUAAGCCCCGUUUCGUUGGCGGUAUAAACGGGGAUAACGAAAGUUAUCCUCACUAUUCUGCCAAACGAAAUAAUUUUUGACCGGAAUAUUUUAUUUCGGUCAAAUUUUGCUAUUUUCGACUAUCCCGGAAUAGAAAGAAAUUUACCAUUCUACUAUCUUGAUGGAAUAGUGCUAUUCUAAUAUUUAAUUUCAAACUUUAUUAAAAUUAUAAAUUAAAUUAAAACUAAAUUAUAUAAAUAUAAUAGGUUAUAUAUUAUAAUAUAUUAUUUUUAUUAUAAAAUUAUUAAUUGCAUUAUAUUAAUACAUAUUAUUUAUAUUUAAAUAUUAAAUAUUAUAAUAAAUUUUAUAGUAAAUUAUAUUUAAAUAUUAUAANNNNNNNNNNNNNNNNAUAUAUAUAUAUAAAUAUAUAUAAAAUUUAAAUUUUAGAGUUUAAAAUUUAAAAUUUAAAAUUUAAAACUUAAAAUUUAAAGUUUGAAAUUUAAAUUCUAGUUUAAAUUUAAAUUUUUUAUAUUUUAUAGUUUAAAAUUUAAAGUUUUUAAAUUUUAUAGUUUUAAAUUUUAAAUUUAAAUUUUAAAACUUUUAUUCUUUUCCCCACCUUUUUUAAUUAUUUUUAUUAUAUAAUAUUAUUUAAAUAUUUAAACUAUUAUUAUUUAAAUAUUUAAAAAUAAUAAUUAUUUAAUUAUUAAAAAUUUUUAAGAUGAAUUUGAAUUUAAAUUAUUUUUAUUAUAAAAUAUUAUAAAUUUAUAUUAAAUGAUAUUUUAAAAUUUAAAAUUUUAAAUUCAAAUAUAAUAAGAAGGAUAAUAUCAUUAUUUUUUAUUUAUAACUACCCAUUUUAAUUCUUAUUCCAUCUUACUUAACCAAACGCCAUUUUUUUUUUAUUUUCAGGAAUAAUCCAAUUUUCAUCGAAACGUAAAAUAAUUUAAUCUCCGCUUAUACCUCAAUUUAUACAUAUUUUUGGAAUAGCCACUUUUUGCUUAUCCCCGAACCAAACGAUACCUAAGAGAAUGACGUAAAAAUAUAUAUAUGUUGUAGGAAGGAAAGAAAAGAAAAGAAAAAAAAAGCUCUCCUCUUUGGUUUUCUCCAGUUGAAUAGAUCAGCAUUGUAACUCAAUCACCCUAAGCUAAUAGCGCUCUUGCAGGAACAAUUGUUUUUGGCGAACUGAUGCAUUCGUAUAUCUCGUGUAAUAUUGGAACUCGCCAUUCGUCAAUUUCAUAUUCCAUAGUUAUUACCAUCAACUAAUUGGUGGUUUCACGAGUUUGUGGUGCAAGGUUAAUGGCGGGGAUUGAAACCUAAGAUGUAAUAGAUGAUAUUGCAGUACUGUAUAAGGUGUACGAGUGCGCACACGGGGUAGGCAAUAACUUCUCCUCUCAUAUCAUAUGAAGUCUCCGUCAAGUAGGGAAGCGUGAGCAUCACAUUAAAGGCACCAUUACUACGCACCACUGCGCACUUACGCAUGGUUUGGUUGGAGAAGUAAUUUUGCUCAAAAUAGCAGAGAUUCAUCACUGGAUAUGGUGAUGGAAGACAAAGUUGCUUAUCUAAUUAAGAUUGGAACCACCCAAGUUGACGUUCGUAUGGUUCUUGCAAGUUUUGAUGAUAUGCUGAAUAAUAUUGAAUCUAACUUGGCAUGGCCAUCACAGCACCUUAGGGCUUUGUUAGAGAUUACAGAUAAAGUGCGUAGCACGGGAUCAGAAAUCUACUAUAGAAAAUUUGUUCUGAGCACUUAUCAAAUAUGAGGACUACUAUAUAUUUAAGAACUAAGCGGCGUCAACUGAAUUAAGAUACAUGUAAAAUUAUGCUCGUGAAAUUAAACCUGGAGCAAAAAUUUAAUAGGAAUCGUUUCAGUAGUGAAUCGAUCAUAUUCGUUAUUCAUAUGGCUCUAAAAUUUGUGUGCUUGUGCGAUGGACGAUAGAUUUAAUGAUCUCAGUCUUUAUUCUCAAAGUCCCAUCAUGUAACUAGUAUGACUUGAAACCCACCCCGGUCCAAUCAACUCCAGUGCGACUCACCGAUUGUCCCUAAAGCAAGUGGCAAAAGAUUUGGUGGUUGAUAUCCGAGACCUAAGUUCGAAUUCUAAUUGAUUCACAUUUCUAACUAAGUUUAUUUCUAAAUGAAAUAAACGAAGCGGAUAGCGUGCUAAUUAUCUCUCAAAAAAAAAGAAAAAAGAGAAAAAACUCCAGUGCAACUCAGAUCGCACCGCGUAGGUUAUAGGUCUCGGAUCAGAGCCUCUGCGGAUUAAACGCAAAUCAGAACCUUCCAAACCCAUCCUUUAUAACCUGAAUCAAAACCCACUCUAACAUUUCAAAAUCAACACCCGCCACAUUUUCGAAUUAGAGAGAGAGAGAGAGAGAGAGAGAGAGAGAGAAGCGCGAUGGAGAAGAAGGGCGAUUCUGAUCACCCCUCCUCUUCCUUCUCCAAGACCCACAUCGCGAUCCGCUGCGCGAGAGCAGCGCUCGUCCUCGCCGAGCUCCAAUCGCCUCCCCUUCGCCGCCGAUCCGCUGCCGUGGCCGAGAAGGAGGAGGUGAAUCCCCGUUCCCCAAUGUCCUCACCAUCUUCUUCUUAUUCUACUUCUCGAUCAAACCCUAAUAGAGAGCCAUUGAUGUUUCCAUCAGGAGACGGAGAGGAUGAGGGUUUCCGUGUCGGAUCUGACGGCGCAGAUGGCCGCGGAGAGGAGGCAACUGCUGCGAUUCGGAGAGGACGAGGUAAUCCUCCACCUCGUUCUCCUCUCGCUGAUCCUGUUGUUGCUUGUCCUCGAAUUGAUGUUGAUGAACUAGAGAUCUCCAUUAGAGUUGGAAAUGAAUCAAGGGAAUUUGUGGUUUCAUCUUCUUCGGUAUCGUCGGUUUUAGGUUUGAUAAUGGUUUGGGAAUUUGCUCUGUUUGAAUAAAUUUCGUUUUGAUUUGCAAAAUCGGGCUCAGAAUAUCUAGAAGGCUCUGUGCUCAUGGAAUUACUGCUUUCUUUUUUUUGGUCAAUCACAGUUAUUAUUACUGUAGCGCAACAACAUGUAUGUACUCACCAUAUACUCUUCACUCUUCGGUUCUGAUCUAAAUAGUUUCAUGUAUCUUUAGAAUGAUUCUAAAAUGUUGAAUACAAAUUUAAUCCUACAAUUUUUUUUUUUUUUUUUUUUUUUUUUUGCUUCAAAUUGCAUCCUGCAAGUUUUUUUAAAGUCAAAAAAUGGAACCCAAAUUUUGUUAGUCUAAUAGUUAUUUCCUUUUGCACGAUUAUAUGAAAAAAUGAUCAUUUGUGAAAAUUUGUAUUCAUUUGUCAGUUGGGUUGAGGUACUGUAAAAAAAAGGAAAAAGUCCUCUAGACAACAAUCCAAUUUUUGAAUAGCUAAUAUUUCUAUUUUUUUAUCAUUAAAAAAAAUAGUAUUUUUGUUCUUACAAUAUUAUUCACCGAAGCACUAGAUGCGUAGUUCCUGAAUCCCCCAAGUGGUAGAAAUUAAAUAAUAUCUUAUUUUUGAAGAUUAACUCAGCAUUAAUUGGCCAGCAUAUUAUUCUAACGAUUGAUUGAAGUUAAAUUAUCCUCACUCUCUCUCAUAAAGGGGUGAAAAGCUGUUACUCUCACAGAGUGAAAUUAUAGAAUAUAUCAUGAGGAAAGGUUAAUAUGCCUAGCUUUUACUUUAAGUUCUAACCAUUCAACAAAAUUUUUAAAAUAAAUUUAAGAAACAAAAUUGACAGUAUAAUUUUUUUUUGAGCAAUAUUAUUCGUGCACAGAGAGAGGAUAGGCAUAAAUUAUUAUUUUUUAAGCUAUUAAUAAAAAAAUAUAUAGUUUUGUAUAACAAAUAUAUUUUUUUUUGAAAAAACUUCAAAUAUCCUGCAUGUGGUUUCGCAGUUUCUUACUUUAAUAUCAUGUGGUUUAAAGUGUAUCAAGGCAGUACCCGGUGGUUUCGCAUUUUCUCACUUUAGUACCCUGUGGUUUAAAGUGUAUCAAGUUAGUACUCUGUGGUUUCAUUUUUGUAUCAAGUUAGUUCCUCGUGAUUUCAUUUUUCUCUUUUUAUUAUCUAUUUCGGGAUUUUUUUUCGUUAAAUCAAUGACAAAGUUAAAACUAAAGGGUACUAAAAUGAAUAUUCGAUAAAUCUAGAUAGGGUAUUUGAAGUUUGUUUGUAUAUAAUUUAACGAAACAUUAAACCACAUGGUACUAAAGUGAGAAAGUGCGAAACCAUAUGGCACUAACUUGAUAUACUUUAAAUCACAGAAUACUAAAGUGAGAAACUGAGAAACUACAAGAUACUAAUUUAAUACACUUUAAACCAUAUGAUACUAAAUUGAGAAAGUGCGAAACCACGAAGGGCUUGUGGGUAUUUAAAGUUUUUUCUUUUUUUUUUUCACCCUCUCUAAAAGCAGCUGGUCCCUGAGUACUGGUGCAUGGGGAGUUUCUAUAAAUGGCUCCGCGUAGGGCUUAUAUUUGCUCUUUUUCGUGUCGCAGCUUCCCAUUGCCGCAGAAUCUCCAAAGUACCGCGAAUGCGACGACCGAACCCGAUCCGCGCCCUGUUUCGCUCUGCCUAGUUGGGCGACGAAAUCCACGAACAAGAACAACAACAACCAUUACAACAACAACAACAACAACAACAACAACAACAACGUGUCUCCCAAUAAAAAAAAGGGGAAAAAAAAAAAAAGAAAGGCGAAAACAACAAACAACGAUUCCCCAACUCCCCUCCCCUCUCCCCUUCCCCACUCGAUGGAACCGAUGCCCCGGUCCCCUCGUCCUCCACUAUCCCCACCAUCACUUACUCCGCAUCUAUUCCAUUCCUAAUUCCGCCCCCCGCCCCCCCUCCCCUCCUCCCCCACUCCUCUUUAUUCUUAAUUUCUUAUUCCACUCCCCCCUCCCUCCUAUGCCUCCAACCCUAACCCUAGAAAUCGCACUUAGCUUCCCCUCUCUUCUUCGCCUUCCUCCUCCCCUGCCGUCGCCGCCGCAAUGCCGUCGUUGGAGCUCUGGUUCCCCGCCUCCUCCCCCUUCCCCGAGGAACCCGCCUUCUUCGGCGCCGGAGGCCUCUUCCUCGACCCCUCCGUUCCCAACUCCCUCCUCUGCUCCGUCUCCUCCUCCACCGCCUCCGAUUCCUCUGCUUCUUUCGUUAGAUUGGGCUCUCCGUCGUGUUCCCGGCGCACGCCCUUCGUUUUGGGGCGGCGCGGAUCGAAGGGCGGCAGCGCGUUCUUGUCUGUGAGCUUGUCGGUUAAGGGCCGCGAGGGUUUCGUGCGGGAGUCGGUGGAGUUUUUGGGGCAGAGCGGGGAGAAGAGCUCCGAGGAGGCGGCAUUGGAGGGGAAGGAGGAGAGUGAACUUAGCGUGGAGGAGGAUGAGAAGAAGAAGAAGAAAAAGUUGACGGUUAGAGCUCGAGGAGGUGCCGUGAACACCACGAAGCAUUUGUGGGCAGGAGCGGUGGCUGCGAUGGUUUCGAGGUAGUGAGCUACUUAUUACUUUGAAAUUUUGAGCUAUGUUCUUUUUGGCACUAUAUAGCAUGAAUUGGAAAUGCAAUCACAUGAAGAAGAUGAAACUAUGCUUUUCCAAAGAAAAACGAAAAAAAAAAUAGGAUGUGGCUUUAAAUAAAGGCCAUUGUUGCUAGUUAGAGGACUUCCCGCUCAUUAGUUGCUUAUAGAUUCAUUCGAGAUUUAUAAAUUGCUUGCAUAGAUAUUUUCGUGGAGCUUACUGUUCCUUCUGUUUCUAGUUUAUAUUGUUCUAUCGAACAUAACUAUGGGAUGAUACCUGGGUUUUGUUUUAGUGUACAUAAACUACAUGCUCAUUAUUACAUUCUUUUCGUGGGUCAAAUACUCAAAUUGUGGGUUAAACAGUUUAAUUAUGGACUUUGAAGUGGAGACGUUUUUAUUUAUAGAACAAUCUUGAUCUAUAGAAACUGAAGUAAUAGAAAUUAUUUAGCCAUUGUAAUGUUUAGUGAGUGCUGAGAAAAUUGAUUAAAAGGCCGUUGGUGAAACUUGUAUGAAUUUGGGAGGUAGCUUUAUAUGAUAUUGUCGAGAAAUGUUAAGUAUGAGGUCACACAUGCCUAGAGAUAAUUCUGUGGGAACUAUUUCAUGUGUUUGCUAUAUUUGGAGAAGAAAAAUCUAAUGUUUAGGCAUCAGUUGCAUUCUGGAUCUUGAUAAUUACCAUUUCAUUAAUAUUUCUCGGUUUAGCUUUGUGAAUUAAAAGAAUGAUACUGCUAGUUGUAAUUAACGUGUUUUAACUUUUUAUUUCGAGACUAAUCAAAAACUUUAUGGUGUAAUAUUUGGUACUUGGUUGCAAGCCUGGAAUAAAGGUGGUAGGUUGGGACAACAUAAUCAGAGUCAUUUGUCAUCGCCACGAAUAUGAGAAACAACUGUAAUAUGGAUCUGGAGUUGACCUGGUGCUAUGGAGUAGACAAAUGGGAGAAUUGGACAGUAGAAUUGAAAGCAAUUAUUAGAGACAUUGAGGGAAAGAAGUCUGGGUAAGUGAAGUCCCACACCAACUAAUCCACUUCAACUAAUGCCUUCUUGUCUAGACUGUUCAUCAAUUUUUUGUUUUUUCCACUUGGAAAUCGAUUUAGUCUCAUGAUGUUAUCAUUUAGCGAACCAUCUGGUACAAAAUGGUCAGUUUAAGGCAGUAUCUCUCUUGUUGGGAGUAACCUAGGAUUUUGCUACGAAGUAGAUAGAGAUUGAAGCAGCUAUGUCUCAUCUGGCUGAAAAGGCAAGUGUCAUUUCUAUCAAGCCUAUAUUCUGGAUGAUUGUUGCACACAUAUUUCAACUUCUUGUUGCAUAGAUAAUUUUUUUGCCCUGGGUUUCUGCUCUUUAGGCGUUGUGAACAAUGUAAUCAAUGUCACAGCAAAGACUUCAGAAUUUUCUAUGAUUUGGUUUCUUCCACUGCUUCUAAUUUAAGAACUAUUACCAACAGAAUAAUUUAUUUAUCUUAUUUUCCUUCAUGUAUUUUCUUUCUUGCUGAGUUACACAUUUUGGUCUAUCAGAACAUUUGUGGCUCCUCUUGAGAGGCUAAAGUUGGAAUACGUAGUUCGAGGUGAGCAGAGAAAUCUUUUCGAACUUAUCCAUAAAAUUGCAACCACAGAAAGGUUGAAAGGUUUCUGGAAGGGGAAUUUCGUCAACAUUCUUCGCACUGCUCCAUUCAAGGCAGUGAACUUCUAUGCGUAUGAUACUUACAGAAAACAGCUGCUUAAACUGUCUGGUAAUGAAGAAACAACGAACUUUGAGAGGUUCCUUGCAGGUGCUGCCGCUGGCAUAACUGCCACCAUAAUAUGUAUACCAAUGGACACGGUAUGUUCUGCUUGUAGAUCAUUUUUUUUUCUGAUGAUUUAUCAUAGGAUUUAUCUUGUGAGACCACUAGUUAAAUAGUUGGCUUUCACAUUUUUUUUCUUUGUUUACGUUUGCAACUUUGGCCCAACUUUUGGCUUUUGGGACCAAAUUCCCUCUCCACUAUUGUGCGGUGAUGUAUGAUUUUAAAUGUUUGAUGCAUAAAUUGGUCAUGUAGGGGGGGGCAGUUUGGUUCUAGAAGUUGGAAAGUGGGCAAGUUGCAAUAAUGAAAAAAAAUGCAACAUUGAAAUCUUAACAAAAUUGUCUCUUUCGAAGAACAAUGGUAACUAUCAGGUUUAGACUUUGUUCGUUGCAAUUCCCUUUCAUAUUGCUUCCUGAUUUCCAUGCUUUUUACUUAAGCUCCCAUAAUUUCAGAUUCGGACAAAAAUGGUAGCUCCUGGUGGUGAAGCUUUAGGCGGUGUUAUUGGUGUUUUCCGCCACAUGGUCCAAACCGAAGGGUUCUUCUCUCUUUACAAGGGACUAGUGCCUUCUCUUAUUAGCAUGGCUCCAUCUGGUGCCGUUUUCUACGGUGUAUAUGAUAUAUUAAAAGCAGCUUAUCUGCAUUCUCCAGAAGGAAGGAAACGAUUGGCUUUGAUGAAGCAACAACAACGUGAAGAAGUGAGCGCACUAGACCAACUAGAGUUGGGUCCUAUGAGGACUUUACUAUAUGGAGCCAUUGCCGGGUGUUGUGCAGAGGCUGCCACAUAUCCUUUCGAAGUGGUGAGAAGGCGGUUACAAAUGCAAGUCAAAGCAACCAAAAUGAAUGCAUUUGCGACGGCUCUUAAGAUUGUGGAGCAAGGUGGAGUUCCUGCGCUAUACGCUGGCUUGAUUCCCAGCUUGUUGCAGGUAACUUUUGCAGAUUGUUUAUUGGAUUUCUUAUUUUGGAGGGGGCUUUUUAAAAGAUUUUAAUACACAAAAUUUUCUGGCUCAUUAGAGAUGGCCACCCUGUAUUCUGUUACGGAAGAUAAAAUGUGUGAACAGUCGGAUAUCACACAUACACAAUAAUUUCAUAUUUUUCCAGAGAUGGCCGUCAAUUACCUGAUCGGCUGAUUGCCAUGUGAUCUAUUAAGAAUGUCAAUCAUCUGUAGGGCCUGAUUGGUCUAGCUGGGCCUUUUGCAAAAGUUUUUUUUUGAGAAACUAGGUGAUUUUGUUUGUUCACACAUUUUACUUUCAUAACAAAGAGAUGGGACUUCUUUUAAUCAUCUAGAAGUUCAGGGGUUUAUCAGCAUUACUGAACCUUUGUAAAAACAAGUCUUGUUUUGUGUGGUCUGACAUCAAUCUACUCCCUGUGUUUUCCAGGUUUUGCCGUCUGCCUCCAUUAGCUACUUUGUAUACGAGUUAAUGAAGAUAGUUCUAAAGGUCGAAUGAAAUAAAACACAGAUUUGUUGCCCUAUUGCUAUUUGGAAAGGGCUCUUACUCCUGUUACAUGAGCAACUAAUUAUUCUUUUCUUUUAAAAAAAAACUUGCUUCUUUAUGGAGAUUCUUCUCAAUGGACUGCAGUCAAAGGUAGUUAAAAAUGCCGUUGAAUUUGCAUCUGAGAUUGGUUUGAUUCACAGAAUUCUAACUGUAUAAAUUUAUUAUUCAGUUUCUUAAAAAAAUGCCCUGUGAAGAAUGAGCUAGAUUUUAAUGAUUUGGUGAUGCUACAUCAGAGUAAUUUGAUUUGUGCCACUCAAUUAGUUUCCGAGGACUUUGAUGUCUAUGGGCUAUGACUAUGGCGUUGACAGCUUGUGAGGGAGUGUUAAUUGAGAUCAUGGGUUUGCCCCCUUCUACACUGCAAGGUACCAGUCUAGUAUUUAUUUCUUUUAAUGUCUUUUUGGCUUUCCUUUUUCUUUCUUUUUUAGGAGUUAUGUAGCUUUGAAAUUCGUGUCAGUGGGGUGAUCGAUGGUGGUAUUGUAAGCCCCGUUUCACUGUGGUUAGCCUCUCUGUGUAGAAUCUGUGUUUCGAGGUAAAAUUAUUUGAGGAUUUUUUUUGAGAGAAAAAUAGCAUGCUAGUCGUUUUAUUUAUUUUUUAAAAAAUAAAUUUAGUUGUAAAUGUGAAAUAACUAGUUUUCCAACUUGUGACCUCGAAUAUUAAUUAUUAAGGUUUUUGUAUUUUGUGCUUAGAACAAACGGUAAAUUUAGAGAAACUACUGAAGCUAUUGGAAGGUGCUUGAUAACCUCUACUUCGACUAGUGCUUUCAAUUCCAUCCCUCAUAAACCUUUACUUUGACUAGCGCUUUCAAUUCCAUCCAACGUAUAUUUGGUUCUGUUAUUUCUCAAUUAACUUUUUUGAAAAUAAGCUAGUAUUAUCGCUUCAAUUGAAACCGCAGGCCCUAGUUUGAUCAUUAAACCCUUCAUAUUCUUGUAGCCUUUGAGCUGCUAUGGAAUUUUUUUUUCUUAUAACAAGACCAUCCAACGCAAAAGAUUUUUGGAUUAAAAAAUCUAGCUUGUUUGAUUUUUGAGCUCUUAAAUUCGAAACUUUUAUUUCAUAUUUUUAACUAAAUGUAUCUUUAAAAAAAAUAGAAAUGAACGGAUCCAGUAACACAAACGGAGAGAAUGUAAUUGGCUAGUUACGUGUUGGAAUAAAUUUGUGAGCUUGGGCUCCUGCAAAUGUGAGAUCGCUUAUCUAGACGAGUAGCCCUCGCACCUACUCCAACUAAUUACAACGCCCACCAUUUAAUCGCCAAAGCUGUAAACUUUGAAAAUGCAGGAAAGCGGUGCAAGAAGACGGCUUGACCAUAUGAGCUUUUCCCAUCAGUGUUGGCUUGCAGGUUAUUUUUCAUGUUUUAAUUAUCAAACUCAACACCGACUGUCUCUAGAGCAAAUGGCAAAGAGCUUGAUGGUUAGUAGCAGAGAUCUAAGUUCAAAUCCUAGUUGAUUCAUAUUUUCAGUUAAGUUUAUUUUUAAAUAAAAUAAACAAAGUGAGUAGCGUGCUACCUAUCUCUCAAAAAAAAAAAAAAAUUAAUAAUAUCCUACUCCAUAUGCUACGCCCUUCCUACUAAGCAGUGACAUCUUAAUUUAUGUCCAGGCAUUAAUUGGGAACCACUUUAGAUUAGAGUUAUAUUAUGGGUCCCCGUUGGAUUACAGAAAAAAUUGACAAGUAUAUAUUUUUUUAUAUGUUUUUAUUUUAACUUUGAUCGUGGCAAUUAUGGUACUGCUUACAGUAAUUAAGUAAUUGGUAUUCUCUUAUUUAAAAUUUUAUAUGAAAUAUUAGAUUGGCCAGCUGUACAAAAAAAGUCGGCGAGGAUAUGGCCUAAUUUUAUAAAAGAGGCUUCAAUGCUAUCGUCAUUAAUUUUUCACUAAAAAAUAUAAUUUGAUGUGAAAUUAAAAAUCAUCUAUACUUCUCUACCCUACAAGCAAAAAUCUAAAUCAAAAAUUUAUAUUUUACAGACCAAGUUAAAAUUUUGAUGAUAGAAAUUAAAACGGAAACCAAAUUUUACGUGCUUUGGUGAAGGGUGGGCCAAAUUACUAAUUAAGAUUCCAUUAUUAUCCCUCUUUAAUUCAAUCCAACGACGCCACCCGUUUCACCCGCCCCUUCCCCCACCCCCCCCCCCCUCUCUGUCUCUCUCUCGCUCAUUUAAUUGAUCGCGGUGUCCUCGUCCCCGUCCCCUCCCCUUCCAUGUCGCCGCCCCCGGAGGAACCCAUCCGCGGUGGCGGCGCUGCCCCGUCCUCGCCGGAGAACGGCGCCGCCAAUGGCCACGCCGCGCCGCCCUCGCCGGAGAACGCCACCGUCAACGGCGGCGCCUUGGAGGACUCCGCCGACGCGCGCCGCCGGAAACCCGACCCUUCCGCGCCGUCGCCGCCCCAGACCUCGUCGUCCUCCGCAUUCCCCUCGUGCUUCCUCCAUCUGAGAUCCGAGGGGGGCCACGGCGACGAGUGGAGGUGGCUCCGGCGGUGCGCCGAGGCCUCAGCCAAGGGAUUCGCGAUCGGCGCCGGACUCAAGGGCGGCCUCGCCCUAUUCUCCAUCCUCACGCGGUUGAGGAGCCGCAGAUCUCUGAGAUCGUCUUCGAGGUUCGAUCUAGCUUAUUUUGCGCAUAUCUCGUUCUCUUUCCCUUCUAUUCUCCGCAUGAUUCUGAUUGUGUGGUGCUGUUUUAGGAAGUUGGGGACUUUCACCAAUGAAGAGGCAGUGAUCAUGGCGAUCAAAGAGACGAUGCGAUAUGGAAUGUUUCUGGGGGCAUUUGCAGGGACAUUUGUUUCCGUUGAUGAGUGUAUAGCUGCUAUCUGGGGCCAUAAAAGGUUAAUGUUUUAAUAUAUUUCUUGUUUCAAUUUUCAUCUUCGCUAUGUCUAUAAAAGGAUAAGUUUGUUGUUUGCCUUAUAAUGGAGUAUCUGUUGAAUUAUAGGAGGAGAUAUGGCUUAGCUUAGAAAAGUUGACCAAUUAGACCAAUGUUAUUCUAAAGUGUGCAUUUUGGUUUUGCCGAAGCGUCGACUUUACUGACUUUACUUGAGCCACAACAUUUUAAAUGAACUUUAAAAUUUUAAUUUUACUACCUAACCUUAGAUUGCUUUUGAAUUCGGAAAGUUAUCUGAUUUCCCAUCAAAUAACAUAUAUUCUGUCCGAUUAGGGGAUAUCUCGCAAAAAAUGUUACAAGUAUGUAAAGUUGGAUAGUAAAAUCAAAACUAUGAAAGCCAAUACCUAUUUUCAAAAAUUGUAAGGUUGGCGAGUAAAAUUAAAACUUUAAUGUUGAGGUAGUGACUUCCAAAUCGCAAUAGUUUAGGUAAGAACUACAUUUUCAUGUUUGUUUUUUCAAAUACAGCGAUUGACUUUGUGGUUAGCUUAGGAUUCUGCUAUAAGUUUGGAAAGUUUGUGGCUUAUGCUAUUCAGGACCAAUUCCAUAUAAAUCAUUGAAUUGAUGGUUGUGAUCCAACUAACAUGAAUAUAUUAUGGAUGCGCACUAUGUACGAUGUAGUAUUGACCAAUGAAAGGAGAAAUGUUCUAUUUGUAGUUCUAACAUGUUUUGGUUUGUUUUCCUCUUUCCAAAUGCUAAUGAAUAGAGUUUUUCUGGUCGGUUCAGAACAGCAGGAUGGAGGGCACUAUUAGCAGGGGCACUUGCUGGUCCAUCGAUGAUUCUGACGGGGCCAAAUACACAGCACACUAGCUUAGCUAUAUACAUUCUCAUGCGUGCUGCUGUUCUGGCAUCACGUUGUGGGAUAAAGAGCAAAAAAUUUGGACAUCUUUGUAAACCUUUAACCUGGUCGCAUGGUGACAUUUUCCUUAUGUGCCUUUCCUCUUCACAGAUUUUGUAUGUUUUUCUCUUCUACCUCUCAUUUCAUUUACACCGUGAGGUUUCGGGUUAAUAUUGUUUUUUUUUAAUUCCUGAAUUAAUUUCUGUUAGUUGUAAGUGUAUCUAGUUAUUGCAUUUGUGAUUUGUAGCAGUUUAGAAAAGUAUCGGUCAUUGUUAACUGUCAUAUCAUGUUAAUGUCCAUCAUUGCGUAUCGAUGCUUUUGUUGUUGUAUACAAACAUUCCCUAGUUAAACUUUUAAAUUGAGGAAAUCAAACAUGAAUGACAUUUUAGCAGCUUGUUUGCUUUCCCUUAAGAACUUCCUAGUUAUAGUUUUGCUUAAUGAUAAAACUUGGGAAGAAUUGAACCUACUGUGAAAAUUCAUAUUCAUUUAAAUGGGCGCUGGAAACCCAAAUUUCGCUUAUAGAUUCAAAGAACCUUCUUUUGGCUAGCAAUUUAAUGUGUCUCACUCCAUACUUGUAGUUCAUCUUAAAUUUUUUCUUUGGCUGAUCUCAGAAUCCUUAUGGAAAGCUUGCUUAUUUAUAUCGAAAGAUGUUUAACUGAUUGAAAAAUGUAUUGGCAUUAAAAAUUGUGGCACUAGACGGUUCUCAGUCGGCAACUUGAGGCAGCUAAUAAUUUAGAUACCAAUUAACAUGAUGCCACAUGAAGGGUGCAUGAGUUACACAGGUUCUAAAUUUUGAGAGUAGAUAAAUGCAUGAGUUACACAGGUUCCAAAUUUUGAGAGUAGAUAAUGGAGAGAGCUGUGUAAACUAAAGUAAUAAAGUUGAACAAAUCAUGCCUUUGAAUGAUUUUUCUGUAAGAGAGAUGUCCUUAAACUGCAAUUACUUCCAGUUAAGCCACACUAUUUCCGCCCAUUACAAUAAGUUUUAGAGUAACAAUGCUCAUUUUUAAAUCUUCUGCAAUGCUCAUUUUAAAUCUUCUGCAGAUCUGCUUACAUUCUGAAGCAAGACAGCUUGCCACUAUCAUACAAAUCAUUUCUAAAUAAGCAUGGUGGAAAAGAUCCUCUUAUUCUCCAGGGUGUGAAAGAAAUCGCCUGUAAUAUCCCUUUCACUAACUUGGAGGGCAUUGAGAGGUAUUACAAGUCUACAGGUGUUGACAUAAAACUAGACCCCAGCAUGAAAGUGCCAUGCUCAGUAUGUACUGUGUCUUGUUCCUUUCUUCUUUCUUAUUUUUAAGAAGAACAUUUAUAUACAGCUUCAUGUCAUAUAUUCUUAUAAGACCAUUUAAUUUCAACUAUUUAUUCAGAUUGUGCAUGGCAAUAAAUCUUGCACUGGGCAUUUCAUAUCAUUCCUGUUACAAGCAUAUGGAAGAGCUCUACCUGUUUAUGUUCCAGUUUACUUGAUUCCUGCACUAAUAGUUCACCGUCAGGACCUCUUGAAAAGGUAUACACGAUCACUUAAUUUUUGCUUUAUAUGCUGUCAAAUAGUAUUAAAUAGGCAUCUGCUGAUGCAGACUUUAACAUGAUAUUUUGUAGUAACCUUAAUACUCAAUAUGUGGACACUUAUUUGCUCAGAACUUUUUCCUUUUUUUUUUUUUUUUUCUUUUCAAUCUGAGUUAAUAGCUUUGAGCAAAUCAAUGAGUAAAUUUUCCCGUGACAGCCCCUUAUAAUCAUUAGUUGAACUUUGGAGCAUUCAGAAAUCAAAAUCUCGCAAGAAUCCGAAAUUUUUGCUUCUGCUUAUUUUCCAUUCUAAUUAGAACAAUCAGCAUAAACACGAUACCUGUGGAUUCUUGCGUUAUAUAAUGUUAUGCUCUCUUGUUCUAUUCGUUCAUGUUCUAGUGAAACCACUUGUAAUGUUGCCUUCAAUUGACAUCAUUUUUCUACAUUGUGCUACAGACCUUACACAAUUCUGGGGAAGAGUUUGGUGGGUACCGCAAGAUCUAGCCUAUUCCUCUCUGUAUACUGUGCAUCUGCCUGGUUAGUAUGAUGUUUAACCCUGCUUUUAUGUUUUCUUUGCGUCUCCUUAUCAUAGACUUGUCAUUUGAGUGAUCUUAUUGGGUAGCAAGUAAAAUUUUGAGAUGAUGGUAGCUCGCGACUUGAAAUCUUCCUCUCCCCCUUUCAAGGUUGUAACUUAUGUCAAGCCCUCAUCUGCUUGUAGCAUUAAUCCCCAUAAUAAAUCCCCUUGAUCGUAACAUAAACUCUUACAAGUCUCUCUUCUAAUUUUUGUCUUUCCUACUGAAAGACUUCACAUCUCAUUUUCAGGGCUUGGACUUGCCUUCUUUUUAGAAUUCUCAAGAGGUGUAACGUUCCAAUGGUCGCAAUGGGGACGGUAGGUAUUUCCCAUUAUUAUACUAUACUAAUGUAAAGAAAUUUAAGAAAUAUCUAGUACUAAGUGAUUUCCCAAUAACAGUUUCCUGCCGGCCUAGCAUUGCUAAUCGAGAAGAAGAGCAGGAGAAUUGAGAUAUCUCUUUACUGCUUCGCCCGUGCCAUCGAGAGCUUCUUCACUUGUAUUGCCGACGCGGGCCUCUGCCCUCCAGCCUCGAAACUUAAGCGGGCUGACGUGGUUGUAUUUAGUAUUUCGACGGCCAUCAUCAUGCACUGUUAUGCACAGGAAAGGGAGGUUUUCCGAUCAAAGUACCUGAACGUGCUCGAUUGGGUUUUCGGAGUGCCCCCUGAACUAGAUGAUGAACAUGAGAAAGAAGUGGAGAGAAAGACAAGUUAGAUUGUUCAGAGAUAUAUGCCCAGAAAUUUUGGGAUGUUUAAUAGGAUUAUUAAGCUAUUGAUAUCUAGAAUAGCCCCAUUGGUGGGAUUUAGAAGGAAAUUUAGGUUUUUUUUCCUUAGAGCAAGAUAUUGUAGAUUAGUGGUAAAUACGAUUGUGAAAUUUGCUGCAAUUCAUUUGAACCGUUUUAGCAAUUUUAUCAUGUAAACUAGCGUGUAUUGCCGUUCUGGAGCUUAAUUAUUUUUUUUCGAAUUUUGAACAUUAUUAAAAAAAUAAGACUAGUAUGAAUUUUUUUUUUUUUUAAGAUUAGGGAGUGUAAGAUUUAUUGGGAGCGUAUAGAUAAUAUUGCCCAGGUAUCAAAGUACAACUAACGUUUCUUCUAAAUAGCAAUUAGAGGGAUCACCACUAAAAAUGGUUGUAUUUGUAGGGCUGUAGCUAUAACUUUUUUGGUUAUAAGCAACGGUUGCUAUUCGCAACAAAUAUAUUUUAAGCUAAUUUACAACAAAUAUAUUUCUUUCAACCUUAUAAAAAACAGUUCCAAGUAAUAAAUUUUACGGUCCUACAAAAAAAAUAUACAAAACUAUUUUACAUACUUUUGUGAUAACUCUUCGAGCGGGUUUUGAUAAUAAUAAUUUAUUUAAUUUAAUAUUAUUAGACAAAAUAAAUUUAGUUCGAGUCUAUAGAGUUGUGCGCUAUGGCCACUGGCCUACCGAAAAAUAGGAAAAUUUGUAUUUUAAAUGGCAAGGUCGAUUUGGGGGGAGUUAUUGGGGAAAGUAAAGAGUUUCCAUAAUAUGGCGUGCCCAGCGUAUAUUUUGACUACGAGCGAUCGUUUGUUCGCUCUGUGUUUAUCCCUAUCGAUUUUCCCCAUCAACAACAAAACGACCCAAAUCUGAGGGGACGAAUAUUCCAAUAAAAACCCUAGAAAUAUCCGGCUCCUUUCUAACUAAACCCUAACAGGACGAUCGAAUCCGCAUCCAUCGUCAUCAACGGGGAUCGCUCCUGCUACGAGGAGGAGCGCCGCGAAGCACCCGAGCAACGGGGGCGCAAGGAAGGGGAUUUAGGGCUCGAUUUAGGGUUUCGAUUCCGAUCUCCUCGAGGCCGCGGCGUUCGCGGUAGCGUAUGGUGAUGGGAGCCGCGGGUUCGAAGCUCGAGAAGGCUCUCGGCGACCAGUUCCCGGAGGGCGAGCGAUACUUCGGCCUCGAGAACUUCGGGAACACUUGUUACUGCAACAGCGUAUUGCAGGUCGCCUCAUACUUCUUAUUCUCGGCAUAAAUAGACGAAGUCCAACCUUUUGUUCUAUACUUUUAUGUUUCCUGAACUUUUUGUAAUAGAAAUUGCCUUCAUCAUGCGUUUGUGGGCAAAUGUAUGUGGAUUCUUAGUGAAAAUUUCAUUUUUUUUUGGGUUAGAUUGUAACGUGGAACAUAGUUAUGAUCUUAUGAUCCUGGCAAUUAUGUUUGGAAUAGUGAUGCAGGAGCCUUGUUUAGUAAGGUCCAUACUGAUUAUCAUGUGUAGCAUGUUCUUUUAAACUCCCACCUUUUUCACCCUUUAGUUUCCUUUGCAUUGCAUGUUUAUUUAUCAUUUGAUUAAGCAGGCUUUUUUUUUUUCCUUGUUGUAAAUUUGAGUUUAUCUACUGUUUGCGUGCUAAUUAGUUUUUUUUGCAAGUUCGUUGUUUUGUAUUCUAUACUGUCGAUCGAAUGAUGGAAGUAGUAAAAAUUAGCUUAUAUUGCUUUUCUAGUAAUUUCCCAUAUCGAGAGAUCCUUUGACGAAAGGUUCAAAUUGAAAAAAUUAUUUUGAAGAAGAAAGAGAACUUCUCUUUUGAGUAUGAACUUGUAGUUAAAUGAACUUCCAUAUGGUUUGAUUUCAUGGGUCGAAACACAUGGUCGCCCUGUUUGCUUUUUUCAGAAGUCGAGUGCUUGGAACUUGUCAAUUUGGAAAUUCAUGUUCAGAUUUAAUUUGAUUGUUUAUCUUUUUCAUCGGACGGUAUAACCGACAGCUAUAUUGUUUUAAUACUUAUGUUUAGGCACUUUAUUUUUGUGUUCCUUUCCGAGAGCAAUUACUGGAGUACUACGAAGGCCGUAAGAAUGUUGGAGAUGUAGAAGAGAAUAUUUUAACAUGCUUGGCUGACCUGUUCACCCAGGUAAUUUCUUCUAGGUAUUCAUUCUCAUUAAAUGUUCCUCCUUUUCUGUAUAAGACUCUCUCUUGCAUAUUUAGAGGCUCAUAUGUUAAAUCUCUCUCUCUCUCUCUCUCUCUCUCUCUCUACAUUUACAUACACAAAUAGUAUAUGUUAUUGAGGGUGCAUUCACUCUUAAUUAUGCAAGAUGUGUUCAGGUACAUGCUGUGGCAAUGACAUAUGACUUUGUUCUACACUCAUCCUCUGCAGAUUAGCUCCCAAAAGAAGAAAACUGGCGUUAUUGCUCCGAAGCGUUUUGUUCAAAGAGUGAGGAAAGAAAAUGAGCUUUUCAACAGCCAUAUGCAUCAGGUAAUUCAAUUUGGAUUGUGUUGUUAUUGAUGCUGACAUACAUUAACUUGAUGAUCUUUGGGAAUGUUGUUGCGGUGUACACAUCUUUGGCAAGCACUGUUUUGUCUACAGUUAUGGUAAUAAUCAUGAUUUAACUAUUAGUAGUGUGUCGAUCUACAUGUUUUAUCAGCGCCUUAAUCAUGUAUGGAUCUAUGAAACACAUUGCAGGAUAUUCCCUCUUUUAAUUCAUUCGCUCACAUUGUGCUGUUAGAAGUCGGAAUGGCAAUGAUUUAUUGUUAGCGAUCAUUAUAUAUUGUUUACGUCAUUAUAAAAAGUAACGGGAUGGAGGGGUUCCCUUUAAAUUAGAUAGUUUAUGAUUCUUUUUUAUUAUUAGCCAUUCGUACGUGGGUCUCAUGUGCCAUCUCUUAUUGAGAUGUCUAGAAAGAAUGUCCUACAUCAUGUUGUUUCUUUUUAUCCUGUGUUGUGUUGACUGUUGCUGACAUACUGUACAAAUAAUCUUUUUGUUGUGCAUUAAGAUAUCAUCAGAUAAUCUUAAAUGUCUGUGUAUGUGCGCUUUAUUUUUUUGUAGGAUGCUCACGAAUUCUUGAAUUUCUUGCUGAAUGAGCUUGUUGACAUUCUUGAGAAAGAGUCUAAUGUGGCAAAAACAUCCCCUGAAACGCCAUCUUUGUCGCAAAAAGUUGUGAAUGGUACAAACCAUAUUCAAGACAAUGGAAUCAAGAAAGAGCCCUUUGUUACAUGGGUGCACAAAAGUUUUCAGGUGAAUUUUUAUUUCUCAUUCUAGCUUCACCAUAAUAAUUUUAGUUUGACAACACCUUUAUUCUAGCUUGUAAUUUUUCUUCGUACCUGUCCUCUCUUCCUCACGGCCAUCUUCCUUUUCAAUGUGUAGGGCAUAUUAACUAAUGAAACAAGGUGUCUACGGUGUGAAACUGUCACCGCAAGGGAUGAAACUUUUCUCGACCUGAGCCUUGACAUUGAGCAAAAUAGCUCAAUCACCAGCUGCUUGAAAAACUUUAGUUCAACAGAGACAUUAAAUGCCGAGGAUAAGUUCUUCUGUGAUAAAUGCUGCAGGUGACCUAUAAGUUCUUUCUCAUUUAUUUUUUUCAAGCUCUGCUUUAAGUUUACUUUCAAUGAUUUGAUACCGCCAAUGGCUUAAAUUAUCAAGUCAAAAGUACCAAAAUGGAUAUGCAGUAAAUUGUUUCAUGCGACCACACUUGUUAAGGUUUGGCAAAUCACAGAGGACUAACAGAUACCAGGGAAAAAAAAAAAAUCAAUUUGUGACCUUCCUAAAUAACAGAAUUUUUACUAGCCGUUUCUCUGUGAUAGUGUUGUAGCUGUUAGAUUAAACAAUUGUUCCUUGCCUCAGUUUGCAGGAAGCUCAAAAGAGGAUGAAGAUUAAGAAGACACCAAACGUCCUUGUAAUUCAUCUCAAACGUUUCAAAUACAUGGAGCAGCUCGGCCGGAACAAGAAGCUACUCUACCGCGUGGUGUUUCCCUUGGAGCUUAAGCUUAGCAACACUAUCAACAAUUCAGAUGCGGAGUAUUCUCUCUUUGCCGUCGUAGUCCAUGUGGGAGGCGGGUCCAACCAUGGCCACUAUGUCAGCCUUAUCAAAAGCCACAACCGCUGGCUGUACUUCGACGACGAUAAUGUUGACAUGAUUGAUGAAUCAGCCGUGCAGACAUACUUUGGGUCCACACAAGAAUUUUCCAACAAUACAGAUUAUGGUUACAUUCUCUUCUAUGAGGGCCUUGGUUGAAAAGAGUUAGAAGCCCAGUUUUCACUCACCCUUUUCUCUUUCGAUAUGAGGUAGAAUUUUACCAUAUGGUUGUCUUAGUGUAUAGUAGGUAGUGAAACCACAAUAAGCAGGACGAAGAAAGGGUCUUAAGGGUUCUACAAGUGCUAGGAAUAUUUCCCCCCACAGAUAGAGAAAUGCUGAGUGCUUCCGGAGUUAUGCGGGACAUUCCUGCUACUAUAUAUGGGUGCAUGAGUUGCUUUAGACUUUCUCCCUCGCUUUGGUCCUCCAAUAAUGUCCUCGAAGGAGAAAGAUGUGAAAAAAGUGCUUUAUCUUGCAUUUGGGUAUAAAAUUACAAUUUUGUUCUCAAGCUUUAGAACGUUUUACCGCAGCUCGUGCAUGUGUUUGUUGUUCUAGAUUUAUCAGCAAUAACUUCUUAUAUACCCCCAAAAUCUGUCGGCAUUUUAUUUGUAGGAUUAUUUGCCGGCGACUCCGAUUCAUUCCCAUUACACCAAUGUGCAGAAAUUAGCAACCAUACCAUAGGUUAUAAUAAUCUUUCGUUGCAUUGCAGCGAACUUCAAACCAUUGUUUUUCUUUGGUGAUUAAGAGAAGCAUUAUCGUUUGUGGUGGUUAUAAAGAUUUGAAAUAUGGUUUAUAGUAGUUAGUGCCUUAUUGAGGAAGUUUUCGUUCCACCUGCUCCUUAAGCGGAAAAAGAAAAAUAUAUAUAUUUUGAGUUGUACUACAGGGUGCCGUGAAAUGCAUUUAUCAAAUCAAAUUUGUAUAUGUGAUGUCUUUUAGAUUUGAUAUUCAACUCGGCAAUCAUAUAUGGUAGUUUAAAAGAAUGAUGUUGCUAACAAAGCUUCUUUUAAAUUUGGCGUAAAUUUAUUGAAUCGGUUUUUUUUUUUUUCACUGAUCGAAUUUGAUCAAAUUUAAUAAAUGUUAUCUGUCCCUACUAUUCAGUUGCCCAAACUAGACUAUUACUAUAUAUCACGUCUGAAAAGGCUUAGCAGCAAUUUUUCUUAACCUUGAAUUGAAUAUGGAAGUCCACCAAAGUUUCCAUCAAGAGACAUAAGUUUCUAAACAUCGCUGUAUUGGCUGAAUGGUAUUAUCUAAUUGAGUGUUGGGGUUGUCGAUUUUGACGGCUCUUGAAACUAAAAUUUGUGGGGCCUUUUUCAUCAUUAGUUGUGAAUUAUGCACCACUGGUGAAGUGACAACUUAGGUCAACUCUCUAACUGCCUCAGAUGAUUCUUCAUCAGUAAUAACUAGUAAUAAAACCAUAUCAACUCUCUAACUGCCUCAAAUGAUUCUUCAUCAGUAAUAACUAGUAAUAACUCAUUAGAGAAAAUGAACCAUAUGUGCAUAAGUUGAUACAUCGAAAAUCAUCCACUGAAUAGUAAAAUUAACAUACAAACACGUUCAUAAACCAACAUUGUCUUUGUACAUACAAGGUGAGCACUAACAACACUACAAUAGAAGUGUGGACUUCUUUUGUAUCCCUUACAAGAGUGUUCAAUCAAAUGACAUGGAUAAAAGAGAGCAUCGUAAUACUAAGCAAACUCCGCAAUAAAAGGGUCCUCAACCAACAUCUCAGGCCAGAAGGAGGAGCCCACAUUCUUCUCAUAGCUAGAAGAGCUACAAGCAUCUAUAUUGCUAGUCGAAGUGCUGAUAAGAGGAGAUACCGUUUCCAAUCCGGCGCUAUUAUUCUCAUUACUUAGCGUAAGAAAGCUCGUAUCAUGUUUAUUAUUAUUAUAUGUUCCGAGCGGUUGAUCUAGGCUGCAUGAUAUCUCUGGUAAAUGAUGAAACUGCGUAUCAGCAUUAGCGACAGGAAAAGCACACGGAGGUGGAAUACUAGUAAUUGUAGGGACUGCUGAGCUAAAUAAGCUCAUCAUAGGCUCCAUGUUGGUGAUUGAACUAGUAUUUAUUGCAGGUGAAGAUUGGAGAAGGUAAUUGAAGCACUGGAGCUUUGCCAAUUGAGCCACAUCCGAUCGUAAUCGCGCAGUGUAGUCGUCCAAAGUUUGGUGGUCCAUAAGAUCUUUAAGGCUUGCAAGCGCCAUGAGUUGGGGUAGGGUAGCGAAAAGGUCGGUCCGAGGCCGGUGCGUCACUGGGUCGAUGCCCAUAUGGAUCAAUUUCUUCUUUAGAUGAGUGUUCCAGAAGUUCUUUAUCUCGUUAUCAGUGCGACCUGGAAGAUGCGUUGCGAUUGCCGACCAUCUGAGGAACAUAUAUAGGAAGCGAUUAUUAGCAUCUCAUUUUGAUAUAGAUGGAAGAAGAUGGAGGAGGAGGCUGACAUUAGCAAAGUAAGUACAUCGAAUCUAUUCAAUGUUGCAGCAUAAAGAUUGAUUAGGUUUCGUAAAAUUGCACUGCGCUAUCGAUAAUAAUUUCUGCUAUACUAAUAUCACCACCGAUGGAGAAAGAUUUACUUGUUUCCGAGGAUCGAGUGAAGAUGCAGAAUGGUCUGCUCUUCCUCGGAUGAGAACUUCCCUCUCUUGAUGUCCGGCCUUAGGUAGUUCGUCCAUCUGAGCCUGCAACUCUUGCCACAUCUAUUGAGUCCUGCAACUUAUUGAAGUAGCAGUUUUAACACUUUGCCUACCAGUUGCUUUUACUUUUAGCUACAACUAUCUAUAAAAGAGCACGCAAGACAGAAGAAAAGUUUGGGACUUCUACUAUGAUGACAAAAUGAAUUGAGCUUGUGAUCGAGCUUCAAAAACAAGAAGCUUCAAUUUAGAGCUUCUGCUUUCUUGUGAAUAGAAAGUUAUUGAAAGAGAAUUUCAAUAGCAAAAUUGAUAGUACUUUUCUUGACAACACUUCAUCGAAUAAGACUACACGCCACAGUCGGGCAAAAAAAGUACAUAGUAAGUGAUGAACAUGAGAGAGAGAGAGAGAGAGGAGGGACCAGCAAGCUUAGGGAGGGCUCUCCAGCUGCCAUGUCCAUGCUUUUGGAUGUAUUGGAUGAGUUUCUGGUCUUCUUCAGGGGUCCAGGGCCCCUUCUUCAGGCCAUUCUCAUCACAACAUGGGGAUCUCCCCAUCUUUAUUUUCCUGCUUUAAGGGAGUAGGAUAUGUUCAAGUCACAAGUGAUUGGUCUCCCAGCACACGCUCAAUUUAUACAUGCACUCCCUUGCUUGUGGAUCCCACAAAUUGUUUGUUAAGAAAAUGUCCUAUUGGCCCUUCAUUACUACAUUAAAGAAAAAAACAAUGAUACAUUCUUUUCAAAUAGAUUUGGAUACCUUUUUUUUUUUGGUAGUUGUAGUAGUUGCAAUUUCAUUUCGCAACGAACAUUAUAUAUUGCAAGAUGAAAUGAAUAUUGGUAGUGUGGACUAAAAGAGCCUAUUUGAAUGCUAGAAAUACUGUAUAUCCAGCUCCUCUUGUUUGCUAUAGGAUCAGGAGGAAUAGAUAAUAAUACUUCAGCUGUACUUGUACAAGGUAUUCAUCUGUUUACAUGAAUCCACCCUGGAAAUAAUGGUGAGGUAUCAUCUUGACACGGAGCUAUGUAAUUCCGGUUCAACCUUAAUUGUGCCAAAACAAAAGGAAAAGAAAUAAGCCAAAAAAAUAAAUGGAUAUAUGAAAUAAGAUAAAAGGGACUUGAAGAACAGUAUGGUGGGGCAUGAAUCUCCUACAUAAGAAGCAGCAGAUUUUAUCUUUAUUCAAAGAGGGGACACACACCACUGCAGGUGACAGUUCUCCCACUUCUAACCAACCCCAUUUUCCUGUUUGCUCUGAAAACAUAAUCAACUCUGCUUACACCAGCUAGGUCUAUAGAAGGUUAGGCUCCAAAAUUAGCUCUUAACAAACUAAGCAAAUAAGGAAACAAUAUUAUAAUUGUGAAUUAAGAUUCAGGGAUUUAACCAUGAUCCAUGAUCUAUGCAUUUGGAGUCUUCUGAUCUGCAAAAAAGUUAGGGCCUUAGUUGAGAACUCAAAGAGUGUUAGUUCCUGGUUUUCUUGCUACCAAAUUUUGACCCUACUUUUAUGUCAAAAAUAAAUCAUUGAUUGGAUAUAGAAUUGGUGUUGGCCAAACAAUGGAGCUAUGAACCUCCCGAUUGGAUGGAGGACUUUUUCUUCAAAGAAAUGGGAAAAGUGGGUUUGAGGGAGCGCAGGACAUGACAUAAAGAGAAAUACGACUUGCACACCCAACAGCGGAGUGUAUAUCUCACACCCACUCGCCCAGCAAAUUGAGAAGUUCCUUUUAAAAUAUUUAAUAUUAAAUAAGGAAAUUGAUAAGAAUAUCGAUCUUUAAAUUGAUAGAGUAUAAGAUUUAUACCUAUUUUUGGGAUGUAUAAAUAGCAUUGCUCAACAUGAAAAAAAAAAAAGAGAAAAGAAUAUGAGGCGAGAAGCUUAUGUUGGCAGCACAGUGACAGAGAUUAGUUGGACAAAUAAUGUACGGAGGCUUCACAUGAGUUAGAGGAGAAAAUAGGGCACGAGUGAGAUCAACUUCUUUCACAUACCUACUACAUUAAACAAGGAAGAAACUACGAUGCAGAACCUUUUUUUCCCCAUCCUUUCUCUUUUAAUCACAAGCAAAUAUGAUAUAAUUGGAAGAGGUAAAUUCAAGUAGCAUGAAUUGAAAAUAGAUGCCAUCAGAGAGACAUAAAAGAAUAGGGUAGAAUUCAAUACUUUAAUAAAUUGGAAAGGGUUUAAUCACACCACAAGUUAGCAUUGGAGAGGGUAUUGAAGUUUGAAGUGAUAAGAAGUGACAUUUCCAAAAAAGGAAAAGAAAAAGAAGUGUGGAGAUAUAGUUGCAAAGUAGGCACAUCAGAAGAUUAGAACAUUUUCCAUUGCUGAUCAUAACAUGUUCACUGCACAAAUUUGAUCUAAACAGAAGAUUAGAAAUUUUCGUUUCACAAGCACUCGAUGAUUAUGCGAAAUCCGUGUUUCCUCUCCCUCCCCCAGCUUUUCCUCGUAAUCCUGCAACAGGAGCAACUGAAUGAAACAGAGAUGAUAGAUGUGAAAGAAUAAUCAAACAUAAACAUAAAAGAAGCCUUAUUUAACUUGUGCUAUUUAAAUAUUAUCAAGUUGAUCACGAAAGGUGCGCAAUUUUUUAGCAAAAUGCCCUAUUACUUUCUCUUUCUUACUAGGUCACACGACCUGGUGUUGUCAAAAAGUUUGAUGGCGAGAUAAACAAUGUUCAAAAGCCCAACCAGCAAGCAUCUCAACCAGGCUAUGUUAUAUUAAUAGAUCUUUUCUCAUGCUAAUGGCUACAGUCAACCUACGGUGUCCAAAUAGCUGGAUAUCAUAUGUCAAUCUUCAAUUAAAAUAUAAAUUGUGAUUAAUUCAACAAACGAAAUGAUUUCCUCGUAGAAUAAUGCCUAAACCCAUAUCAUAUUAUCAUCCAUUGCAUAUACUUGCAUAAACAAAGCCUGAACUGAUCAACAAGAAGGAUGUAUAUCCUAAGCGAUCACCAACAGUGACAUGAGAAAUAAUUAAAUGGACAAUAUUUAUGUCCAUAAAUUCUACAUUAAAUUAACUAUUUCCAUAGGUUCUACAUUAAAUUAAUUAUUUCUGCUUAAUAAUCAGAGGACAGCUAAUAGUUUAAUAAUGUGCCAAUUUUGUCCUUUAUCAGUCCCACAUACUAGUUGACUCAAGUAUCGUUCGUGAACAAUUUUCCUACAUAACUAACACCAGUGAGAUACGUACUACAGACAUUCAUCUUUGUACAGUACACCUAGAACUAAAAGCCAGUAAAAUGGAUUUCAUAUACUGCACAUGUAUUUUGGAACCAUAGGAAUCUGGCUAAUAGAAUACAUGGUAGUCAUGGUUUAGUUAUUAUGCCUACAAAUUUUCUAAGAUGACAUGAUGAAGGCAUUGAAGCUAAACAAAUACAAUUUGAGCAUGCGAUAAUCGUAGCCAAUUAUCAGAGGAGCACGAGAUUUAUUACUACCUGAAAAAAACGUCUUAAUAUCCAAUGUAUGUGAAUCACAUUCAAGCCAUCCUAUUAAAUCUCCACAUGUAAUUAAGUCCGACAACUCAAAUGAGUUCUAUAUGUGCUACAGGGUUUUGAAAACGUAAUUACCGAUUGUGUCAGACAUAUACAAUUUUUUAUGAUACUCAGGACAAGAUGUUAGCUCUUAUUAGGUUAGUAGUUAUGACUUUAGUUUGAAGUGUCUGGUUCAUGUGACAUAUUCUAGUCCAUCAUAGUCAGACUAGGAUGAUGAUGAUGAUGACGAUGUUGUUAAAUUCAUUCCUAAGGUAAAUGUAAGUAUUAUUAUGGUUAAAACAGUAAGAAACUGUCUUGGUCUAUCUUGAUAAUUCUGAUUGAAACAACAAGAACAACAUUCAACAAGAAUAAGGCAAAUUCAGUAUCUUCGCAAGCAAAUUAACAGUGAGAAUGCUAAUACUUCCCAGUCUCCUUUGCCUGACAAAUUCAAGCGUAUUACAAUUGGUUAUAACAAAUAAAACAGAAAAAAGUUAGAAAGCAAGCCCUCAUAUGAGGUGGUCUCAUUAUCAUGGUGGUCCUGCAAGGUAAGGUUUAUUAACAAUAGGAAGGAUACAAAGUGUUUGCACUAGAUUUCAGUCAUUUAGCCUCAGGACUUUCUAUAUGUUAUCAUGUGUUUGUUUGCAUUCAAAAUCUUAGGUUGUUAAUGAAUAAAUAGAAUGACUAGAAACAAUCAUAUUGCAGCUGUACUAGAAACAAUAAGAAAAGGAAAAAUCAGAAAAAGAAGUACACUUUAGAUUUAUGGUUAAGAACUUUCCACUAUUGCCAGUCUUCUCAACCAGCACACCAAACAGGACAGGACAUCUUAUUUCUAUUACAUGCAAUGUUGUUUAUACGGUAGUUAAUAACAGAAUAUACUGCUGAUAGAAGAUCCUGUAAAAUUGAUUAUUUACACAAUUAAUAUUAAUUCUUUCUCUUUCAUUCGCUUUUCAAAUAUAGAGAGUAACACUCUCUCAUACAUGACUUACCUUGUAUUACCUAAUAGAGACUAGUUAAAGUGAGCAGAAAAGCUUUCUGUUUAUGCACCAUCAACAAGAGUCCAUUCUAAAAUGCACUUUCGCUAAAAGUUCAUAUAGAAUCAUUUCCACAAACUUCAGAAGUAAAUUGACAGUAACUGAUGACUAAUAUGUUGUGAUUUUACUAAGCUUCCAAGUUUUCAUAACUCUACAUCGACAACUGUUAAAACAGUUUUGCACUUAAAACAUAGACUAUAGCUAGGCUCAAGCUACAUAUCUCAGGAGGUAAAGUAGCUUUAGUAUCUGAAAGAAAAUACGCAGAUACAAUUGAUGUGACCCCAAGUGAUGUAACCUCAAUUGAUUGGUCCCAAAUUAUAUGCUUACUUUCUUCAGAUGCUCUUCUAAAUUAUUCUAGGGUAGAUAAUAGGAAAAUUGAUUAGUCAUUAUACUCUGUUAGUUGAGGCUUUCAAACAAAAAUCUACUUGUUUAUCACCAACUUGUUCAUAAGCUUAAAAUAUUACGGUAUCACACAUUGAUAGGGCCUUGCAAACGGUCAGUGGACGUAUUACUACAUUUAGUAUUAGCCAAUGAAUGAGUUCGUUGGAUAUAAGUUCAUUGUACAUCCACCACAUAACAAAGAAUUAAUAUCUAGUUUAUUCGCCAGAUGAACCACGCUUAAAAUAUUACUGUCUCACACAUUGAUGGGGCAUUGCAAAUGGUCAGUGGAUGUAUUACUAAAUUUAGUAUUUGCCCAUGAAUGAGUUCGUUGGAUAAAGUUCACUGUACAUCCACCACAUAACAAAGAUUUAAGGGGCAAUUUCAUCACUACCCCUCUCAAAUAUGUAAAUAUCAUAGAUACCCCUGCAAAGUUGAAAAUAUCAUAUAUACCCCUUCAAAUGCAAAAAAUUUUCACAAUUACCCUUUCUUCUAACUGCUGUUACUAUAACCAUGGUUAAAGUUUGGUUAAAUAAAGGUUGAGUUACAAAAUGACUAAUUUAGCCCUAAAAAGGUUAGGUGAUAUUUUGAUAGCAAAUAAUUAAGGGGCAAUUUCAUUAAGUACCCUUCUAAAUUUUAAAAAUAACAUCUCUAGCACUAAUUAUUAGUGCGUAAAAAAUAAAAAAACCCCUCACCUAUAGAUCAUUUGAGAUUCCUCACAUGAAUUUGAUAAAAUUUUUAAUUUUGUUGGUGCGGGGGUCUAUUUGAGUUUUAUUUCUUUUUGACUAUCAAAUUCAANAAAAAAACCCCUCACCUAUAGAUCAUUUUGAACUAGACCCCUUUAAGUUUUAUUUUUUAACAUUAAGAGACCUUGAACUAUUAGUUUUUCUUUAUUUUGACUUUACUUAGUUAAAAGUUUUUUAAUUGAGAUUCCUCACAUGAAUUUGAUAAAAUUUUUAAUUUUGUUGGGAAAAACACUCAAUUGCUAAAAUUUUUAAAAAAACACUUAGGUUGAGAGGGUAUAUAUAUAGAGAGUUUUGUUAUAAUACUAUCGGUAGUACAACUUGAUUUACUACGAUUUGUUUUCAAUGAUAGAAUUUCCAAAUUGACAAUCGGCACCGUUAAACAUGAUAUAAACCAUUUAAACUAUCUGAAAGUUAAAUCUCAUGCUUUUUCGAGUUAGGAUUAUGUCGAAGUGGACUAUAGAUGAGAGGGUUUUCAUAAAAUUUUACUUUAUUGUUAACAAUAAAUUUUCAAUUAAAAAUUUUUUGUUUGAGCAGAUCAUAUAAGUAAUACUCUAAUAUCGAGAAUUUUGAUAUCAAAAUAUUUUUAGCAUGAGAUAUGUGAGUUAUUUAAAUAAAAUUUUUAAAAUUAAAUCUUUAAAUAGUUAAUGUUGAAUUCUACUAUGGACAAAUUGCAUUAUAAUUAUGUAUAAUUUAAAAGCGAAAAAUCAUAAUGAGAUUUAACUAUUACACUUAAUAGACUAUAGAUCUUUAAUUGAAAUAUUUUAAAAAUAAUGUUAAAUUAUUAUGUGAUUCAAAUGUUAAAAAUUGAUCAGAUAAUUAAUCUUAAAUAUUACAUAUUUAAAAUGUUGCUAGGGGUAAAAUUGGUAUUUAUAAAAUAUUGGAUGACCACUUGACGGAAAGUGAACCUAAAAGGUAUCUGUGAACAUUUUUGGUUUUAAGAGGGGUAUUGAUGAUAUUUUCUAGUUUAGAGGGUUAUUCAUGAAAUUAUAAUUUUUCAAAGGGGUAUUGAUGAAAUUAUCCCAAGAUUUAAUAUCUAGUUUAUUUGCCAGAUGAACCACGCUUACAGAAGUUAUGAACAAUGAAGAGGAAACCAACGACUUAAUUUGUGGAAAGAGGUUUCUGAUUCACAAGGUCCUUUGAAAACUAUGCCAUUCCCACCGACUGUUGUAAUACACAAUAACAAAUUCAGCUGUCAUACAAGCACGAGAUUUUGCUUGAACUGGACAAAAUUGCUAUUUCGAAAAGUCUAUACUUGCAGUUCUUAUAAAAACUUGAUAAUUGAUUGUUAUAGAACAUGCAAUUCUCAGAUGUUGUAUUUGUUAGAUGAAAAUUGUAUGUUUUGAGAAAAAGAUGAAAAUUGUAUUUUGAUGGCCAAGAAUGAAGGGCAAAGUUAUAGUGCGAAUUCGGAUAAGAUUAACUGCAUGGCAAUGGAUCAAUGCAGCUGUGAAAUUGUUGCAUCUCUUCUGUUUUCAUUAUCCUCUAAACAAUUGAUUCACAAUACUCUGCAAUUGCCAUAUAAGUUUGUCUUCAGGUUUUUUAAGUUUGUUAUGGCAGGCAAGCACAGAGUUCUGGAAGAAGUAGGAAUAUUAGCCCUGUAAAACAUAUUUUAAGAAGUGGAGAUAUAGUGUAUAUCUUAUGAGAUCAUCCUAGUCGGAUACUCGAAUGAAAUUACUCAACCAAAAGAUGGUGAAAGAGAGCAACCACGUAAACAAGCUCCUAACUGUAUGAUCAAACUUCUAAAUAGACUAAAGAUUUGACACCACUUAUUAGCCAAAAUAAAGCAAUAGAAUUCUAUUAAGUAUACAAGCCACGUGCGACUUUCAGCUUUACACUAGUAAUAAAUUGCAAGUAUUGUUAUUUUUUAGCCGUUAAUUUAUCUGCAAAUCAAGGUCCAAACUAUGUAAACUUAGUUCAGGGACCAAAAAUCACUCCAAAUAGCAACCACUUAUGUGCAUUAUAAUACUUCCAUCAAAAGCAUUGGCAUUUCCAAUCAGCUUCCUGAUUGAAAUUAAAAUGAGUUAUGCUUCCAAGCAGUUUAUUCCAUCAUUUCACAUAUUAAAGCAAUUCACAAUAAAAUACAAGGGACCAUACGAUGCAAUCCGGUGUUUGUUAGAGCAUAGGCUUUCUGUAUUUGUAAGCCAUGGGCCACAUAUCAUCACUUAAUAUUCAAUUUCGCUGACUGAAUGAUACUUAUGUAGCAAUUAAAUUGAAUAUAAAGUGCUGAGUGUUCCACAGACCAUGAAAGAGCUAGACUCUGCCGAGCUCUCAACAUCAUGUUCUGGUUGAUAUUUUUAAAUAUUUAUCAAUUUGAAGUCUGGUCGACAUAUCACUGAACGGCGAAUCAGACAGAGUCCUGCAAUCGAUUAGUUACUAGCUAAGUAAAGUCUCCUCUAGAGUAUCCAAGCUUAGGAAAAACAUUUCAAUCCCAACAUUUUAAAACCGUGAUGAAUCUCAGGAGGGCAACUGCGGCAGUAUAUUGUCUCCAUUGAAAUUGAAUUGUUCAGGGCUGAUGAGGCAACACACGAUGGUUUGACAGAACAAAUCAUUCUGCCGAAUGGCAGCCAACAAAGUGAGUCCAUCUUGAAACUAGGGUAACACAUAUAGAUAGUCCCUAUACUAUCCCAGUACUGCAACUGGGCUCCUGCAGUUUCCACCUAAACAAUUUAGUCAAUAAACUUUCAACUCUAUUGCGCUCGGGUCCUUGAUCAGUUGAUCGCUAAAAAUAUUUGAAAAAAUUUUAGUGUAUGGAAUGAACUCAAGUGUGCAUUCAAUUCCCAAGGAGGAUCAUGAAUAGGUCAACAACAAGCAUGGAAUAACAAAUAAAAACCAGGGUUUAUAUAAAAUAAGAUUAAUCUGAAAGAAUAGUGAAGUGCCCAAAUAAAACAAACUGAUACCUGGUUAAUCAAACAUGCAACAAGGCAGAAAAUUCAGAGUAAAAAAGAACUAAUUAUCAUUGUCCUGCUCCGUAACUUCUGAAAUGUUUACACUGCCUAAUCGUUCGUCCUCCGGUAUAAGACACCAAUUUGGCGACUGCACCGCCCGCAACCACUUGAAAUCAUCCACAUUUGCCCAAUUUUCUGUUUCCACUCCGAGUCCAGAAACUCUGAGCUCUUCAUCAAUCCCUUCAUAAAACAACCGAUACGGCGCAAAUCUCACCCCACUGCAGUCCUCUAUGAUCGGCCUGCUUCGAACACGGAGAUAGAAAUCAGCCACCGUGGCUUGGUGAAUCCUGAUCUGAUGGGAGGCCAACAUGAACACACAAUUGCUUGCCUCCUCUAUGAGGAUAGAUCCAAGAACAGGCCCAGCAAAAACGUUGCAAUCUUUAAGCCGAUGCACAAAGAGUGCCCGAAACCGGCCUUUGAGGUAAACUUUGCAAGAUUCGAGAUUGGCUAGGGUGAAAUCCCCUUCGUCUUCUUCGGAAGCCCUGAAUUUCUUCACCAAAACUGCACCUUUCUCGUUCCUGAACCCCGGCGUGUCGCGAACGACCGCAAGAUUUGAUUUUUCCUCAUCUGGGACUUUUCUCUCGUCGAUUUCUUUCACCAAAGUGGCGGAUUCCUUCUUUGGGGCUUUGUUCCUGAAGGAGAACUUCUUCCUCGGAAGAAGCUCCGAAUUGGCGACCUCCAACGCCUCCUUGAGAUCGGAGAUCGCCUUAAGGGAGGAUCGAACCUCGUAGGACGGGAGGAAGUAGGAGUUCUCGGCGAGGAGGCGCUCGAGAUCGGAGAUGGAGGCGGAGACCUUCUCGAGCUCGGGCUUAAUGGCGGGGGCCGAGCAGAUAUCGGCGGCGGCGGCGGGGGCGGCGCCGCGGCACCGGGCGAGGUCGCUCUCUAUCGAUCGCCUCAACUCGGAGAAGCGAUCGAGGAACGCGGCGACGGAGUCGAAGGAAGGGGACGCGGCGGAGGCGGAGCGGCGCGCGGCGGAUGCGUGGAGACGGGAUUGGUGGUGGUUGGAGAUGCGCUCGAGCAUUGCGGCGUGCUUCCGCUGCGCGAUCGGAUCUAGGGUUUGGGUCGAAGGAGGCGGUCCCUCUUCCGCCAUUGUCGAUGCGCAGUGAAGGGCGGCAGAGAGAGAGAGAGAGAGAGAGAGAGAGAGAGGUGAGGAUGGUCGGUGGAAGAAGAAAGGCUGUAAUGGGUCGGAUCUGUCCGGUUUUUUCCGUUGACCACAAUCGGAUUGAUCGAACCCGACCCGUUUGAUGAAAUUUGGUCGGACCCAAAAAUUGUCGCUAAGUUUCGAAUUUGAUCACGAUUUGGAAACUGAAUCCGAUCACAAUUAGGAUGAUUCCGAUUUGUUUCCUAUGCCAAGGAUUUUUUUAGUGAGACAGUACAGUAUGCUCCAAAGUUUCAUUAUAGAUCUGACACAUUUUAAUAAAAUUAUUGAAUAGACUAGAUAUUAAUCAUCAAAUUUUUUAUUAUUUAUUAUGUUAAAAACUACCGAUAAGUGUUAUAGAUACUCUGAAUAACUUUGGCAAUGAAUAUUCAGAUAAAUUCCUCAAAAAAAAAUUCAAAAAAAUUGUUAGAUAGAUUUGUACAUCCAAGUAAAGUAAACCGUGGAAGUCAAAUGACAUAAUAGAAUCAAACAAACAACAAAAUCAAACCGCACAAAUCACAGCAAAUUCACAAUCUGAAGGCUCUCUAUGCACGACACGUGGAAGUAGAUCCCAUCACUGCCGUUGGUAAACCAUCCGCAGGACUGAGCCAGGGAUACUUUUCAAUUCGUACGUUAUCAGACGCUAAUAAAGAAAGGAUAACACAACAUCAACAUGGUCUUUACGUCAAACGGUACACAACUGCCAAUAAAUUCCCGUCCCAACGAGCAAUCGUCGCAUGGACCCCGCCCUCUGUAGACCGGAUCUUCUCAGUUCAUAUGACAACUUCUCAAAGUAAUUAUGUUACAUUUUGAUUUAUCGAGCUUGACCGGGCUACUAUCAAUCGAUUUACUUUCCAUGAUGAUAGGGCUUUCAAAUCAACGACCGAUACUAUUGAACAUAAUCUUAAUCAUUUAAAUUAUCUAAAAAUUAAAUUUUAUAACGUUUUGACAUCAAUAAUCGAACGGUCAAAGAGUUACAAAAUCUAUAAUAUUUUUUAAAAAAAGAUAGCAUACUACUGCUUCAUUCAUUUUGAAGAUGAACUAGGCUAUAUGGUGAGGCAACUGGGUCUUAAGGAAAAAAAAAUUUAUAAUUUUAAUAGCCGAUACGGUACGUUUGCUCAUUUAACGGUAUAGAAAAAUCCAAAUCAAAUAAAUUUUUGUUAGAAAAUUUUUUAACUACUUAAAAUAAAAUCUAGACUGUAGAUCUUAAAUACAAAAAUUGUAUUAUCACUUUUUGAAGAAUAUUUAUUUUCAGUUAUUUAUUUUUUAUUCACUUGAUGAAUAAGAGAACAAUAUCUAAAUGCUUAGAUCAUGCUCGAUGGUGUCUAUCGUCAAUAUGAAAACUAUAGCAUUGAAAAUAAAUUGGUAGCAAAUCGAGUCGUUUACUACUUAUAAUAUUUUAGCAAAACUCUUGAUCUAUCUAUCCAUAUAUAUAUAUAUAGAUAGAGAGAGAGAGAGAGAGAGAGAGAGAGAGAGAGUCCGGCUACUAUACUAUCAAUAGCACAAAAUAGUUGGUGCUACUAUGUUUUCUACCAUUAACCGACCGUCCCAAAUUCGAAAUCCAGUUGCUUCACAUUUCUAACUAAAUUUAUUUAUAAAAGAAAUAAACGAAAUAGAUAGUAUGCUACCUUUCUCUCAAAGAAAAAAAUUCUACUGUCGGAUAUACCCCUUUAAUUAUUUUCAUCCGUUAAAUCAUACUAUUUAACUAUUCACUCACUCAAUUCUAAGGGACUACUAAAAUGUUGUCUUUAUGUAUGUCGUUGAUUUAUUACAUACACGAUAUUCUAAGUUUGAUGCCUAUGCAUUAAGUUUAAAAUGUUAUAUAAAUUGGGUAAAUUGCAUUGUUACCCUCUAAACUUUUGGCGAAGUUUCACUUACCCCUCGAACUCCUAAAAUGGAUAUCUAACACCCUAAAUUCUAAUAUUUUAUUCAUGUUACCCAUUCCGUCAGUUUUCCGUCAUGCUUCGUUAAUCGGAAACUAACGGAAGGGGUAAAACGAAUGAAAUAUUAGAGUUUAGGGUGUUAGGUGUCUAUUUUAGGAGUUUGGGGGUUAAGUGAAAUUCGUCAAAAGUUCAGGAGGUAGCAGUGCAAUUUACUCUGUAGGACUCUUGAUUAUAAAUUAUUUUAUUAUAAUAUGUUAUUUAUGGAUUGACUACUAAUCCUCAAGUUAGUGAUCAUACUUGAUUUUGAAUUUAUAUAUAUUUUGUAUUCUAAAAUAAAUCAUACCAUAAUUUAUCAUAUAUUUUAUUGUAAUAAAAUAAAAUCGAAAAAAAUGAAUUAGAGUGGCUUAAAUAUAAGAAAAGAGCGAUACUAACUACCUACAAUACUCAAACACUCUACUGUCCUGGUGUACUCGCUAAUAUGGUUGAUUUACAAUAUGGGCAUGUUUGGUUCGCUUCUUUUUCAUCCUGGAAUCAGAAUCGGAAUGGAUAAAUCCGUUUGUGGGUGUUUGGUACGCGAGAGUCUCAUUCCGAUUCCGAUUCCGAUUCCGAUUCUUGAGUGGAAUAAGAAUCCCCCAAUCACCUCUUUUUUCAAUCCGACCUAGGAGGCCGGAUUGAAAGUUGAAUCCGGACGGAAUGAAUAUUUAUUCGGAUUAAAUUUAUUUUUUCAACUUUUUAAAUUAAAAUAUGAGUUAAAAUUUAAAAAUUAAAUAUAUAAUUUUAAAUUUUAAUUUAAACUUAAAUUAAAAAUUAAAAUUUAAUCAAGUAUUUCGAAUCUAAUUUAUGAAUUUGAAUUUAAAUUAAAUUUUAAUUUAUAUAAAGUUUUAUUCAAAUUUUAUUUCAAACUUAAAUUAAAUUUAUGGAUUCAAAUUAAAAUUUAAAUUGUAAUUUUAAGUUUAAAUUUGAAUAAAUUAAAAUUUAGUUUCAUAUUUUGAAUUAUCCACUCAACUUUAAAGUUUAAUUUUUUUUUGAAACAAAUAGAUUUAAAAUUUUGAUAUUAUUUUAAAAUUUUGAUGUAAAUUUUUAAUUUGAAUUUAAAUUAAUAUAUUAUAAAGAUAAUGUUAGUAUAUUAAUUUGAUUAUGUUUUUUAUAUCCAUCUGAACCAAAUAUCGACAAUGGGAAUGAUUUAUUCCGAUUCCGAUUCAGGUGAUGAACCAAACAAAAUUAGGGAAUCAGUCAUUCCGAUUCCGAUUCUAGCUUAUUUUGAUUCCGAUUCCAAUUUCGACUCCGACUUCGAACCAAACACGCCCUAGGUGUCCUCACUUAGAUAUAGAGAUUUUAAUUCUCAGUUAAUUUUCUAUAGUACUUGUUUGUCCCUUUAUCUAUAGAAGUAUUGUUCUAAAAAAUGCACUUAUUUUCUAUGAAACUAUACAAUGUAAUUUUAUUGUAGCCUAAAAUAAAAUUUUUGUACUUUAUUUCAGCGAAUUAAAAAUUUUUAAUAUAAAAAAUAUAAAAUAAUAUUUUAUUAGAAAAUGCACUUAUUUUCUAUGAAACUAUGCAAUAUAAUUUUAUUAUAGUCUAAAAUAAAAUUUUUGUACUUCAUUUCAGCCAAUUAAAUUUUUUUAAUAUAAAAAUAUAAAAUAAUAUUUUAUAAUAAUUUAGAACAAUGCUUAUAAAGAUAAAAGAGAUAAAUUAGUACUAUAGAAAAUUAACUGAGAAUUAAAAUCUCUAUAUCCGAGUGAGGACACCUAUUGUAAAUCAACCAUAUUAGCGAGUAUAUCAGGACAAUAGAGUGUUCGAGUAUCGUAGGUAGUUAGUAUCGCUCUUUUCUUAUCUUUAAGCCACUCUAAUUUAUUUCUUUCGCUUUUAUUUUAUUACAAUAAAAUGUAGAAUAAAUUAUGAUAUGAUUUAUUUUAGGACAAAAAUUUAUAUAAAUUCAAAAUCAAGUAUGAUCACUAACUUGAGGGUUAGUAGUUAAUUUAUAAGUAAUAUAUUAUAAUAAAAUAAUUUAUAGUCAAUAGUGCCUAGGGGGUAAAUUGCAGUGCCUUUAUCUAAUAUUUCAUUCAUGCUACCUCCUGAACUUUUGAGUUUUACUUAACCCUCAAAACUUUUAAAAUAGACAUCUAACACCCUAAACUCUAAUAUUUCAUUUGUUUUACUCUUUCCGUCAGUUUCCGGUUAACGGAACUUGACGGAAAACUGACGGAAGAGGUAACAUGAAUGAAAUAUUAUAGUUUAAGAUGUUAGACAUCCAUUUUAGAAGUUCGAAGGGUAAAGUGAAACUUCGCCAAAAAUUCAGAGAGUAACAAUACAAUUUACCCUAUAUAAAUUUGUCAAUAUUCCGGCAAUGCAUAUAGCUCAAUUAAAUGCACUUAUAUACUAUCCAAAUAUUUUAUAUUCCCCUUAGCUGUUGUAGAAAAGGUUAGGAAGUUAGAGUUGUGCUGGUAUGCUCAUGGAAGCACGGAGGCUUUCGUGCUUCCAAGUUAUUUUCGAUGUUCGGACUUUCGAAUGGACGAUCAGCUCCGUUAGAGUUGAUCUAGAGUAUUUGAAGUAUCUAGAAAAUAAAUUUUGCGAUUUUUCGAUAUCAUUUGCCUAGUGAUCGAAGGGGCUCAAAAUCAAUAAUUUUAACGGCCGUGGUGAGCCGGUUGCAAGUUUAACGGUGUAGAAAUAUCCAAAUCACAUGAAAUUUUGAUAGAAAAUUUUUUAUACCAUAUAAAACAAGACCAAUAACUUUGAUCUAAAAUUUUAAUGUCAUAUCAUCAUAUUUUGUAAGAUUUUUAUUUUCAGCCGUUGAUUUUGAGCCACUUUGAUCACUAGGCAAAUAAUAUCGAAAAAUUGUAAAAUUUAUUUUCUAGAUACUUCAAAUGCUCUAGAUCAAGUCUAACGGAGCCAAUCGUCGAUUCGAAAGUUCGAACAUCGAAAACAAAGUGGAAGCACGGAGCUCUCCGUACUUUCAUAAGCAUCCUAGCCGCACUUAGGAAGUUAAUGAGUCAGUGGGAGAAUUUCUGCAAGUCUUUCUGAAUUUUUGUUUUUGUUUCGAGCCUUUGUCGCCUCAUUUUUAUAGCUAAAGUUUAUUAAAACAAAUAAAAUGGAUAGUAUACUAUAUUUCUACGAAAAAAAAAAAAACUUAAACGAUUUUGUGUAAAAAAAAUGUGUAGAUAUAUUAUUUAUAUAUCAAGUGGUUGUGAAAAAAUGAAUGGUAGGGAGAGAAUUUCUAAUAAUUUUUAAUGUCUAAUAGUUGGAAUUUUCAUGUUAAAACUUCAUGAAUUAGUGAGUUUCAAAAAGCCCCGGUCUAUAGACCGGGUCCAUACAGUAGCUUUCUCGUCAUCACUUUCACUCUUUCGGUCAUUUUACCCCGUGUAUAUCAUGAGCACGCCACAAAAGUCAAACCGAGGAAGAGUCUUUAAUUUGUGGCUAUUUUUCACUUGCUUACUUAUUAUUGCAAUUUUAAAUCCUUUUUCGUUGUUAGCUCUUUUAUCCUUUUAAUUAGAAAUUUCACAUCCACUUAAAACAAAAAUAAAAUAAAAAUAAAAUAAAAAGUUUUUUUAGAGAACGGUAUAAUACUAUAAUUGUAUUUUUAAAAAACAUAAACUUAGCUUAAAAAACAAAAAGAAAUUUGGUGUUAGAUUGUGUUACGGACGGUGGGUGGUAAAUAAAAUAAAAAGUUGAAUUGAAUACUCCGCCGAAAAUCCAACUGUUUCUUCAACUCUCAUCCUAGUUCAAAAUUGUGAUGCUUUGAAUACAAUUAUAUUUUUAGUUUCUUUUCCACACUUUCACACAAUAGUUGAAGAAGAAGAGUAUAAGCGAAUCCUAUCUUUUGCUUUUCAACUUACCUUAUCUCAACUCUGAGGAAUUGGUAAGUUCUUAAAUAACUUAUAUCUAUACGUUUUGUUCUGUUUUGUUCUCUAUAUAUGUAAAGAUAUGCAAUUUUGGUGGUUUGAGGUGCAGGAAGUGGAUUUCCGUGAAGAAAUCGAGGUUUUGAGAAGUGGGUUGUGGUCAAAAUCGCUUCUGUUGGAUUGGGAGGACGUGUAUAUUUUGAGAAUUUAGCAGGUGGAGAGAGGAACACGAGUGUUUCUAUGGCGAAAUUAUGUUGUUUCAAGGGUUCGUCCUUAAAGGUUAGAAAUUGUUUUCUAUGUUAAUUGAACUAUUAUUUUGGUUCUCUUUUGAAUUGGGUUUAUGAUAUAUGGUCUUUAAAUCCAACAAAUAGUAGUAUAUAUAUAUAUAUAUAAUAUAUAUUAUUUGUCCUGUUGUUUGAGAUAAACCAAGCUUUGAUUGGAUUCAAGUUUCCUCUUUUCUAUAUAUUAUAUAUAUAUUAUAUAUAUUUUUUUUUUUUUAAUUCUUCUACUAUUUUAGGUGAAAUUGAAAUUUUUAUUCGAUUUAGUUUUCAACUCAUCCUCUUUGUUAGGAUGAAAUAAUAUAUGAUGACAGUAAUACAGAGAAUAAGAGUCAAUAAUUCGAAGCGGGUAGCGUGCUACCCUUUCCUCAAAAAAAAAAAGAAAAAGAAAAAGAAAAAAAGUUCGAAGCUUGGUUGCUUCAUUUUAUUUCUAGUUGUGUUUAUUUUAAUUUUUUUUUGAGAAAAGUUGUGUUUAUUUUUUUGAAGAAAUGAACGAAAUGGGUAGCUUGUUAAAAAAAUGGUCAAUAAAUAGGAAAAGAUUCUAUAAUAUAUUCUAAUGGUAGAGUUGUUUGACGUGGUUUUGUAAAUGUUGCUGAACAUUUAACUUUUGUUUAAAAUUUUCACUCUUAGUCUAUAUAAUUUUGUGUUAGCCAUCAAUUUUUUUUCCAGAGUAUAAAGUUCUACAUUUUUUUUUUUUUUUAAAUCUCAUGAUGAGUUCUAUCUCAAGUGAUUCCUGAUGCUAUGAAUAUGACAAAUAGUUAAAUUCAGGCUAAUUGGAGUUCCCUACAUGAAUAUCUAGAUGCUGUACAAUUAAAAUUUAGUGCCAUGAAUUCAAUACUCUGCGGCUUUGGAUUUGUAAUAUAUUUGCCCAUCACUCACAGCAGUAUACAGCAUAUUAUCUCGUUACAUUCGACAAUAGACGAUAUAUUCUUCCUUAACUUUUGUAUAGUUGAUUAAUCAUACUUGAUGAACUCCUCAUAAUCCUUUGUUUCUUCAUUUUCUUCGUGCAUUAGCCUCUGGAUGAUUCUUAUUUUCUAAAGUGGAACAAAAAAACAUCAAUUUUGAAUUGCAUAUUUUGGCAGAGCCCAAGAUUGGUGACUAGUUUUUAAAUGUGUACUUGAGAUGAACUGCAUCUAUUGGCAGAGUUCAGAUUUACCAAAAUGCUGUCGUUGUUGCGAUUAAGCCAAAAUGCUGGCUGAUUUUGAUGUUACAUCGGCAAGCUCAGCUCAAUGCAUUGUUAGCUUUGACACAGGUCGACAAAUAAAUGAUAUAUAAGAGCAGAUGCAAUACUCUUUCAUGAGCUGAAGUAAGGUUCUGGCUUUCUAUUUUGUAGUUAAAAGGUCGUUCUUCGACAGAUGGUGGUAAAGGGAAAAGCAUUCAAAGUGAAGUAAAAGUUAAUUAUGGAUACAGCCUUGUAAAAGGAAGGGCAUAUCAUCCCAUGGAAGAUUACCACGUCGCUAAAUUUGUACAUAUGAAGGGAAAUGAGAUUGGUCUCUUUGGUAUCUAUGAUGGCCAUCUGGGAAAUAGAGUAGCAGCCUAUUUACAAAAGCAUCUAUUUGCCAAUAUUCUGAGGGAGGUAUGCUGCUACUACUCUUUUGCUCUUUAUUUAUUUUUUGGUGGUUCUGUGAAAAUGUAUGGGCCCCCCUUCUGGUAUUUGCUAACAUGUGCGACAACUUUGGCGUUUUGGAUAUGAACCUUUCAAUUAACAUGUUCUUUAAUUCCAGAAAUUUCGUCAGGUUCCAUUCAGAACUUGACAGUUUCUGUCAAACAAGUUACUGAUUAUUCCAAUAAUUAAAGUGAUAUUCUGCAAUCAUACACAAUAUUCCAUCAGAAAGUAACAAAGAUUGUCAAGUUCUGGAAUUUUCUGCAAUCGAACUGCACAUUAAGUUGGAAUCCAAAAAAACUAAAGCUCAGCGACGUGUUCCUUUAAUGGUCGGCUGUUUUUUGCCUUUUCUUUUGCGUAGAGAUGAAAACAGAAUUGCUUGGAAGGAAAGGGAAAAGUGAACUUAAUUUAUCAUUUACUUUGCUGUAGGAAGAGUUUUGGACCCAUCCAGAGCAAGCCAUUUUAAAAGCCUAUGAAAAGACCGAUGAGGCGAUACUUUCACAUAGUGUGGAUCUGGGACGAGGUGGAUCUACUGCUGUUACUGCCAUUCUAGUAAAUGGUAGGAAGCUGUGGGUAGCUAAUGUUGGCGAUUCACGAGCCGUUCUUGCAAAAGGUGGAGAGGUGAUACAGUUGACAGUUGAUCAUGAACCAAGCACGGAGCGUAAAACUAUUGAGACAAGAGGGGGCUUUGUUUCAAACUGGCCAGGUUUCUUAAUCCAUUAAACCAGCUCAAAUCUAGUUUUCUUUGCACUUUGAUAAUGCAUUCUUAUUGGAGAAAUGAUGAAGAUGUUACUUCAUUAAAGAGUUAGUAAAAGAGGAAGAAUAAUUUACCACAAUAAUUAUUUGUGCCUCCAUGUUCCUCGAUAUGAAAAUAGUCGUUCACGAAGAAAUUGAGUGUUAAAAUUUUUUCUUUUCUUUCCAGAAUUUGCUAUGAACUUGUUGGUCUUUCUGUCACCUAAUGAAUCUCGACAAUUUUCCAUUUUUGCUGUUUUUUGUCGCUUGAAAGUGGUGCGGAGUCGUUGUCUUUUCGAUUGUUCAACAAACACUGCACCCGAUAACAAGAAAUUCUAUUUUUGUUCUUUAUCAGGAGAUGUCCCAAGAGUUGAUGGCCAGUUAGCCGUUUCUCGUGCAUUCGGAGACAAGAGCCUCAAGUCACACUUGAGGUCGGAUCCGGACAUACAGUUUGAAGAUACAAGUGCUGGUGCCGAGGUACUUAUUCUUGCUAGCGACGGCCUGUGGAAGGUUUGCUUCUUUAAACUUCAUGCCGCAAUAAACCAAUUUAUAUUUGUUAUGAAAUCCUUUCAGCGAGAGAAGAUAGUUAGUUACUCUUGCCAAUUGUACUUCAGGUCAUGAAAAAUGAAGAAGCAGUGGAUAUUGCUCGAAAGAUCAAAGAUCCACAGGCGGCAGCAAGGCAAUUAACCAAGGAAGCAAUAAAUAGAGAAAGCAAGGAUGAUAUAUCGUGCAUUGUUGUUCGACUUGGGGAAUAAUAAAGAGCUUAGCCUCUUUUUUUCCCCUCUUACCUCUUUUGUAAAUGAUUCUUUCGUCUAUUUUAUUGUUGGUGGGUCCUUAUUGUUUGAUUGCUUAAGGGAAACUUUCAUUUGGUUUUACUAAGAUUAAAGGAAUAGGAAAGAUAAUGGUUGGUGGAACUGUUUACCUUUUCUCCUGAUGUAUUGUUGAAAGCUUGUUGACCAUCUUGUUCUCUUCUUCUUUUUUUUUCUUUUUUUGUUAAAUAAAUGCCUCCUUUUUCUUCUUUUUUUUCCUUUUUCCUCAAAAGCCGUUUGCUCUGAUGCUUGAUUUAUCAAAUGAGAAACCUCUUGCAAUAGAAACUAGCCUAUACUGCAAUGUCUGAUGGAAAGGUGGCGGCGGAAUUCGAUAAAUGUUAAAUUUGCGUUACUAAAUUGACAAUUAUAGACAGUAUAAGAUCAGAGCUUAACAGAAAUUGAAUAAAGAUUUCAUUAGGACUUUUGUGAAUCUGAAAUGGCUCAUAUAGCAAUUUAGGAACUAUCCUCUCAGUGAAAAUAGUAUAAUAAGAACCAGAACUACGACAAACUUGUCAAUAUAAUGUGGUUUCUGAGAGUGGCCAAUUUGUUUUUACAUUUUGAUUAUGUAGAAUUUUGUAGGUUUUGUUUAAACUCCCAGGAAAACAUGAUUACAUAGAAUCUUUACAUUGGCAGGUCAUGCAUUAGGGUGCAUAUCACUCACCACUCUUAGUUCGAAGAGAUGAGAAAAUAAUGAUCACAUAACCAAUGUCCAAAACCCCUCAAAAGUAUAAUCCAUGUCGAAUCAUAGUUUGAUUUACUAUGCUCAUUAACUGCACGAAUACCUCUAAGUAGCAUAAUUGACAUAACCUCUGAUGAAGUUAGAUGUGCAAUGACAUAACCUCUGAAAUAUAGUGUCAUCCAAUUUAAUCACAUUACUUUCCAUCCCUCAGAUGAGAAAAAAAGAAAAACACUUUACAGUACAAUUUCCUUGCCUCUAAAAUUUAUUCCUAUCUCCCACCAGACAAUUCAAUAGCUUCCUGGUGAGACAUGGAGUCCUCUCCCCAGUUUACUCUCCACUGCAUUCUAUCAUGAUCCUGCUUGCGAGCAAAUUCAUGUUGCCACUCCUCCCACCGCUCGGCGAGUCCUUCCCCUUCAAGCAUCCGGACAACUUCUGACAUAGUCGGCCGCUGCUCUGGCGAAGCUUGCGUGCAAAGAAGAGCAAUCUGAAUCAUUGUAUUUACGUCCUCGAUUUCAUAGUUGUUGCUCAAAUUGCGAUCGACAAUGGACUCGACCCGUCCUUCCUUCAGCAGCUUCUUCACCUUUGACAUGCACAAGAAUGUACACAAUCAGUAUAUAUUUCACAUACAACCUCGUACAAACAAGAAGGUAAAAUUUAAUCUGGCAGCAAGGGAUGUCUCGAUUCCCUCUAGAGUAAUCUUCUUUCCGCUGAGGCGCUAUAACUGGAAAAGUGUCACUACAUGCACAAGCCAGGCACUUCACAGCAUAAGUGCUUUAGAGCUUGCGAGGCAAGCUUAAACAGGCUUUUGGACCUCACAAGCACAGUUUGGCAUGAAGGUGUUGAGAAAUUUAAAGGUAAAUUGUAUGCGAAGUCCCUGAACCAUCCUGAUAUUGUGAUUCACUCGUUGGCUUUUCACUUAGACGCUCGUCUCCUUACUUUCUUAUAUAUAGCAACUUCAACCCGGUCACAAAAGGGAAAAAAAGAAAAUCGAUUGUGUGCUGAAUUUUCUCAUACAUAUAGCAUUUUCUCACUUUUUCAUAUACUUUUGAAGUAUAUUGAAACACGAGGAAGUUGCUUUGUAGGAGAACAGAACAAAUGGUCACUUUGCAGGAAAAACUGAGACUUUUCUGACAGAAGGAUGGAACAGCAAUAACAUGGGAAACUCGAGAGGGUGAAGCUGCUCGAGCUUCUUCAAAAGCUCUUCUUCGCUCUUCUUCAACAGCACUUAUGUGGAAGUUGUAGCUGGAAUAGGCAGGUUUAGAGGUAAUGACACAUGGUAAAAAGUUUGCUAUCAUAAGCAAAAAGUAGUACAUGUGUUGAAGUCUCUAUAGUUCUGAGGAAAACUAGGCUGUUUAUCUUGAUUUUAGUUUCAGGAGUAGAAUUAUUCUAUAUAGAUCUUACAAGGUCAAGCAGUAGAACAUCAUCCUCCUCAGGUCGAGAAAUAUCAAUGGCGCGCUGCCCUGUGACGAGCUCGAGGAGCAUGAUUCCGUAGCCGAAAACAUCAGUCUUCUCCGAUGACUUGCCGGUGGAUAGAUAUUCAGGAGCUAUGUGGCCCAUAGUACCCCUAACUUUUGUGGUCACAGAUGUCAUCUUUACGUCCACCAAUUUCGCCAGCCCAAAGUCCCCGACAACCGCCUCAAAGUUCUCGUCAAGUAAGACAUUCGCAGCUUUCACAUCACGGUGGAUGAUUUUGGGGUUGCAGUGUUCGUGGAGGUACUCUAAACCGCGAGCCGUUCCCAGAGCCACUAGUUUUCUUGUUGCCCAGUCUAACACUGGCUCGUUUGGUUUAAACUCUGCACUAUUCUAGUAGUUAAGAUGCAUAAAUUUAAAGAAACAAGCAUAUAGUAACUAAACAACCAGCUAAGAUGUGAGAGCUAAUAAAGCAAGACAUAAAGUACUUGAUGAGGCAAUAUAGAACUUUUAAUGAAUAUGGAGGAAAUUACAGUUCUCGUACGAGAAUCAAAUGAGAAUUUCAGGGAUCUUCUAAGAAUGUGCAGAGACCAACUCAAUUUCAGGGAUCUUCUAAGAAUGCACACUCCUAACUUUGAUUGAGUUAUUUCAAUGAGUUAAAUUAGGGAUUCCUUUCGAAGAGGUAUUGUUAAAUUUAACAGCUCGACUCCCAUUAACAGUAAACAGUUGAUGGCUAAUGGAACCGUUAAGUUUGAAUGAAUCCUCAGUUCAACUGAAAAAAGUUGAGCGGGCAUCAGUCAAAAAUUUAAGUUGUGGGGUAUAUAUCGAAUAGCCGAUAGCUGAGGGAGUCUUCAUACACCUGUUCCCUUCUUGUUUGGAAGGUUGAUGAAAGAAUUAGUACCUCGUAAACGGUAGGCGACACUCAGGUUUUCCAUAAAAGGAUAUACUAAAAGUCUCUCUGUGGGCGUUGUACAAAACCCAAUCAAUCUCAAGAGAUUUCUAUGAACCGCAACACUUAUCAACUCAACUUCACGCAGAAAAGUAGUUUCCCUGCCAGAGCUUUCUACGUCAGUGAAUCUUUUCACAGCAACUUUCCUAUUAUCUGCGAGUACUCCUUUAUACACCUUUCCGAAACCUCCAUGCCCAAGAACAUUUCUCUCAUUGAAGUCGUCAGUGGCAAUUUGCAGUUCUCGCCAAGCAAACCUUUUUAGCUGCCCGAAUGCAAUCUUGCGGUCAUCUUCGCCUAAGAAAUUUGACAUGAUAUAUUAGUCAAAUGAAGUUUAAAAAAAAAGAAACAUUCAUGUUUAACAAUCGAGUUUUUGAAUCACAUCAGGAUCUUAAAGCUGAUAAAGUAAGAAAAAAGCUUUCUCCUAUCCGGAAAGAUGAAUAUACAUGAGAAAAACUCGUACUCGUAAAGCUAAUGGUCAUCUGUGAAAAAAAUAUGAUGAUAGAAUUACAAAGAAGGUUGGUAAAUUAAAAAUGGCAAGAAAACAAGAACUAUUAGAUUGAAAGAUAACAAAACCAAAGUUCAGUAAAUGUCAAAAACUACUUUAGCUGGUCAGUGUAGGCGUGUAAAUUAACUCGAAUAUAGUUAAGCUAAACAAAACAUUCCUGUCAUGCAAUCAAAAUAAUGUAUAAAGGUUAGAGAACCUGGAACGUCGACAAAAAUUUCACGCUUAGAAUGCAUUCUGUUUCUCUUCCAUAAAAGAAGCAGAAUCCCCAUUGUAAGAAACCCUAUUACUCCACCGGUACUUCCAAGUACUACCCCAACUUUAGACUUGUGGGUUCCUCCUAUAAGAUUAAAGUGAAUGACCGUACGGUUUGAUAGCGAUAGCAAUCUCCGCAAUGGAGAAAUGCUUCAGAAGAUAAGAAGGAGAAGCAAGACAAAUAUGCAAAAAGCUGAGAUUUGCUUACCGUGAUCGGCUACAUUGGAUUCACAAGAAUUUGAAGAGUUUUCACCACAAUUUAGAUGGUUACCUGAGAAACUGCACCCAAAACAAGCGUUCAGCUCUGACCAUAGAGAAUCCAAUAAUCCAAAAACAUGAACCUCAACCUUGGUAUAGUGAUUAUGCAUAAACCCCUGGAUUUUCUGACAAUUUUAAGAAACCUUGCCCAUCCUGACCCCCAGACCCUUGUAACGGACUGAUUUGGUAGUCAAUGCAGACAUGAGGUUUCUUAAAAUUGUCAAGAUGUUCAAGAAGUUUCCUGAGAAUUCCCCCCACUAUAGUUCUUAUCACGAAAAACUACUUCUUCGAACAUCUUGCAUCGACAUAUGAUAUCAUAGAGGACAUCCAUACUUGUAUUUGACAACUUGAAAGAGCCGAUCGGGUAUCUGGCCAGCAAGAUUGUUGAAUGCUAGGUUACUGCCAAUAGAAUUCAAAUGCUGCAUCAGCUGGCGCGUAAAUAAUAUUAACAAUUGGCAUAACUAUUCACUACUAAGUUGAUUGAUUUGAGUGAAACUUACUUGUCCAUCAGAACCUUUUUAAAAUAAUUCAUAAAAGACAGCACUACAAAUAACAGCUUACAUGUUGUUCAACUUUGAAAGACCUGAAAAAGAAUCAGGAAUGCUUCCACUGAAGUUGUUCUUACUAAGAUCCCUGUUCAACGUUAUCAUCAACAUUAGACCUUUUAAACAACCAUCUUAAAUGCUGAAAGAAGAAAAUUUCAACAGCAUGUAUUUUUCAGACAAUCAGCCCACUAACAGAAUUUGGAGCUUCGGAAGAUCUCCAAGAGAUGUUGGUAUCUGUCCGGUCAAACGGUUGUUUUCCAGGCUUAAUUCUGUCAAGCUUAACAAAUUUCCAAACUCCUUAGGAAUUCCUCCAGUUAUGUUAUUGUUCUGUAACGACCUGAAUUACAAUAUGCAGAUAAAUGUAUUAUUCAAUAGUUUAGUAGUACGUAUCAGAUACAUUAGAUCUCCAACUUUCUUUGUACUUACAAUACUUGCAAAUAUGUUAAGUCCCCAAUUCUGGGUGACAAGGUUCCAGUGAAUCCAAAAGAAGCCAAUGUUCUAGAAUAUUCAAGAACAGAGAAACAAAGAAAUAUGUUUCAACUUGUUAGAAUGAAUAGAAUACAAUCUUAAACAAAUCGGAGGUGAAUAAGGCAUGAAAGUGAACUUCGUAAUGAAAUUAAGGAGCAAUAAGGCCCAGAAUAUUAGCUCAACUUACACUUCAGUGACCACGUUGCCGCUACAAGUAACAAAAUUCCAUGUGCAAGGACUAACUUGAUUUUGUUUCCAGUUGGGCAGCUGAUUGUCCGAGGCAUUAAGGCUAAGCUUCAUGUCAAAUAAUGCAUCACCUGUUAAAAUUUGGAAUUUUUAUGAGGAUUUUAUGCUAUACUAAGGGGAACAACAAAAAGCUAGUCCCUCAGAAUUGCUCUGCUGAAUAUCUUUAUCAAAUCUUACUAUUCCAGAAAAUAGCCAUAUGUUACUUCAAUUCGAACGCGCCAAUCUCAAUAAGAAAUGUAUGAAAAAGAUCAUCUAACAAACUACCAUAUAUAACACUUUCCAAAAUCAAAAUACCAGUGUCGUCGUCUGCCUAAUUGUUGAACCAAACAGAACACCAGAGGGCUAAAAAAGGCCUUACGUUGACUAUCAGAUGUGACAUAUGAAUCAAGAUACGCCAACAGAAUAAACGUGAAAAACAACUUCAUCCUUCUUGGGUGUAUCUUCACUUCAUUUCAUGAUUUGAUGAACAGCUGAGGCACUCUUAAAACAAGUCCAUGCCGGUGCAAUCACUUGAUCAGGAAGCAGAGAAAACCCUGUAUAAGAUAUGCAAAAGCAAGAAAACUAGAAUCAGUUCUAAAACUAUCAAUAACACAGGAAAAAGUUAUCAACAAUAUAACACGGGAAAAAGCUUCAGGUACUUCUACGUACUCUCCGGUCAUAGUUAUAUCAAAGCUUUCGAGAAUAUUCAUCGGCGCAUCCUCCUUGAAUGAAAUAAGGCUAUUUAUCAAAAAUACAUCACUAAAGCAAAACAAACAAAAAGAGAGAAAACAGAAGAUUACCGCAUGCCGCGACUAGAUCAACAAUCUAAACACACAUUCUCUAGUGUAUGUUUACUGACCCCAGGAAAAGAUUACUAGAAAUAAUGAUGGAAGAAGAUAAUUCAAUCAAAAAAAGAAAAAAUACUGAAGCUCCUUCCAUAAAAUUCAACUCCUAAACAAUCUCCACACAAUUUAAUUAUGUUAGCCCCUCUAAAAGUAAGCGUAGGAAAGCAUAGGGAAAGUAAUUACAUCUAAAAUUCCACUAUCGAAAGUACCAAAAUUUUCCAACGCAGCAACAUCUCUAAGCUUCUGCGCUCGUGUGUGGAAGUGAGAGAACACGAAUACGAGAAGAGGAAGUCCAAAAACAGAAGCCACAACUUUGAGUUAGAGGGAGAGGAGGAAGAACAAAGGAUAUCUUUGUUUUACCCCAAAACUGGUGUAUACCUCCUGGUGGAGCCAAUGGAACUCAAUGCCAUGUUUCCCGCAACAUAAAGGAGGACACAGAACGAAAAGAAAAGGAGUUACUAACAUGUUAUUACCAGCUAAAAACUUAAUAAUUAAUAUUUAAACUCUUAAAUUUAAAAUUAAUUUAAUUGAAAAUUUUUCCAUAUUAUUAAUCAAUAAAAUGUAAAAGCAGCUUUAAGUUGUCCGAAGUGGGACUUUAACAAUAAUAACUUUUCGUGGAAAUGGAAGGUUUGAAAUGCUUUGGGUUCCACGAGUGGUCCCUGCUAGUAAGUUGGUAUUCUCACGUCCACAUUUUGUAUAAUAUUUUUUUGAUAAAUUGGAAACACAAACUUAAAUAAAUAGGAUAAAGAACUAAAUAAAACGAAGAAUCUAGUGUGCUUCAAUGCGGGACUAAUUGCUUUGUAUUAAAUAAUUUUUCGUUCCAAAGACCUAAACGAGGCUGCUUGAACAAGCACAUCUUUGGAUGUGACUAUGUGGGAAUCCAGCAGGGGAUGUGAGUCACGUGGGAACCUGGUACAAUUAUUGUGUGCAUUUUUGUUGUGAAUGUGGAAUAUAUAGUUAUAAUAUGAGCUCUGCCAUAAUGUGUAACGUGUGUUUUUCUAAUAUGGCGGCUUAUGGCGUACGCCGGAGCGAAUCCAUGAUUUUCCAUGAAUUUUGCAAUUUGUCCCGAUGAGACAAGAAGAGAAUAUAUAUAUAUAUAUAUAUAUAUAUAUAUAUAUAUAUAGUUCGACUAUAAUAUUUUUGAAACCGUAAAAGAAUUGAUUCUUGUGAAUUUUUUAAUCUUUGGAGAUCUUUGAUAAUUUCUAGAAAAAGAGAGGAGGGAGUCCAUUGGAUGGGCCACAUGGUGUCCAUCUGCAUCUUGAUGCCUAUAAAAUUUUUGUCCCAAUUUUUGAAUGUUGGAUUAAUUUUACUUUUCUAAAGGGAUUAUUAAAUUUUAGGAGAGAUAACUAAAUUCUAAUUGCUAUUAUCUCAAUCCUACCAACUCUUUUAUAUUUUCGAAACUAUAGUAACUCUACACACUCUCUCUAUAUAUAGAGUAAGACUUGUGUGCUAUGAGGAGCACGGAGAUAAUCGUAGUCCUAAGCUGUUUUCUAUGAUAGGACUUUCAAAACGACGAUCGUUUCUAUAAGAGUUGAUUUAGCAUAUUUGAGAUAUUUACAAAAUAUUUUUUGCAAAUUUUCAAUAUUAUUUAUCUAAUGGUCAAAACGAUUCAAAAUCAAUAAUUUUUAAUAAUUGAUGUAUGCCAUUUGCAAGUUUAACGGUAUAAAGUAUUCAAAUUAGAUGAAAUUUUAAUAAAAAAUUAUUUAUACUAUUUAUUGUAAGAUCAAUAUCUCUAAUCGAAAAUUUUAGUAUUAUAUCAUCACUUUUUGUGAGAUUUUUAUUUUCAGCCGUUGAUUUUGAACCCUUUCGAUCGUUAGGUAAAUGAUACUGAAAAAUCGCAAAAUUUAUUUUCCAAAUAUUUCAAAUAUGCUAGAUCAAGUUUAACAGAGUGAAUCAUCGAUUCAUAAGCUCCAUCAUCGAAAAUUGUUUAGGAGCAUGGAGGCCUCCGUACUCUUAAUAACACACAAGAUCUAUUUUAUAUAUAUAUAUAUAUAGAGAGAGAGAGAGAGAGAGAGAGAGAGAGAUUUGGGCUAGAAUACUAUUAAUACUAUUUGCCCCCUUUUGCUAUCAAAGUUUUAACCAUUAGAUCAAGCCCUUUGAUCAUUUCUAACUAUCGGAUUAAAUAUUAUAACCAAGAGGGGACCACUCAACCAUAGGGAGACCAUUCAAUUCUAAGGGACUAAUAUCAUACUAAUCCUACAAUUAGCAAAAAAUACCAAAUACUAUCAAUAGUAUUCCAGCCUAACUCUCUCUCUCUCUCUCUCUCUCUCGACAGUAUCCCAGCCUGACUCUAUAUAUAUAUAUAUAUAUAUAUAUAGGACUAGAAUUUGCAAUUUUUGAAGGAGACUUUUGGUCUUACUGGAAUAAUUGACUUGAGAAGUGCUUUAGAAAAGUUAUUAAAAGAAACACAAGCAAUAAUUUAAUUACAAAAGUUUCAUUUGGACUUGAUCAAUAAUUGACUUGAGAAGUGCUUUAAAAACGUUAUUAAAAAAACACACAAGCAGUAAUUUAAUUACAAAGUUUCAUUUACUAUAAGUUUGUAGAAUCAUAAAUUCUAAACGAAAGCUUUAGGUGUUACGAAGAUUUGUUGCUGCCGUAAAAUUUUUUAAACUUUUGUUUUGCCAAAUAUCUGAUUCUUAUUUUUUAAAACCUAUUUGGCCAGUGUAUAAACCGUACAAAAUAAUAGAAUGCUUUGGAGCACCUGUGUCCCUGCUAGGGCUGGCAAACGAGCGAGCCGGCUCGCGUUCGACUCGUGUUCGGCUCGAUAUUCGGCUCGCUCGAGCUCGACUCGAAAUUAAAUGAGCCGAGCUUGAACAAAAUAAAAGGCUCGAAAUUCAUUUCAAGCCGAGCUUGAGUAUUACUCGGCUCGUUCGAAUUAGGCUCGAAAAGCUCGACAGCUCGAAUAUAUAUAUAUAUAGAGUUGAGCUGGAAUGCUAUCAGUAGCAAACGGGCUCCGUUGUCACCCAUUUGUUUUCGAUGAUGAAGCCCUCAAAUCGACGAUCGGCACCGUUGAGCAUGAUCUAUAUUACUUGAAGUAUCUAGAAAUUAAAUUUCAAAUAUUUUCGAUAUCAUUGACCUAAUGAUCAAAGGGUUUCAAAAUUUGUAAUUUUAAUGGUCGAUGUGAGGUGUUUUCUCGUUUAACGGUGUAAAACUAUCCAAAUCAAUUGAAUUUUGGUUAGAAAAUUCUUUAAACUAUUUAGAAAAGAUCUACACCCGAUCUUGAUUACAAAUCUAUCAUCACUUUUUAAGGAUAUCAUUUCAGCGCGUUCAUUUUUACGCCCACUUGAUGAACGAGAGAACAAUACGGAAAAACAUGAAAUUUGAUUUCUAGAUACUUCAAGUGUAUAGAUCAUUUUCAACGGUACGCGAUCGUCGAUUUGGAGCUCCAUUCAUCGAAACAAAUGGGUUGGCAACGGAGCCCGUUUGCUACCGAUAGUAUUCCGGCUCAACUAUAUAUAUAUAUAUAUACAUAUAUUAUAUACUAUAUAUAUAUAUAUAUAUAUAUAUAUAUAUAUUAUAUAUUAGAAUUAGCUGGAAUACUAUUAAUAGUAAAACACUCUUUUGCUACUCAAGUUUUUAACUCUUGGAUGAAAAAUUGUAGGUCGGGAUGAUAUUAGUCGAUUAGAGUUGAGUGGUCUCCCUAGGGUUGAGUGGUCCCACUGGGUUAUAGUAUUUAAUCCAAUGGUUAAAAUAAUGAAAAGAGUUGAUUCAAAAGGCUAAAAAACUGUAGCAACAAUGGGAUUUUGGCUACUAAUAAUAGCCCAGUCCAACUCUAUAUAUAUAUAAUGUAUUUUAAUUAUAUAUAUCUUUAAUUAAUUUGGCCAUUAUUGUUGGCCCAUAAAAAAUAAACCAACAAGUACAACCGUGCAUUGAGCCCAACGCUAAAUUACAUAACACACUCUCUCUUUCAGACUUUUACUAUUGCACAUAACCCUAAACAUGAUAACAUUCAAAUUCCCAAAUCCCCAAUUUUUUCCCUCUCUCUCUCCUCUCCUCUAAAUCCUCACCUAGUCAGGCAGUCCCCCUAGCUCACAUUUCUUACAAUUAUUUGAUUUGAACUAUUGAAAUGUUACAUCAAAUUAUAGUAAUGUUCUAUAAAAAUUAAACUAUUGAUUAUAUAAUGUUGACAAUUCAAUCGGUCGCUUAGAGCUCGAGCUCGCUCGACUCGAAAUUAGGCUCGCUCGAGCUCCGGCUCGAAUUAAUUUCAAGCGCAGCUUGAGCCUAGAUUUAGUCGAAAUUAAUUCAAGCGAAUUUGAGCUGACAUAAGCUCGCUCGAGCUCGCUCGUUUCCACCCCUAGUCCCUGCUUAUUGAUAUAAUAUAUAUAUAUAUAUAUAUAUUAGUAUAUAUAUAUAUAUAUAUAUAUAUAUUUUAUAAUAAAUGAUCAUAGUUACUUGAAUCUAAAUUCAUUUCAAUUUAGCCAUUUGGAUCCUAAAUUUUAAUUUAUAUUUUUCACAAUAAUCGGUCGAUAGGUAAUUAAAAUAAAUUAAAAAAUUACAUAAUUAGUUCUAUGUUUAAACUUUGGAUUCAUUUGAAACUGGCUACACCAACUUCAACACUUUUUAUUGUAACCUCUUUUUUUUUAAUUAAGUCAUCUUAGUAAAAACAAAUUAAAACAAUAUCAAAUUCAGUCAUUAAUUUAUUAAUUUUUUGGUUUUAAUUACCUUUGGCAAAGAAAAUUAAAAUAACUAAAUAAUAAUAGAUAAUAAAAUUAUUAAAGUUUUUAAAAAGCAGUACGUGUUAAACUUGAAGCCCACAACUUGUCAGAGGCCCAAAUUCUCGUGCCAUUAACUUCUAAGGCCAGCUUUGGAUGCCGCAGUUAGUUAUUUGAUAAUAACUUACUCGGUAUGAAUAAUUAAGAGACAGAAAUUUAUGCAUUAUUUUUUUUUGAAGAAUUUGGCAUCUGUGAUUUGAUAUAAUUUUACAAAGUAAUUCUUUUUCAUCUAAAAUAGUUACUUGAAGAUCAAAUAUAAUAUUCUAUUUUAAAUAUUUAAUCAUACUUUUAACUUUUAAUUAUAUUAAAAAAUUAUAUUAAAAUAAAAUAUAUUAUGAAAUAUAAAUAUAUAAUAAGUUAUUAUUAUGGUAUCCAAGAUUCCAAGUCCAAGGGGCACACAAGGUUAAAACAAUUGUAACCUUUAAAACGGCUUCAGUAAAAUUCAAGGAGUUGUCGCGUACCUUUCCCACUUUUCUAUAGUGAUGCGGCUGCUCAACGGCACGAUGCAUGUAUGAUGUUCCGCAGUACUACUAGCCUGUGGGCCCCGCCAUUACUUAACUCUACAGAACGCAUCCGGCCAAUCAGAUCGAACUAUUCCGCCCAACCCACCUUACAAAUUCCCGUCACGAAACCCCAAAUUCCGACUCCCUCUCGGAUCGCCGGCGCCGGCGCCGGCGCCGAAGCAGCAGCGAUGCCGCGGUGGCUGAGCGUGACCGCGGGGCGCGACCGCUGCUACCGCCGAUCGUUCACGGCGGCGGGGCUCCGGCCGUCCACGACCGGGCUCGGCGACGGGGCCACCGUGCACCUCUGGCUCCCCCGCCGGCCGGACCCCUCCCGGCCCGCCCUCCUCCUGCUCCACGGGUUCGGCGCCCUCUCCACGUGGCAGUGGGCCCCCUACCUCCGGCCCCUCACCCGCGCCGGGUUCGACCUCUACGUCCCCGACCUCGUCUUCUUCGGCGGCUCCUCCACCCCCGCCCCGGCCCGCUCGGAGUCCUACCAGGCGCAGUGCGUCAUGGCCGCCAUGGACGCGCUCGGCGUGGCCCGCUUCGCCUUGGCCGGGGUCAGCUACGGCGGCUUCGUCGGGUACCGCCUCGCCGCCAUGUACCCGGCCGCCGUCGACCGGGCGGUGCUCAUCUGCGCCGGCGUCUGCCUCGAGGAGCGCGACCUCGCCGCCGGCCUCCUCGCCGUCUCCGACGUCGCCGAGGCCGCCAGCCUCCUCCUCCCGCAGCGCCCCGACAAGCUGCGCCAGCUCGUGAACCUCACCUUCUCCCGCCCGCCCCCGCUCAUGCCCAAUUGCUUCAUCCGAGAUUACAUUCAGGUACCACGCAUCUCUCGUAAUUUAGCCUCGUCCACGGCCGUGGCUAUGCGUAUUAUGCUCUUGUACUAAUAUUAGCCUUAUAAUCUGGUGAAAACAUAAGAGAGAAUUAUAAUGAUUCCGAAGCUUCUGAAGUUUUCCACGGUUCGUGCAGCAGUCGCGCUCCGUGAUCGGCCGAUAGUUAGCUUAUCCGUUCGAUUUGUGGCAAAUGACAGGUUAUGUGCACGGAGUAUGUGAAAGAGAAAACAGAGUUGCUGCAUUCUUUAGUCAACGGCAGAAAACUUUCCGAUCUUCCUACAAUAACGCAGGUAUUCAGUUUUAUAUUAUGCAGAAGAAACUCGCUCCUCACAUUAGACCUGCAUUCAUUUGGAGCUUGCGCCUCUCUCACUCGACAUCUUUGCAUGCCGGUUUUUAACAUCACAGGUUUCAUUUUUGCAGCCAACCUUGAUAAUCUGGGGAGAGGAGGAUCGUGUGUUUCCCCUAGAGCUUGCUUUCAGAUUAAAGAGGUAUAACCAGUGACUCAUUGGUUGUCUACAGGUUUUUUUCAACUUUGAAAGUACACUUAUUAAUCUUCAGGCAUUUGGGGGAGAAAUCUCAACUAGUAAUCGUCAAAAAUGCCGGGCAUGCGAUUAAUCGCGAGAAACCGAGAGAGGUUUGCAAGCUUAUAAGAAACUUCUGCGUUGAUUCCUCUGUAAAAGUCCGCGACAGGCACAAGGUACGAGACUUAUUCUUAUUAUGUUUAUUCAAUGAAGCAGUGCGAGGGGCAGACGUCAGAGAUGAAGGCAAGACCUGAAUGGGGGUUGCAAUGGAGCAAACUUUUUGUGCAAUCCAAAUUAUCAAUUUGAAUCCUCUUUUCAAACAAUUGUACUCACUCAUUUGUAUUCCUUAAUUCAUAGGUAACAUGGAGUAACGUCAUAAGAAGAUUUGAGCGUUCAAGAUUGAGGAGGAUUGAUUCUGGGCGCCCGCUGCUUUAGAGCUGCUAUGAAGAAAGAAUUUACUUCUGGCCAGUAUAAAAGGUUCGGCAUCUACAAUUGUUUUAACGUAACCUUGCAUAUUAGGGCAAUGUCCAUACACCAAUUUCUCAAGUGUAAAUGUUUUUAACAGUUACUCGUGUUUGAGGUUUAUAAUCAAUAUACUAUUCACCUGAUCUGUGCUUUAUGAUUGAUCUACGAGAAUUACAUUCCGUGUGAAGUAUGAAAUGUUAGUCAAAUACUUUAGGUUCAUGUAGUAAUAGGUAUGCAGUGAGCAUAUGCAAUAUAGCCAUAUAGGCAUAUGCUGUUUGAGCUACUCUGAAUGUAUGCAGAUGCAGAGAUGUUUUUAUAAGAGAAUUGUUUAAGUGCAGCAGCUCUUGACUAGCUCUAUUGGUGAAUUCGAUAUGCACGGGUGAUUCCUUUUUCGUUUUUUGUUUUUUUUGUCCAUUUUGCUUGUAGGAAGUGCUUAUUAUAUGUGAUUGUUUGGGCACCUCUCAACCAAAUUAAAAGUAUGUGUUAAUCCUCUGAAAUCUAGUGCAAGAUUUGUUAUCAUGAAGUAACUUAAAAUUGCAUAUAAGCUGGAGUAGAUAAACACACAUUACUUGCGCUUGAGAGUUUUGGUAUCAUGUUAGCUAAAAACAAGUUAAACACCCGUUAUAACGGUGCAGCUGCAAUAGGAAGAGUCUUGUCUCUGAGUUGAUGAGUAGUACCGAUAGUUUGUGGAAUGCAUUGAAGUGUUGAACCGAAUCCAACAUAAAAAAGAAAAUGUCAGAAAUUAAAUCGUAUCUUCUGUUGAUUGGGUGGUCUUACUUUUGUUGAUUCCAAGCUUCUUAUGAUACGUUUGGUAUUGUUAGGAAAUGCUUGAUUGCUGUUUUGCCUGAAACAGUUGAGACAUUAAGAAACUAAAAAGGAAAUUUUCUAUUUACUGUGCUAGGACAUCAAAAACUCAAUUCCCCAUGGCACCUUUCCCAUAUGCUAAUUGGAGAUUAGUGUUUUAAAACCACACUUCGGUGUUGGUUGUUAGUCACGGUUCAAUGGUUUAACAUCGGUCCAACCCGACAGGUUAAAACAACAUUCUUAGACCUCAAAUUUUAUAUUUAAAAUGAAGUUACUAGUAAAAUAAUCGAGGUUACAAGAAAUCAAGAGUAUGUUUACAUAAAGCAAAAUAAAUAAAUAAAUUGUUUUCCCUCUCUUCGUGUUUAAUUUUAAACCAUUUUGACUUGUCGAAUUGGGGUUGAACCCCACAUAUUGUAUUCUUCGGCCCACAAAAAGUAGAUGCAAUAUACAGGCAAAAAAUUGGCAAAGGGUUUGGUGGUUGAUAUCCGAGACCAAAGUUCGAAUUCUAGUUGAUUCACACUUUUAGCUAAGUUUAUUUUUAAAUGAAAUAAACGAAGCGGAUAGCAUGCUACCUAUGUAUCAAAAAAAAAAAAAUNAAAGAAAAAAGGGAAAGUGACUCGACUCUAUCAAUUAAUUAUAGUAUAAUAAUCCUAUUAUUCUUGUCUCCUUGCUUUAGUGAUGUACACAAAGAGUAUACUAACAAAGCAAAAGGUAUAUUUGUUGCUCGUUUAAUUAUCUAUCUGCCAUUGCCAUUUUUCAUCUGAUUGAAAAAAAAGAAAGAGAAAAGGGAAAGGGGAAGAGCAAUAAGAUGCUCUUCCCCGUCCACCUAAUUCGGGGGCGGGAGCAACGGCUUUCUCGUUUUAUCCCCCACAUUCGUACCCACCCAUUGAAAAACCCCCCAUCAGCAUCCAACAAACCCUAACUACCCCCCGAAUCCCCUCCGAUCUCCGCCUCAGAUCCAAUCGCCCCCGCCGCCGCGGCGCCACGACCGCGAUCGGGAUGGGGAGUUGCCUGAGCGUGACCGUGGCCCGCGACCGCUGCUACACCCGCGCGUUCCGGGCGGCGGGGCUCCGGGCGACGGACGUGACCCUCGGCGACGGCGCCACCGUCCACAUCUGGGUCCCGCGCCUCCCGGACCGCUCCCGCCCCGCCCUCGUCCUCCUCCACGGCUUCGGCGCCACCGCCACGUGGCAGUGGGCCCCCUACCUCGGCCCCCUCCUCCGCGCCGGGUUCGACCUCUACGUCCCCGACCUCCUCUUCUUCGGCGGCUCCUCCGCGCCGGGGCCCGACCGGUCGGAGUCGUACCAGGCGCGGUGCGUGGUGGGGGCCCUGGACGCGGUCGGGGUGGGCCGGUUCGGCCUGGUCGGGGUCAGCUACGGCGGGUUCGUGGGGUACCGGGUCGCGGCCCUGUACCCGGGCGCGGUGGAGCGGGUGGUGCUGAUAUGCGCCGGGGUGUGCCUCGAGGAGCGCGACCUCGCGGCGGGGCUCUUCGUGGUGUCCGACGUGGCGGACGCCGCGGGGAUCCUGCUGCCGCAGCGCCCGGAGAAGCUGCGCCAGCUCGUGCGGCUCACCUUCUGCAGGCCGCCACGUGUCAUGCCCACCUGCUUCAUCCGCGACUACAUCCAGGUAAGCUGGGGCUCAGCCCCGCCCCCUCCCCCCCACGGGCCCCACCCUCAGUGGGCCCCACAACCCCCUGUGCACGCGAAAUUAUUGGUCGUUUUGCUGCUUGGAAUACAUUGCCUAAUCAUUGGUCAGAAAUUACUGGGAACGUUAAACGUGUCACGAUGCAAAAAAAAAAAAUAAUAAUAAUAAACACGGUCGACACACAUGCACGUGGGACGGCACGCUUUUAAAGUUCACGUGUCAUCAUUUCCACCCUGGGAUCUUACAGUUUGGCGCCGUAGACCAGCUUGUUAAGAAGAAUAAAGAAGCAAUUGACCAUUUCGAGCCUCCGAAUUCGUAAGAUUCCGCGCCGUUACUCUUUGUCGCAAUUUUGAACGGUGGUCGCCCGAUUUACGCGCGAGAUUAUAUAUUAUACUAUUAGUAGUGAUCCAUAUUUAAAUAUUGAAUCACUACUAAUAGUAUAAAAUUAUAUACAAUUUGCAUCAAUCUUAGCCUUGUAAUUUACCGUUCUCGAAAGAAUCUGAAAAUUCAAAAUAGUAAUUUAUCGUUCCCGAAAGAACCUGAAAAUUCAAAAUAGUUGUUAAAAUUCGGAUGCCGAAUUUUACGACAAUAAAUUGACAGAUAAUAUAAAUUAUUAUAUUUCUGAAAUAAAAUUAUAUAAAUUAAACAAAUGGUUGCAAAUUUCAAUCCUAACCCCUGGAAUAGCUACAAUACAAGGAUGAUUUCUCAGUCUCAAUAAAAAAAAGCCACUAAAAAAUAUAAAUAAAUAAAAAGUAAAAAUCCAAACUUAUGGGCUAACAUAAUAUAUGAGGAAACUCAAAUUCUCCGUGACACUUCAAAAUCCAUUUCAUUUUACCAAUUAGUUUAGAUGAACUUUUUAUAAUUUAAAUAAUUUGAUAGUAUUGAUCGUCCCUAAUACAAAUGACAAAGGAUUUGAUGGUUAGUGAUCGAUGUCAUAGAUUCGAAGUUUAGUUGCUUUACAUUUUCAGUUAAGUUUAUUUUAAAAAAAUAAACAAAAUGAAUAGCAUGUUACUUCUCUCUCUAAAAAAAAAAAAAACAUGUCUUAACCUAUUAAAGAAACAACGAUAGGUCGAACUAUGACCAUAACAAUGUAGUGUUUGUUAAGUGCAAACACUAAUUAAUGGCUACCAAAUCACUCCACUUAAUUUCCGAAUUGUUCAUUAGCAAGGUCUCUUGUUUCAGCAGUGACAGGAUUUAUCUAGAAGGUUAUUUUGUGAGGUGAAUUUUGUCGACAAUGGCAGGUUAUGUGCAGAGACUACGUGAAAGAGAAAACUGAGCUACUACAUGCCUUGAUACAUGAUAGAAAACUUCCUGAUCUACCCAGAAUUACCCAGGUAAACUUAGCAUCUAGUCACAUUAAUUUGCUCUUCUUCGUCAAAUUAACUAUGUUCUUACAUAUAUAUAUUUCUGAAACCCUCCAUAUAUUGUCUGAAACAUCUUUUGACCAAGUUCUUGUGAUGAUAUGUUCCUCUUAAUGCAGCCAACCUUGAUAAUAUGGGGCGAGCAGGACCGAGUGUUUCCUCUAGAACUAGCUCAUCGAUUGAAAAGGUAUCGUUAGAAUAUAUUGGAGAUAGUUUUCUUCUUUCCCUCCGAAGUUCAUGUUUGAAUUUCUGCUUAGUGUUACAGGUAUUUAGAUGAGAAUUGUCAGAUGGUAGUUAUCAAGAACGCUGGGCACGCGGUUAAUCUUGAAAAGCCUAAGGAAGUUUGCAAGCAUAUACUCGCAUUCUUUCUUGAUUCCGGCUCCCCAGAUAUCUACAACGGGCACAUGGUAAAUCUUCUUUCUGUUCUGAUGUAACAUUGGAUUCGUUAAACCUUGUCAGUAAUGCUUGUUUUUACGCUUUAAUAGAGUAUCGUAUUGUCAAAAUGGAAGCAUUGUUAAUUUGUUCGUAUAUCUACGUCGCAUAAUAGUAACAAUUAAGGCACCAUUAAUUGUUAAUUCUUUUGUUCUGUUUUUUUAAUUUUUGGCAGGUAUAAUGGAUUGAUGUUUAAGAACACUUUCAAUGAAUUUGUACCAGACAAGCAUCGCUCAGAUAACUGAGAUACAAUAUUUGUUCCGAUAGAUUGUUGAAGAGUAUUAUUCAUCUCAAAAUAUUCAUUUUCAAAAAGAUUUGAAUCGGGAAAUGCAUCGACGAAAGUUGCUAUGGACUGCAGAUGCCUCCUUACCGCAGGCUCCAGCUGCAAAUUUUAUGUGAUUUAUUUAUGCAUGAAAUUUGAGUUUCAGACUUUCACGAUGAUUUUGUAUGCAGAUUAUCUGAGGGAGAUCACUCAGCUCGCCUACGUAUCAGUUUAUAUUUCGACUACUCUUAUGUUUUGGUUUUGUGCUUUGUCUAGCUUUAUGUUUUGGUUUUGUGUGCAUCAGAAGGAGGUAAGUAAAUUUGCUGCUGCUAAACUCAUCAACAGCUUUCAUUGAGACUAUUUAAGUAAACUUUUUAUCAGAUCAGUCCCCUCGAUAUCCAAAAUUUUCAAGGGUUAAAAUCCAGUAUUUCAUAUGUGCUUCGGAAAAGAUUACUCACUGCUGACAGAUUGCUAACUCGCGGAUUGAGAGUGGAUCAACACUGUGUCUUCUGCGCUUUCAACACAAAAAAUUGCGAUCAUCUAUUCACCAACUGCAUCUUCACUCGUUACCUUCUACUUACCUCAGAGGGGCAGGGUUCGUCGACCGAUGCUCCAGGGGACAUUCGAGAACUAUGAAACCUAACUGGCAACACCUCCGACGUUGCUCUGAGAUCAAAACGCUUAAUCCGCUUAGUUGAAAUCUGGUGGAUCGUGUGGACGGAAAGAAAUAACUCCAUCUUCCAAGCAAAGUUUCACAACGUCCUUCAUUCUUCCGAAAAGCUGAGACGGUUGUUGUCCGAUUGGUCUGCGCAUCUCUGACCACCUGCUUACCAUCUUUCGCACAUUUUUUAUUUUAUUUUCCUUUUGAUUUUUAGUUCCUGUUUUUUUUCUCCUCUACUGUUGCCUUUCUACCCCUCAGAAGCCUUAGCUGCUUCCACCCUGUAACACUUAGCUUAGUUCACUUUCACUUAAUAAAUGAAGCAGAUAACUUUGCUACAUUUUUUUCAAAAAUAAUAAUAAUAAUAAUAAUAAUAAUAAUUAUCUUUUUGUGUUUAGUACACACUCCAUGAUUUAUUUAAUCUCCAUUACAAAGUUAUCGGAUAUGUUAUAAAAACGUAAUUCAAAAUCAGAUAUUCUUCAAAAUCAGAUAUUCUUGCACAAUCGUUGCUUCAAUCAGCUGGUUGGUAUCCUUCAUGCCAGAUUGUAAGCAAGCAUCUUCACAAACAAACACAAAGGGGGGGGGGAGCAAUUUAUAGCGAAAAAGGGAUUCAAACAGUAGGAGCCUAUCAAUCAAUUAGUCAAAAAUGGCACUUUUAAAGCUCCAUUUGAAUUUAAAGGAAAAAAGAGAGCAGAAUUUAAUUUCAUAACUAAGAUUAUUCCAAACUAGCACCAUUACAGAAGGCUCUGGAUAACAGUAACAUGCGACUGAUUAGCGGAAAAAAAAGAAAAAAAGAAAAAAAAAAAAGAUAAAGAAAAUAAACUGCGGUAGCCAUUUGAGUUCAAAAACUAGUGCUUGCACAACCUUAAAGGGAAAACAUAGACACACACCAACCGGUUAAGGAAAAAAGAUGACUACCUUGGUGGCGAUAAAAAGAAAUUUCCGAGCUACUGGGUUUCCGCAUUAGCAAGAGUUUCACAGGUUUCACAUUCACAUUGAUAGCUUGCCCAAAUUUACUCCUGCUAUGAGCAUCCAAACAUAUAAAAGUUCAGUGACAUCAGAGCACGGAAUAUAUGUCCAUAAGAUCUUAACGAAUGAAUUGCCAUGAUUUAUAUCGGUAAAUAUGACGUAUAUUUUUGAAAAUCUGAGUCGGAGCGGCAACAAAUGUGGCUAAUAGAAGCUUUUUUACUUUGUUAAAUUUUGUUGUAAACCAAACUGCAGUGCGUAGUUCAAGGUUUUAAGUGCCCGUCGGCACGGGCCGUAUCCACCGUGCCGUACCGUGCCAAUAAGACAUCGGCACGAUACAGACCCCGUGCCGAUGGCACAGCUCAAAAACCUCUAUUCUUUAAAUUAGUAAGUAAUUUCCUCAAUAAAGUUUAAAAGAUGCGAUAAAAAGACAUAAUAAAUAGUUAAAAUAUUUUGUUGCUAAAAAAAAUAAAUAUUUCAUACUAUUAUGUGUCGGCACACAAGAAUUUUUUUGACCGGCACGCAUCGGCAAGACUCGGCACGCACCGUGCCGUACCGUGCCGGCAAGUUUCCGGCACGACCCAGUGCCACGGCACUUAAAUCCUUGGCGUAGUUACCGCUGUGAACUAUGGGAAUUUAAGACAAACUUGAGGUAACUGAAUGAGCAUAUAAAAAAAAUUGAUAUUCGUGUAUCCAAUACCGGAGCCAAAGCAGCCGGGCCUUUACUUUAAGCUAUUCGUGUUCUAUGUGUGGAUCUUAGUCCUCUGUUCAACUAUGUUUUGGCCAAACCAAAUUGACGAUUCUCACCUCAAUAUCCAUGUUGGUCGCCUUGGAAUGUUCGCCUGCAAAAAGAAUAGAAUGUGUUAACAAUUUAGACACAUAAAAGUAUUAUAAGCUAUCGUUACACAAAUUAUGGAGUGAAAGAAAUGAGUUACACUAGGCAUUUUGAGGCAAUUGAUCAAGUGUCGGGAGUUUUAUUGUUACUGAACAGUAGUGUUAUAACCAAAAAGAAAAAGGAAAGGAUAGCACAUGUUGCUGCAGCUCCAAGUACAGCCACAGCUACAGUGGGCACAUGGAACAUGAUUUGCCAUAUACGCUGACACUAAUACUUUGAGACAAAUACUUUCAGGUGAAGUUGUUGCAUGUGUUAGGAUGUCAAAAAGAUAAAAGAUGCAACAUGAGAGCUGCUGUAACAGAAGAUUGUUCCAUAUGAUAUUACCUCCUUCCUCUGGCAGGUCUGAGGUCCACAAUGUCAGAUUGUCCUUGAGAAGCCGCAAAAUCAGUGCGCUGUCCUUGUAAGAUUCCUCACUGAGGGAGCUGAGUUCCGUAAUAGCCUCAUCAAACGCUUGUUUAGCUAGAUGACAUGCUCUGGAAAAGGAAGGACAAAACACAAAUUGUACAUAAUCCAAAGCAGCAGAGACAUGCGUGCUUGCUGUCCAUUUCUAUCUUAAAAUCACCACACGUAACUCAACAUGCAUGCUUAAACAGUUUCAAUUAGUUCACUGAAUUAUGAAGUUAAGAUAAGUAGAUAUUGUUACUAUUUACUGCAUAGAAUAUAAGCAGCGGGCCGCAUAAGGCACACAAUGCCAAAUUUCAUGCUAGAACUUAAAUGCACCAGGAAUAAUCAAUAAGCAAUACAUAAUAAUACAAAUAAAACAACCAAAGCAGACCUCUCAGGCGAGUUCAGUAUCUCAUAGUAGAAGACUGAGAAAUUAAGAGCGAGGCCAAGUCUGAUUGGGUUGGUUGGUGGAAGAUCAGUCAUUGCCGUACUUGUAGCUGCCUGAAGGAUCAUCAUCAGCUUGCGAUGUAACAAAAAUUUAUGCAUCAUAAGCUUUAACUCUACAAGAUUGAUAAACUACAACUUUCUAACAGGAUUAAGUCGAACCUGAUAAGCUUUAACCGACUGAUCUGCGAACUCUUUCCUGUCAUUCCCGGUCUUAAACUCGGCCAAGUAUCUAUAGUAAUCCCCUUUCCUAGUAUGGGACAGAGAGAAGUAACUUUUCAUUUUCGAAAAUUCACUCAAGUUCUGUUAACAGAACUAAAAAAGUUUUCACCAAAAAGGUGCAGAAUAUUCAAUCAGGCAUGAAAACACUACAUUUGUUAGAGUUAAAAAUACUGAUAAGUUCCAAGUAAGAGGUACUGGAAAUUCAAACAUGAAACUGGGUUGGGUUGUAAAAUUAUUGUUCUUUGAGGUUCGGACAUCCAGUUCAAAAUGUUGCUGUAAAAGAAAGGAAAAACAACGCGCAUAACUCGCGAACUAAACGUACAUCUUAUAAAAGAAGACAAUGGAUUCACCAGUAGUGGAAGAUGGGAGGAGGUGGAUGGCGAUGAUGGACAAUAUGUCGUUGGAUAUCUUCGCGAGCUCAUCUUCAACUCUCGUCAAGUACUCUUUUAUCAUCUUGACGUUUUGUUCACUCCCUUCUUCCGCUUCCUUCUGCACGAGCGAAGAAAGGAUCCUCCACGACGCUCUCCUCACGCCAAUCACAUUCUUAUAGCCAACCGAGAGUAAGUUUCGCUCUUCAGAAGUCAGCUCGACAUCCAUUCGAGCAAUCCUCUUCAUGUAAUCCACCAUUUCUAUGAAAAAACAGAAAGAAAAGCAUAUGUCUAAUAAAAGAUGAGGAAAAGAAACAACUGCCAACAAUUCAGAUAAGAUAAAGCCCUAUCAAAUCAUGGUUAGCGAAACCAAUAUUGAACAGGGUCAGAUCAGUAUAUUGGCUGCUGAAACAGAUAAAAUUUUGUGAAGCAAAUCCGUAUUUCUGCAUAACACAAAAUGGCGAAACAUGACAUAUUUCUACACACUCACUACCAUUCCCUUCCUCUCAUCUGAAACAUUACUACUUCAUAGUACCACUUUGAUAACCCAUCAACUAUUACGCCAUUUUGAAGUAGACCCCCCCUGAACUUUUAAAAAAUAAAAAAAAAAUAUUUACUGGCGCCUCUUCAACUUCUGAUUUUUCUGAUUUGAGUUCAAUUAAGGUAGAGAUUUACAAAAAAUUGCUACGUAAUAGUAGUAAUUUUAGGGGUUAUGUUAAUAUAGAUUGUGGAAACUAACAAACAAAGAGGAGACAUGUGGAAACUCCAAACAACUAGCACGACUGUUUCAGCAAACUUUACCCUGUCAUCAGCAGAGAUAACCUAAGCAGAAACCCCCCCAAAAUAAAAAUUUAAAUAAAUAAAAAAAUCGAAAAUCCAACAAAACGCAACCAAAAUAACGAAACAUAUUCAAAUCAUGGCGCCAGUAUGUUACAAUAACAUCAUGGCACGAACCAUUCGCAAUAUUACACACACAGAAAAAAGAAGAAAAAAAUUGAAAACAGAACAGAGACCCAAAGAUCUCAAAUUUAUUACUCCAAACCAAACGCACAUGAACCAAAGAAAUCAUUUAUCAUAGGGAAAAAACAUUGGCUACCAAAAAUCCAAUCUUUUUUACUCCCUUUUUUGGAUAAAAACUAAGAACCAAAUUUUCUCUACAGAAGAAGGAAAAAAAACAAAAAAAAAAAAAAAAAACUGAGAACCAAAUGCAGAAACACAAAUAGCAGAGAGGAAGAGCUUUUACCAUCAUAUCUCUCCGCUUGCUCCGCCAACUUCGCCAUGAACGCAAGCUUCUCUCUCUCCUCCAUCUCUCCCAAGCGCCCACCCCCCCUCUCUCCCUCUCUCUCUCUCUCUCUCUCUCUCUCUCUAAGCAGACACGUUCCCGGUAUGGAAAAUUUCCUCUCUCUUCAGAGUCUUAUUCCACUGUUCCAUUUAUGGGCUGGUGUGUGUGUGUGUGUGUGUGUUUUUUUUUUGAGCAAUGCCCUGUGUUGUGACGUAAGAUUUUGGAAGCAUUUUUUUAUUUUAGUAUUUUAUAAUUUAAAUUAUAUUAUUUUUAUAUUCUGUAAUUUUUUUAAAUUUUUUUUAUUAAUUUUUUUUAUUAAAUCGGCAAUAGAGUUAUAACUAAAGAAUACUUAAAUAAAUAUUCGAUAAAUUAUAGGUGACAUAUCUGAAGCUUUUUGUAUAUAAUUUAACAAAAAAAUUAACGGAGGGACCGACGAAAAAAAAAAUAAAAUAAAACCAUAAAAUACUAAAUUUAUACACUUUAAACAAUAUAUUACUAAACUAAGAAAAUGCGAAACUAUAGCGGUGAUGUAUAAUUUAUCUUAAAAUAUGCACUCUAUAUAAUAUAUAAUUAUAUAUAAUUAUUCAUUUAUUAUUUUUAUUCAAAUAGAAUUAUUAUUAUGUUACCGACUAUUUCUAGCGCAAAUGACAAAAAACUUAUAAUUGGUAUAUGAGAUUUCAAAUUUGAAUUAUAAUUGAUUCAUAUUUCUAACUUCGUUUACUUCAAAAUAAAGUAAACGAAGAGUAUAGUAUGCUACUUAUUUUUAAAACAAUAAAAAAAUAUAUAUAGAUGUCAAAAAUGUAAGAGAUACGAUUUUUUUUUUAG